UAUUCUCAACUCGUUCAUUUCAUUUUACUUCAAUUUCAAUAUCGGCUCUUAGAUGUAAUUUCUCCUCUUCGUUCCCUCAUACCAGAAAACCCAAAUCUUCAAUUUCGAAAAAUGAGCUUUCAGAUCCGACUACAACAGCUAAACUGAAGGAGUCGCUACGACUGACAGUCAAAGACCGAGCCUCACUCGAAAAAUUCCUCAAAGAAAGGUGCAAAUCAUCAGGUCAAGGUGAUAUUAAUCUUAUAACUCCUAAUGAAGCCUUGUGUAUCUUUGAUUACAUGCUCAAUAUGCGCCCUUCUCCGCCUCCUGUCACUUCCUUCAAUCUUUUGUUUGGUUGUCUUGCCAAGACUAAACAUUAUGAUACUGUCCUUUCACUCUUCAAGAGACUCAAUUCCACUGGGUUGUUUCCGGAUCUUUAUACUUACAACAUAUUGAUUAAUUGCUUUUGCAAAAUGGGUCGAGUUUCUCAUGGUUUUGUUGUUCUUGGGAGAAUCCUCAGGUCUUGUUUUACUCCAGAUGCUGUGACCUUUACUUCUUUGAUUAAAGGUUUGUGUGCGGAGAGUAGAAUCAUGGAGGCCGCCGCAUUGUUUACGAAACUUACAGUGUUUGGUUGUAAGCCUGAUGCUUUUACAUACACCACUUUGGUUAAUGGAUUGUGUCGAACCGGCCACUUUGAUUAAGCCUGAUGCUUGGGAACUGUUUCAAAGUUUGUCUCGUGUAGGCCUAUUGCCAAAUGUUGUAACAUAUAAUAUCAUGAUCCAUGGGCUUUGUAAUGAUGGGCAAAUGGACAAGGCACAUGAUUUGUUUCUUGAUAUGGAAGCAAAAGGUGUGGAACCCAAUUGUGUCAUAUUUAAUACGAUUAUGCUGGGUUUCAUCCGCAAUAAUGAGACAUCAAAAGUUAAUGAACUCCUUCAGCGAAUGGAUAAUAGAAAUGUAAUGCCAGACGCAUCUACACUUUCAAUUGCUGUGCACUUACUUGUAAAGAAUGAAAUUAGCUUAAACUCGAUUCCACAAUUCAAGAGUCAAAGGUAAGUGAGUUUAAUACUCAUUUAGCCGCAUGUUUCUUCUGCCUGAAAACCCAAUCUGGAGGAUCCUAUUCUUAUUACAUGUAAAGGAGUGUUGUCUAAUGUUGGCAUGUUCCUAGGUUCUGUCCAUGGAUUCUGUUUGCAGACAUGGCUAACUUCUUGUUCAACAGAAAGUUUUAAAGUCUUUCAACUUUAUGUUGUAAAAUAACUUUUUUAUUAUUCAAUUCAUGAGUUUUUCUUCUAUAACACAUCCUUCUCAUUAGCUGGAAGUGCAAAUUUUUUAGGCUUUUCCUGUAUGGCCUCUUUUUCUGCUCUAAAUAAAAUGGCAUUUUAUUUCCCUCCUGUGAGGGUACAACGUUUAUGUUUAAAUUUUCUGUUAGUUAAAUUGGCUGUCUUUGAUAUAGGGAACUUCCAGUUGUACUGAUUUGUAAUUCGAGUAUAUGAGAUUACCAACUGUAAUGGGAAUUGAUGCCAAAUUAAUUAUGUCAUCGGGUUUUUCAAUCAGUGUUCAUCAUUUAUUUCUGUUAACAAUUAAUAGCACAGCUUGUCUUCGCAGCUUCAUUGGUUCCUCUCAAAAAUAAUCUUGUAAAGACAAUUUUUGUUUUUUGGCAUGUUAAAUGCUAGAUUGUUUGUGUGUAUUGGUAUUUGUUAUACUAUGUAUUGGCAAGACAGUUUCUUGAAACUGACAAACUUUUCUCUAUGAAGAUUGAAGACAAUAUGAUAAGAUAAACUUUAACAAAAGCAUAGAUGCUUGCCAGCGCUGGACCUUUGAUUAAUAGUCCUCGCCUUUCGUUCUUGUUUCAUAUUCUUCUGCUAACAAAUCUUGAUCAUGAUUGUCUUCUCUUUUCUUUGCAACCCACAUAUAAAGUCUCGGCCAUAAGCCUCGAGGCCUAUUCUCUUUUGUAAAGGUGAGUUGAAGAAACAGCAAGGGACUCCAAAGCAAAUGGUGUAGAGCACCUUUCACUUAUCACGGGCACAGGAUUACUCUGACUUUCUGCAUUUUACUGUUGGCUAUGGUUUGAUGCAUUAUUUAUUGUUCUGAAAUACCAUUCUCGUUGGAAGUUCAAUCAUUACUGUUUCUUUUUUCCCCCCUUUUUACUUGAAGUUACCUGAACUUCCAUGCAUGCUCCAAUAGAACGAGUAAUGUAAUGUAGGUGUUGACCAACUCCAAAUAAGUAGUUAGUUGCCUAGUAGUUGGAAUAAAAUUCUCAAUGAUUGCGAGCCUCGAUAGCUUUAGGAUGAACCAGACCAUCAUGAAUUCUGGUGCAUCUUUUAAGGUCCAAUUUCUCCAAGUUUAUCAUCAAGCUAAAAAAUGCCCUAAUUCCUUUUCCAGUAUUUUCAUAAUGCGUUUACUAAAUUGGAACUGAAAUGAACUAGAAUAAAAACAGAAAAUGUAAAUUAGAAUAAAUUAUUUACUUGAAUUGUAGGAAUUAGAAUCGGAAUAAGCUGGAUUGUUAUUGAUGUGUCAACUUUGUCUUGGAAUCAAAAUAGAAAUGAGUUACAUUUUAACAACUUACUAAAAAGUACUUAACGAACUAUUGUCAUCAUUAUUAUUUUAUAUUUUAAUUAUGGUGAUUAUUUAUUCAAAAAUUAUUAUUAUUAAUUAUUUUUAAUAAUAUAUUAAUAUACUAAUUAAUUGAAAAAAAAAUUAAAUUAAUUAAUUGUUAAUAUAUUAAUUGAUUAAUUAUAAUAAUACAUUAAUUAAUUAUAACUAAAGACAAAACAUACAUUUUUUUAUUCUGUAACAGGGCAAAAUGGUCAUUCCAAAGAAUGUGAGUUAAAUUGUUUAAUUUAAUUUAUAUCUGUUGUAAUAUAUAGCUUAAUUAUAGUGUAAAAACAAUGACAAUGUAAUUUUUUUUUUAAUGCUAAUACUAAAACUUUAUCAUCAUGCAAUUUUUUAUAAUUACUAUUUUUUAAUUAUUUAUGGUAUAUUUGUUUAUUAAUUAAAUAAACUAUUAUUUUUUUAACUAUGACAUAAAUGUUUAGUAAAAACUAUUUAUGAAAUAGUACUACCGAAAACAUAUUCUUUAUUUUUAUUUUUUUCAAUUAUGUCUACCGAACACAUAUUACUAAUUUCAAUUUUAAAAUAUAGAAUAUAGAAAAUGAUACCAGACGCAUAUUUAAAAUCAAAAUACACCAAUUGUAAAAUUUCAUUUUCAUUUUCAUUUUCAUUUUUUUUUCAGAAAAUGCUAAUUCAGAAACAAUACCGACCAUAAACUUAUUUUUGGUAUGAAUAAUGUUGUGCUACUUUUAUAGAACUUACAUGCAACCUCAAAUUUAUUAGAAGUAUCAACUGAAACCCCUUUUACCAAGUUAUUACAACUAUAUUUACUUCUUGAAGUGGGAGUGAGAAAUGUGGAUUCCUCAUACUCCAGUGAUUACUUGUAUAUUUUAAGGGAUGUGAGAAUUCCACUCCAUGGGUUCCACCCAUUUUUUGAGUUUAUUAUUUUAUAAAAUUUCAUUUAUUAAAAAGAACAAUAUCAAUCUCGUUUAAAUAAAAUAUUAUUAUAUUUAUUUGAGAUUAAUGAUUAAUAAUAAAUAGUUUAUUCUAAGAAAAUAUUAAUUUUCUACUAUGUUAGUAAUAAUAAUGUUUCAUUUCUAUUGCUCUCAUCAAUAGUUUUUAAUUUAGAUAAUUAAAUUAAAACUAACAAAAAAUUAUUAUUUACAUAAUUAAUAAUAUUAAUAAUUAUUGUUAAUUUAAAAAUAUAAUGAAAUAAAUAUUUUAUUUUUCAAAUAUAUUUUUUUAUUAAUUUUUAAUUAAAAACUAUAAUUUUUUAAAUAAGGAUAAAACUGUAAUCUGAAACUACUUACUCUUGAUCCGAGACAAAGUAAACAUGUAAAUUGAAUUUUAAUUCCAAUUCCAUACUCCUAUUCUAGUGUAAGUAAACAAUCUACUCUCAUUCUACACUCCCAAUCUCAGGAUUCACACUUCUCAGGAUUCUCACUCUAUUCGAAAAUGUAAACGCUAACAAAAUGUAGACCAGACAUAGGUGUAUAUAUAUAUAUAUUCUUAAUCAAACAUCAAAUAAAAUUCUUAAUUAAGUAAACCAUAAGGUGAUUGCGCAUAAAAAAUAAUAAUAAUAUUAAUUUUCAUAAGAAUUUAUGCUCGUAGUAUUUCAUUACUUUUUAUUAACCGUUGCUUCAACUUAUGGUGGGUAUUAAGAGAACAAUAAUAAUAGAGUUAUAAACGGUUGCAUACUAUCAAUUAAAUUAACACUAUAAUUUGGUUUACCAUACAAAUCCUUAAUAUCAUAAAUAAUUAAAUUAUUGGGGUUUUAAAAUGCAGACUUGCCAUGGCUCCUAUAAGUAAUAUCAGCCGCACUCUUUGUUAUUGGUAAAAAAAAUUUCUAGGUACAAUUUGUGAAUUUGUACAACGUGCGGUAUUAAACAUUUGAAGCAUGAACUGACAAUGUUGUGUCAAUAAUAAAGAAAAGAAAACGAAUUGUAUAAUACACAGGUGUUCUAGUGUAACUUGGAUUCUUUUUCUUUAUAAGUGCACCUAUUAUGUGAUUUUUUUUUGAAAAAAGAAAAAGAAAAAAAGAACUCUUGAGAUUUUAAAAUUUUGUAAUUGCACUAUCUUUAGAUUGUCAGGAGAUUUUCUCUCCUUAAAGAUGCCCUUAAUCCAUAAACGGUCCAAAAAAUAAUUCAUAAAAUGAAUUGAUUAUUUUAGAUAAGUUUCAAGAAUGCACACCUUUUAUAACUCCAUAUUGCAUAACUCCUCAUUUCACUCAAUGGAUGCAUUUGUUCACUUUUUCUUUCUUGUAAAUUUUUGAAUGGCCGUAAUUCUAUAGAUUAUUAGUUAAGUGUUAUUAUUAUCAUUUUUUUGUUGAUGCAUAUGUGGGGUGGGGCCGAUUGGGGGGCAUGGAUCUCAAUACAGCAGAGGGCCAAAAUAUUUAUUCUUUAAGAGGAACCACAACCAACAACAAUGCCUUAAGUUCCAUUCCAUGUUACUUCUGUGCACUAGAUUGCAUAAACAACAUUAUCCAAGGUCAAAGUCUCUCAAAGACUUUGGUUACAAGACAAAGCAUGGGAUUGCAGCCAAAAAUUUCUUGUAGUGAAAGGCUCAUAAACUGAUGACAAUUGUCGGAUUGUUUUGGGCCUCAAUAGUUUUAAUAUUAUUCUCUUAAAAAUAUAUAUAUUGAUUAGAGAUGAGAGGAAGAAGAUGAUAUGAUUUAGCCAGCUGUACAAGAAAGAGUACGCAGUGGAGUCUAGAUUUUGAUUUCUCUUGUUAAAUUAUUUUCAAUUUACUACAAGGUAGAAUAAAUUGCAUUCUUAAAAAAUACUUUGAACAUCAUAUUUUUGUAUUACAAAUAUACCAAAAAUUAAAUUACUUUUUUUUUUAUCAGUAUAAACUAAAAUUUGCCUGAAUCCUCAUCUUUGUAAGUGGAAUUCUAUUAUGAAACUAAUAGUCCUUCCUAGUGCUAACUGUCACUUUGAACAUGUGUCAUCUCUAACAACAACUUCCAGACCUGCAGCUAGCUGCUUUUUAGCAUUAGAAGUAGCAUCCACAUUGGCUUUCAACUAGCCAUAAUUCGGAGGAGGGGACCAUUGUUUCUGUUUGUCAGUUUUCUUCCUUGAAGCAUACGCCAUAAUUAGGAGGAGGGCAAGCUUCCAAAUAGCAUUUCGAAUGGUAUUUUGAAAAUCUUCCACCCUUUUGGUUAAAAAAAAUAAAAACCUUAUUUCUAGUUCUUUCUUAACAAUCUUAUCACUUUAAGUUUUCCUCUUAAGUAGGAACAUCAUAUAUAUUAAUUUGUUCUUAAUACAAAUAAAACUAAAUAUUUAUGACUUAAAAGAUAGGUAUUGAAUGGCAGGCGUCUCACUCAAUAUAUAUAUAUAUAUAUAUAUAUUUAAAAGCAAUGGUGAUAUCAUCAUUUUUUGUACUGAUAUGAAAAUAUCACACUAGAUUUUUUUCUCGCAUUACAAAAAGUUUGAAUUCAAGAAUAAAUAAGCAAUAUCAAGAACAAUUUUUACAAAACGCCUCCAGGACAUGCCAUAUGAAUUUGUGAUACGAAAAAUAGUAUACUAGUCACUGGAUCUUCUUUUCCUCAUUAGGAAAAAUUAGAAAUGCAAUCUAAAUUGAUAUCAAUAACUAAUUUUAUAGUGAAUGGGUCUUGCACGAAAACAAGAAAUUUUUUUAUAAUAUAAGAAAUUAUUAGUCAUUUAUCCUAAAUUUAUUUUGUCUCAAAAAAUACUACAAAAACUUUAACUUGCUUUGUUUUUUUACCUUAAUUUAUAAUUUGUAUCAGUCACUCUCUAAAACGAUAGAAUCACUUCAUAAAAUGACAAAAUAAAAAUAAAUACAAAUGACAAAACCGGUUCAUUUUAUAAGGAUAAUUCAAUCCGUUUGGCUUCAAAUUACAAAUUAAAUUAUUUCAAAUAUUAUAAAUUAUUUUUAUACUGGGUGAUGGACCUAAUCAUUUUAAUACUUAUGACAAUUUAAUCUAUCUAAAUAUAAAAUUUUGAGUAGACUUAUGUUUGAGUAGGAGGAUAAUGUAAGAAAAUUUGGCACUUUUAUUCAACUGAAGAAAUUUUACAAUUUAAAUUAAAAACGAUAAAAUUUAAUAAUUAACUAUUAUUUGAACUAAUUGAAUCGUGCGCCAUCAUUUGUGUAAUGUAUCCUAUUGCAAAAUAAACGGCAGGAUGCGGUUUGCGUUAAUGUAUCCUAUUUUGGUAAUUCUCUUCUUCUUCUUCAACCCCAAAUAAUCAAAAGCUCUCCAAUGGCUUUCGUAUCCUCAACUCGUUCAUUUCAUUUUACUACAAUUUCAAUAUCAGCUCUUAGUUGUAAUUUCUCCUCUUCGUUCCCUCAUACCAGAAAACUCACAUCUUCAAUUUCGGAAAAUGAACCCUCAUAUCCGACUACAACAGCUAAACUGAAGGAGUCGCUACGACUGACAGUCAAAGACCGAGCCUCACUAGAAAAUUUCCUCAGAGAAAGGUUCAAAUCAUCAGGUGAAGGUGAUAUUACUACUAUUACUCCUAAUGAAGCCUUUUGUAUCUUUGAUUACAUGCUCAAUAUGCGCCCUUCUCCGCCUCCUGUCUGUUCCUUCAAUAUUUUGUUUGGUUGUCUCGCUAAGAAUAAACAUUAUGAUACUGUCCUUUCACUCUUCAAGAGACUCAAUUCAACUGGGUUGUUUCCAGAUCUUUAUACUUACAAUAUCUUGAUUAACUGCUUUUGCAAAAUGGGUCGAGUUUCUCAUGGUUUUGUUGUUCUUGGGAGAAUCCUCAGGUCUUGUUUUACUCCAAAUGCUGUGACCUUUACUUCUUUGAUUAAAGGUUUGUGUGCGGAGAGUAGAAUCAUGGAGGCUGCCGCAUUGUUUACGAAACUUAGAGUGUUUGGUUGUGAGCCUAAUGUUUUUACAUACAAUACUUUGAUUAAUGGAUUGUGUCGAACUGGCCAUACAAUUGUUGCUCUAAAUUUAUUUGAAGAGAUGGCUAGUGGAAAUGGGGAAUUUGGUGUUGUUUGUAAGCCAGAUGCUAUUACAUACAGUACUAUUAUAGAUGGUCUUUGUAAGGAAGGUUUUGUGGACAAGGCCAAGGAACUGUUUCUGCAGAUGAAGUAUGAGAAUAUUAACCCGGAUGUGGUUACCUAUACCUCUGUGAUUCGUGGUUUUUGUUAUGCUAAUGAUUGGAAUGAGGCCAAGUGUUUGCUAAUUGAGAUGAUGGACCAAGGGGUACAGCCCAAUGUUGUGACUUUCAAUGUGAUCAUGGAUGAGCUCUGCAAGAAUGGAAAGAUGGAUGAGGCAAGUCGGUUGUUGGACCUGAUGAUUCAGAUUGGUGUGCGUCCAAAUGCUUUUGUCUAUAACACAUUAAUGGACGGGUUUUGCUUGACAGGUAGAGUUAAUCGUGCGAAGGAACUAUUUGUUUCUAUGGAGAGUAUGGGUUGCACACAUACUGUUUUUAGUUACAGUAUUUUGAUAAAUGGUUACUGCAAGAAUAAGGAAAUAGAGGGAGCGUUAAGCCUUUAUGGAGAAAUGCUCUCUAAAGGAAUUAAGCCAGAUGUUGUUAUAUAUAACACCUUGUUUGUUGUCCUUUUUGAAAUACACCAGGUUGAGCGUGCUUUCAAGCUGUUUGAUGAGAUGCAACGUGAUGGCGUGGCAGCUGAUACCUGGACAUAUAGAACCUUUAUUGAUGGGCUCUGCAAGAAUAGUUAUAUCGUAGAGGCAGUUGAACUAUUUCGCACUUUGAGAAUUCUCAAGUGUGAACUUGAUAUUCGAGCCUACAACUGCCUCAUUGAUGGAUUAUGUAAAUCCGGCAGACUCGAAAUUGCAUGGGAACUAUUUUGUAGUUUGCCUCGUGGAGUCCUAAUAGCAGAUGUUGUAACCUAUAACAUCAUGAUCCAUGGGCUUUGUAACGAUGGGAAAAUGGACAAGGCGCAUGAUUUGUUUCUUGAUAUGGAAGCAAAAGGUGUAGCACCCGAUUGUGUCACAUUUAAUACGCUGAUGCUAGGUUGCAUCCGCAAUAAUGAGACAUCAAAAGUUGUUGAACUCCUUCACAGAAUGGAUGAGAGAAAUGUAAUACCAGAUGCAUCUACACUUUCAAUUGUUGUGGACUUGCUUGUAAAGAAUGAAAUUAGCUUAAACUCCAUUCCACAAUUCAAGAGUCAAAGGUAAGUGAGUUUAAUAAUGAUUUAGUCGCAUGUUUCUUCUGCCUGAAAACUCAAUGUGGAGGAUCCUAUUCUUAUUACAACAUGUAAAGGAGUGUUGUCUAAUGUUGGCAUGUUCCUAGGUUCUGUCCAUGGAUUCUGUUUGCAGACAUGGCUAACUUCUUGUUCAACAGAUAAGUUUUAAAGUCUUUCAACUUUAUGUUGUAAAAUAACUUUCUUAUUAUUCAAUUCAUGAGUUUUCCUUCUGUAACACAUACUUCUCAUUAGAUGGAAGUGCAAAUUUUUUAGGCUUUUCCCGUAUGGCCUCUUUUUCUGCUCUAAAUAAAAUGGCAUUUUAUUUCCCUCCUGUGAGGGUACAAGGUUUAUGUAUAAACUUUCUGUUAGUUAAAUUGGUUGUCUUUGAUAUAGGGAACUUCCAGUUGAGCUGAUUUGUAAUUCGAGUAUAUGAGAUUACCAACUGUAUUGGGAAUUAAUGCCAAAUUAAUUAUGUCAUCAGGUUUUUCAAUCAUUGUUCAUCAUUUAUUUCUGUUAACAAUUAAUAGCACAGCUUGUCUUCUCAGCUUCAUUGGUUCCUCUAAAAAAUAAUCUUGUAAAGACAAUUUUUUUUUUUUGGCAUGGUAAAUGCUAGAUUGUUUGUGGUAAAUACAAAAUUGAUACAAUCAACUUGUAUGAUAAGUUUUAAAAGUUUAUUCAUAUUUAUAUUACAUAAUUAAAAGUUCAUUCAUAUUUAUAUGAGAUAUCUAUUUUAGGACACAGUUUAAUAAUCAUGGAAACUAACCAUUUAAUAACAAUUAUGGUCGUUUAACCUAUCUAAACAUGAAAUUGUCAGCUGGCUUAUCUUUGAGUAGGAGGAUAAUGUAAGAAAAUUAAUAUUUUAAUGUACAAUUUGUAUGCCAAGCGAAAAAUUUCACAAUUUAAAUUAGAAAAAAUAAAAUUUAAUAGUUAAAUAUUAUUUGAGCCAAUUGACUAGUGGGACAUUAUUUGUUACUGUCCAAAAAGCAUAACAUUAUUUUGAUAAAUGGUUACUGCAAGAAUAAGGAAAUAGAGGAAGCGUUAAGCCUUUAUAGCGAAAUGCUCUCUAAAGGAAUAAAGCCAACAGUUGUUACAUAUAACACCUUGUUUCUUGGUCUUUUUGAAAUACACCAAGUUGAGCGUGCUUUAAAACUGUUUGAUGAGAUGCAGCGCAAUGGUGUGGUUGCUGAUACCUCUACGUAUAAUACCUUUACUGACGGGCUCUGCAAGAAUGGUUAUAUCGUAGAGGCAGUUGAACUAUUUCGUACUUUGAGAAUUCUAAAGUAUGAACUGUGGUGUCCAAUUUCAUCACAUUUGGUACGCUUAUCCAUGGUUUUAUCCGAAUCAAUGAGCCAUCAGAAGUUAUUCAACUUCUUCACAUGAUGAAGGAGAAAAAAGUAAUGCCAGAUGCGUCUACAGUUUCAAUCGUUGUCGACUUACUUGUAAAGAAUGAAAUUAGUCUGAACUCACUUCCGUCAUUUCCUGUCCAAGAGCGACAGGGGGAAGUUGAUGAGUCAAAUGUCAAGUUGUAGCAGCAUGUCCUGUCCAUUGCUUCAAUCCUAAAUGCUUUGAUCUACCUGAAAAGUAUACAAAUAUCGGAGUUAAAACAGAGCAGAUUAAAUCGUAUUGAUGAACUCAACUGAGAUAAAUGACAAAAGAAAACUAACUUUUCCUGUUCAAAGCUCGCACACCUUCCUUUAAGAGCUGACUUUCCAAGAAGAGAUCACCACAAUCGUUCACAUCAACAGUCCACUUGAAAUUUUUUAUAACCACAAUAGUCAUUCCAUUCAAACCACAUCCUUGAGAUCAGUUCCUUCUUCAAGCAAGUGGGAUGGUCUUCCUCUUGAGGAGACUCAGCAGCAACCAAUCAAAGCACAAUAAAGGUAACAUCCAGAAUAAUGAUCCAAAUUUUUGUGGACUUACAUGCAAAGAAUGAAAUUGGUUUAAACUCGAUUCCACAAUUCAAGAGUUAAUGAGUUUAUCUUGAUUCAGUAGCGUGUCUCUUCUGCUUUAAAACCAGAUCUGGGGAAUCCCAUUCUUAUUACAACAUGUGAAGGAGUGUUUGUGUAUUGUUGGCAUGUUCCCAGGUUCUGUUCACGGAUUCUGUUUGCAGACAUGGCUAACUCCUCGUUUCAUCAGAUAAGUUUCAAAGUCUGGCAACUUUUUGUUGUAAAAAUAACUAUUUCAUUAUUCAAUUCAUGAGUUUUCCUUCUAUGGUGCAUCUUUCUCAUUAGCUGUAGUUUCAAAAUUUUUAGGCUCUUCCUGCAUGACCUCUUUUUCUUCUCUAAAUAGAUAAAAUUUGUUUUUCAUUUUUCUCUUGCGAGGGUACAGGUUCAUGUUGAAACUUUCUGUUAGUUAAAUUGAUUGUCUUUGAUAUUCGAACUUCUAGCUGAACUAGUUUGCACUUCGAAUAUAUGAGAUUACCAACUGUAACGGGAAUUGGUGCCAAAUUGAUUAUGUUAUCAGGUUUCCCAGUCUGUGUUCAUCUUGUCUUCUCUGCUUCUUUGGCUCCUGUCAAAUAUAAACUUGUAAAGACAUUUUGUUUUGGCAUGGCACAUGCUAGAUUUUGUUUUUGGUUUGAAUGAUAUUAGACAUCUAAGUAAUUGUCCAAAUUUUUUCGUUCCUAGUGACAAGGCAUUCAAUUGAAAUGGUGACUCAUGAAUCAUGAUUGUGUAUGUUGGUAUUUGUUAUACUACGCGUUAGACAAACUUUGUUGAAACUGACAUACUUUUCUCUAUGGAGAUUGAAGACAACAUAAUAAGAUAAAAUUUAUCCAAAACAUAUAUACUUGAAAGGGCUGGAACGUCUGUUAUUAGUCCUCGCCUUCCAUUCUUGUUUCGUAUUCUUCUGCUAACAAAUCUUGAUCAUGAUAGUCUUCUCUUUCUAUACAACCCACAUAUAAAGUCUUGGCCAUAAGCCUCGAGGCCUAUUCUCUUUUGCAGUGGUGAGUUCACUCUCAGGAAUCGGAUCCUUCAAAUUCGAGCGAAUUUGAAGAAACUGCAAAAGCCUACAAAGCAAAUGGUGUAGAGAACCUUUUACUUAUCACGGGCACAGGAUUACUGACUUUCUGCAUUUUACAGUUGGCUAUGGUUUGAUGCAUUAUUUAUUGUUCUCAAAUUAUAUUCUCGUUGGAAGUUCAAUCAUUACUGUUUCUUUUUUCCCCCUCUUUUUACUUGAAGUUACCUGAAGUUCCAUGCAUGCUCCAAUCGAACAAGUAACGUAGGUGCUGACCAACUCAAAAUAAGUAGUCAGUUGCCUAGUGGUUGCUUUGCAUGAAAUUUGUUUUUGGUAUGAAUAAUGUUGUCUUAAUUUUACAAGCUUCCAUGCAACUCCUAAUUUGUUGGAAGCAUUAACUCAACCCGUCAUUUAAGGUUAGAUUUAACCAUUGACUUAUGUUGACUAUUAAAAGUACUAUAAUAUUUUUAUAUUUUAUAAAUAUAACGAAACCUCACUUUAUUAACAAAUAUAAUUUAAAAUAUAAAAAAUCAAUAAUAAAAAAUAACUAAAGUUGAAAUCCAAGGAGCAACUUCUAUCCUCUAACCAAGUUAUUAAAUAUUAGAAUAGAUAGAGGCAUAUACUUUUCUUCAUGAUUCAGAAUCAUAUCUCAAAGUCAAAUAAAAUUCUCAAUGAUUGCAGGCCUCAAUACCAUUAAGAUGAACUAGACCAUCAUGAAUUUUUGUGCAUCUUGCAAGGUCCAAUUUCUCCAAGUUUAUGAUCAAGCCAAAAAAUGUCAUAAUUCCUUUUAUAGUAAUUUCAUAGUGUUUACUAAACAAUAAUAGAAAUGGACUGAAAGACAAAUAGGGAAUGCAAAUUAGAAUAGGGAUGGCAAUGGGGAGGGGGGAGGGGACCAACAUCCCUGUACCCAUUCCUGAUGUUUUGUAUAUAUCCUUAUCCCCUUCCCGUCCCCAUCAGAAUUGCUUAAGGGGAUUCUCGUCCCCUCUCUAAAUAAUAACAAGGAAUCCCCAAGGGUCCCCGAUCCCCAAAUAACUGAUAUAUUUGUUUAGUUUUCAAACUUAAUUUAAUCAUAUUAACCUAAAAAUAUAUAAAAUAAAAUGAAAAUGAUCAUGAAUGGGCCUUAUAUUUCAUUCUACUCUUUCAAACUUUUGAUAUAUAUAAUAUUCAAAUAAUGAUUUUCAAAACAAAAUUCAAAUAAUGUGAUUUUUAUACAAUAUUGACGUGAUUGUUGUCCAUGAGUAAUGAUACCUGCUGAUGACCGACUAUGAUGCAACAAAGCCGCAUAUGUGGCUGCUAGUUGGCGUUGCGAUGAGUUAGGCUACUCGGCCACUGACAACACAACGUGCUACUGAGUUAUGAUGAGAUGAAGACGAGUUGAGUGCUUACUACUGCAUGAAUAUUUUGGAAAUGAUGAGCAAGACUGUGAGAAAGUGAUUUAGAGUUUGAUUUGUGAGUUAUGAGCUUGUGGUUGUAAUUAAGUCUAAAUUAUAUUAAACAUUUUAUAUUAACUAAUAUUUAUAUUAUUUGUAUAAAUAUUUUGAUAUUUGUUAUUUACACCAAUAUUUUAUAUUUUACAAUUUAAAAUUUAUUAUUUAUUGACUAAUAAUUCUAGAAAAAUAAAAAAAAAUAUUAAAAUAGAGAAAUGGGGAGGGGACGGGGAUUACACCUCAUCCCCAUCCCUUCCAUGAAUAAGUAAUUGGGUAAAAAAUCAUCAUCGUCCCUUCCCCGAAUAAGAAGUUUGGUAUAAAAUCGUACAUGUACCCUCACCAAAUGGGAAAAAUCCCCAAGAGCCCCCAUCCCCAUCGGGAUUUCUGCUAUUCCUAAAUUAGAAUAAAUUAUUUAUUUGAACUGUAGGAAUCAGAAUCAAAAUAAGUUGGAUUAUCAUUUAUGUGUCUAUUUUGUCUUGGAAUUAAAAUCAAAAUGAUUUACAUUUUAACAACUUACUAAAAAGUGCUUAAUGAGCUAUUGUCAUAAUUAUUAUUUUAUAUUUUAAUUAUGGUAAUUAUUUAUUCAAAAAUUAUAAUAAUUAUUAUUGUUAAUAAUAUAUUCAUAUAUUAAUUAAUUGAAAAUUAUUUAAAUUAAUUAAUUAUUAAUAGAUUAAUUAUAAUAAUACAUUAAUUAAUUAUAACUGAGGAUAAAAUAUAUAUUUUUUAUUUUGUGAGGGGAUAAAAUGGUCAUUUCAAGGAAUGCGAGAGUCAUUCCUGCCUCCCUUGAGAAUUAAUCUUCCAUUUGUCAUUCCCAAAUUGCUGUGGACUCAACGAUUUUCAAUUCCGAUUCUUGACUCUAUUUUGUGAAGUAAAUGCUCUCAAUAAUUUCGAUUCCUCAAUCCGAAGAAGUAAAUGCACAGGUACUGUUUCUUCUAAAGCUCAAACUUGUCAGGUUUGAGAGACCUGAUAGAUACUUCAGUCAUGCAUCUAAUCCAUCAUAAGACAAACUGAAAGUUAGAAAUAAAAGGGACAACUCAAGGAAAAUGCACACAAGUGAGGUUUCAAAAUUAAAAUAGACACUUCAGCUGCAAAUCAGCAUACAUAUACAAUGGAGGUCAUACAAAUAUCAUUUCUACAACCGCCCUACUGUAUUCUUGAAUGAAGAUUGGUUUAGAGUCAAGUAAUAAGAUAUUUAAACUCAAGACAAAAAAAUACAAUAAAAUUUGCUGGAACUUAUAAGUAACUUACUCUCAUCUCUCCUCCUAAUUUAAUUGGACAUGCGUAAAUUUUCCAUGUUACUAUGGAUGAAAUAAAUUUUCUUUUUAUAAUAUAUGUAUGCAUUAAAAAAAAUUAAUAAUAAUAACUUUUACAAGCAUUUAUGCUUGUAUUAAUACUCUACUUUUUACCACACGAUUGCUUCAGUAAAUGGUGGAUGUUAAGAGAACAAUAAUAAUAGAAUUACAAACAAUUGCAUACUAUUAACUAACUUAACACUAUAAUAUUGUUUAUGGUGUAAGCACUCGAGGUAAUGUUAAUAUGCCAAAGAUUUAAAAAUAUUAGUUGUAGCUUUUGAAGAAAAAUAUACUUUCAGUUAGAAGGAAAAAAAAAAAAAGAAGAAGCUUUCUAACAAGAUAUCAAAAUGGUUAAUAAAAAGAGCAGUAGUAAUGUUACGAGGGGGUUCAAAUGGAGGGGCACGGGAAUUUCCAAAUUUGUAUCCAUUAAAUUUACCAAAAAAAAAAGAGAUUGGAUUGUUUUUUACAUAUUCUUAAUGUCACUUACUUGUUAUUUUUUUAAAUAUCAAACUUGUCAACUCUUAGGGGAAACAGGUAUUGGGGAAACAUGUAUUUAAGGGACUUUGUGCGGCUAAUUCUCAUCAUUCGCUACUCUAAACUUUAUUUUACAGAUUUGCGCAUCAUUUAUAACAUUUAAUUAAAUACACUUAAAUUAUAUAGAUUCAACGGUUCAACCUUCAUAUAUCACAUGAAGAGAAUACUGAAUUUUUAACAUCUCUCAUCAAGAGAUUGUACUGUGUUUACUCAAUUAGAUACUAAGUUUAUAUUCCAACUAAUGUCUUAAUAGUAUUUGAAUUAAAAAUGAUAAAACUUAAUAAUUAAUUAUUGCUUAAGUCAAUUAAAUAGUAUCAUAUCAUUUGUUUUAAAAAAAAAAAUCUUUGUUGUUUCAAGAUUAUUAAUCCUUUUUCAUUUAUUUAUUAUCAUUACUAUCUGCAACUAAUCAUAAUGAUUUGCAUCAACAUGUGAUUGUUUUUUUGACUCCAAGAACAGCUUGUCAAUAACAUGAAGUUUAUUUCUGACCGCCAAAGACCGAUACUCACUGGACAAAUUCCUAAAAGAAAGAUUCAAAUUCCAAUGUCUUAUACUUAUUUGAUUUGCAGUUCUUGUUAUGCUAAUGACUAGAAUGAGGCAAAGUGUUUUUUAAUUGAGAUGAUGGAUCUAAGGGUGCAGCAUGAUGUUGUGAUUUUCAAUGUUGACCAUAUAUGAGCUUUGUGAAAAUAGAAAGAUAGAAGAAGCAUGUAGGUUUUUAGAAUCGCAUCAAUGGAUGGGUUUUGCUUGACCUAGGGAACUAUUUGUUUCUGUGGAGAAUAAAGGGUGCAGAAAUGAUGUUGCUAAAUACAACAAGUUGAUAAAUGGGUAAUGCAAAAAGAAAGAAGUAGAGGAAGCGUUAGGCCUUUAUAGCGAAAAGCUUUCUAAAAGAAUUCUCCUAGAAUAUGUUGGGGGGAUGGAGCAGCUGCCCCCAUCGUACCCUAAGCCAACAGACUCAAAAUUGGAUGGGAACUUUUUUCAUUGAUUAUUUCACGAACGCCCGAUUCCAAAUAUGUAACAUACAACAUCAUGAUUCAUGGGCUUUGUAACAAUGGGCAAAUGGAUACGGAAGCAAGGCGUACGACGCCCAGUUGUGUCAUGUUUACUAAGCUUAUGCGAAAGAAUGACACAUCAAAAGCUAUUGAACUUCCUCACUCAAUGGAUAAGAGAAAUGUAAUGCGGGAUGCAUCUACACUUGCAACUGUUGUGGACUUUCUUUUAAAGAAUGAUAUCCGUUUAAACUCGAUUCCAGAAUUCAAAAGCCAAAAUUGAAUAUUGAUUUAGUAGCAUGUUUUUCUGCCUGCUGAAAAUCGGAUAUGGAGGAUCCGUUUCAUUAUACCAAAUGUGAACGAGUGUCACGUUGUGAGGGCAAUGUAAAAUCCUCGCCAUCUGGUUCGGUUCACCAAAGAAACUUCCCCAUUAAUUUCUUGAAAAAGUUAAGUUAAAACUGUAAAUGAAAGAAUCAUGAUGAUCUGUUUUGGUUUGUGAGAUGUUAGAAAGAGGCCAUUGUUAAAUAGACAUGAAUGCUGGAGAAAACUGUUAUGUUCUUUUAUUGAAUUAAGUUGAUCCUACUCGAUCUCUGCAUUUUAGAUUCCUACUUCAGAGUCGAAGAAGUGAAAGAUGGUGUGAAAAAAUUGUAUGCUUAAGUUAAUUUGAAUCCUUGUUAUUUAAUAAAAGCUAAGCUUCUUUCAAUCCGCACCUACGGUGGUCAUUUUUUUAUAUAUAUGGCGGCUAAUAAAUGGAUAAGAAAUAAUGUUUUUAAAAGACAUUUUUUUUUUCAAACACUAAAAAAGUUGCAGAAAAAAUAUUUAAAUAAUCUUGAUGUAUGUAUCUAAUAGCGUGUUUGUUAAGUGGAAAUAAAAAUGAGGGAACGAGAUACAUAAACUUAUUUACUUAUAAAGAGAGUAGGAGGAUUGAGAAUUAAAUUUGCUGGCCUCACAUCAAUUUAUGACUAACUCUUCGAUUUCUAAUUUCUAAGGGGGAUUUAGAAUCUAAAUCUCAUUUUCAAGACGGACUAUACUACCCCGCCCAAAUGUAAUAAUUUUCAUUUUGUCCUUCUUUUAAAUAUUUAAAAAAUAAAUAAAAAUCGCAUGAGUACUGUGCAAAGAUGGAUUGUUCUUGUUAUUGUUGAUGUUACUAUUACUAGCACCGCAUUACAUAUUAUUAAAUUAUUUUAAAUAUUACAAAUUAAAUUAUUUUUAAAUGAGUGAUAAAACCUGAUCAUUUAAUAACCAUGGCCAUUUAACAUAUUUAAACAUAAAAUUUCGUGUUAAAUUAUGUUUGAGUAUAAGGAUAAUGUAAGAUAAUUGGUACUUUAAUUUACAUUUAUGUGCCAACUGAAUAAAGUUCGCUAUUUAAAUUAAAUUAGAAACGGUGAAAUUCAAAAAUUAACUAUUAUUUAGCCAUUCAAACGCAGAGACAAUUUGUCACGGUUCCAAAAGCAUAGCAUCAUUGAAAGUACCGUAUCCCACUUGUAUUAAUAUUCGGAAGAAUGGAAGGAAAAGGGCAUAUGUUUCUCUUCUUCUAUUUUGGUAAUUCUUUUCUUCUUCUUCAACCCCAAAUAAUCAAAAGCUCUCCAAUGGCUUUCGUAUCCUCAACUCGUUCCUUUCAUUUUACUUCAAUUUCAAUAUCGGCUCUUAGAUGUAAUUUCUCCUCUUCGUUCCCUCAUACCGGAAAACCCAAAUCUUCAAUUUUGGAAAAUGAGCCUUCAGAUCCGACUACAACAGCUAAACUGAAGGAGUCGCUACGACUGACGGUCAAAGACCGAGCCUCACUCGAAAAAUUCCUCAAAGAAAGGUGCAAAUCAUCCGGUGAAGGUGAUAUUACUUCUAUUACUCCUAAUGAAGCCUUGUGUGUCUUUGAUUACAUGCUCAAUAUGCGCCCUUCUAGGCCUCCCGUCACUUCCUUCAAUAUUUUGUUUGGUUGUCUUGCUAAGACUAAACAUUAUGAUACUGUCCUUUCACUAUUCAAGAGACUCAAUUCCACUGGGUUGUUUCCGGAUCGUUAUACUUACAAUAUCUUGAUUAACUGCUUUUGCAAAAUGGGUCGAGUUUCUCAUGGUUUUGUUGUUCUUGGGAGAAUCCUCAGGUUUUGCUUUACUCCAGAUGCUGUGACCUUUACUUCUUUGAUUAAAGGUUUGUGUGCGGAGAGUAGAAUCAUGGAGGCCGCCGCAUUGUUUACGAAACUUAGAGUGUUUGGUUGUGAGCCUGAUGUCAUUACGUACAAUACUUUGAUUAAUGGAUUGUGUCGAACCGGCCAUACAAUUGUUGCUCUAAAUUUAUUUGAAGAGACGGCCAAUGGAAAUAGGAAAUUUGGUGUUAUUUGUAAGCCAGACGCUAUUACAUACAAUACUAUUAUAGAUGGUCUUUGUAAGGAAGGUUUUGUGGACAAGGCCAAGGAACUGUUUCUGCAGAUGAAGGAUAAGAAUAUUAACCCAGAUGUGGUUACUUAUAACUCUUUGAUUCACGGUUUUUGUUACGCUAAUGAUUGGAACGAGGCGAAUUGUUUGCUUAUUGAGAUGAUGGAUCAAGGGGUACAGCCUGAUGUUGUGACUUUCAAUGUGAUCAUGGAUGAGCUCUGCAAGAAUGGGAAGAUGGAUGAAGCAAGUAGGUUGUUGGACCUGAUGAUUCAGCGUGGUGUGCGUCCAAAUACUUUUGUCUAUAGCACAUUAAUGGACGGGUUUUGCUUGACUGGUAGAGUUAAUCAUGCGAAGGAACUAUUUGUUUCUAUGGAGAGUAUGGGUUGCAAACAUACUGUUUUUAGUUACAGUAUUUUGAUAAAUGGUUACUGCAAGAAUAAGGAAAUAGAGGGAGCGUUAACCCUUUAUAGCGAAAUGCUCUCUAAAGGAAUUAAGCCAGAUGUUGUUAUAUAUAACACCUUGUUUACUGGCCUUUUUGAAAUACACCAGGUUGAGCGUGCUUUCAAGCUGUUAGAUGAGAUGCAACGUGAUGGCGUGGCAGCUGAUACCUGGACAUAUAGAACCUUUAUUGAUGGGCUCUGCAAGAAUGGUUAUAUUGUAGAGGCAGUUGAACUAUUUCGUACUUUGAGAAUUCUCAAGUGUGAACUUGAUAUUCGAGCCUACAACUGCCUCAUUGAUGGAUUAUGUAAAUCCGGCAGACUCGAAAUUGCACGGGAACUAUUUCGUAGUUUGCCUUGUGGAGUCCUAAUAGCAGAUGUUGUAACAUAUAACAUCAUGAUCCAUGCGCUUUGUACUGAUGGGAAAAUGGACAAGGCACAUGAUUUGUUUCUUGAUAUGGAAGCAAAAGGUGUAGCACCCAAUUGUGUCACAUUUAACACGCUUAUGCUAGGUUGCAUCCGCAAUAAUGAGACAUCAAAAGUUGUUGAACUCCUUCACAGAAUGGAUGAGAGAAAUGUAAUACCAGAUGGAUCUACACUUUCAAUUGUUGUGGACUUACUUGUAAAGAAUGAAAUUAGCUUAAACUCGAUUCCACAAUUCAAGAGUCAAAGUUAAAGUGAGUUUAUAUUGAUUUAGUCUCAUGUUUCUUCUGCCUGAAAACCCGAUCUGGAGGAUCCCAUUCUUAUUACAACAUGUAAAGGAGUGUUGUCUAAUGUUGGCAUGUUCCUAGGUUCUGUCCAUGGAUUCUGUUUGCAGACAUGGCUAACUUCUUGUCCAACAGAUAAGUUUUAAAGUCUUUCAACUUUAUGUUGUAAAAUAACAUUUUUAUUAUUCAAUUCAUGAGUUUUCCUUCUGUAACACAUCCUUCUCAUUAGCUGGAAGUGCAAAUUUUUUAGGCUUUUCCUUAUGGCCUCUUUUUCUUCUCUAAAUAAAAUGGCAUUUUGUUUCCCUCCUGUGAGGUACAACGUUUAUGUUCAAACUUUCUGUUAGUUAAGUUGGUUGUCUUUGAUAUAGGGAACUUCCAGUUGAACUGAUUUGUAAUUCGAGUAUAUGAGAUUACCAACUGUAUUGGGAAUUGAUGCCAAAUUAAUUAUGUCAUCAGGUUUUUCAAUCAGCGUUCAUCAUUUAUUUCUAUUAACAGUUAAUAGCACAGCUUGUCUUCUCAGCUUCAUUGAUUCCUCUAAAAAAUAAUCUUGUAAAGACAAUUUUUUUUUUUUUUUUUGGCGUGGUAAAUGCUAGAUAGUUUGUGGUCUGAAUGAUACUAAUAAUUGCCCAAAUUGCCAUGUAACAAGGAGUGUUGCAUAGUGAUGUCAUGCUCACAGGUACCACUCAUCAACAUGGCCAACGCUUUCGAUGCAGUCAUUAUUAUGGAAAUUCAAGAGUUCUCCUCCUAAGAGGUCUCUCUCUCGUUCUCUUAAUUUCCUUAUUCUGUUUUGGAAGUAAUGUAAUGGGAAAAUAGCAUUUAAUUUCCUUGUGUGUGACAUUUUCUUCUAUAAAUGCUAUAAAAUAUCUUUUUUUUUCAUCAUUGAUAUGUAUUACACAAUCAGAAGACUACUCGUAUUUAUAUGAAACAUCUACUUUAUGGCACAGUUCAGAUUUUUAUCCUUAUAAAUAUUGGAGGGAUAUCUUUAUGUUUCUUCUGUGAUAACGUUUCUGCGUGCUGCAACCUUUUUAUUAGAUUGAUAGAAUGUGAAUACAAGGAAAUUCUGUUUGAUAAUCUCGGCAAACCAGGAUUAAUAUGAAAUGGAGCGUCAUCAACAAAUACUUAGCAUAUUGCUGACUAUGAUUUGUUCUCCUCCCCUCAUUCUUUUUGUGAGUAGAAUUGGAUUGUGAAACUUGUUAUGUCAGCACAAGUGUUCUUACAAGUUGACGUAAAAUACACUGACUUGAAAUAAUGGCAUGGUAAUUGGUAUAGAUAAGCUAGCAUGAGUAUAUUUUGUCACCAAUUUCGCCAACCGCGUCUGGGUGUGGAAAUUAUAUUGCAUUUCUAAUGUCAUUUGAAAGAAAAACUUGCAAAAUUUGUAAUUUGUUAAAUCUGAACCGUGGUUCACAUCUACUCUUCCCGAACUUGAGUCAUAUGAUUCAAUUUUUUAGUGGGCAUGGCGAGAUAGAUUUCUACCAAGCCCAACCCAUUUAUCUACCCUUUUGUAAUUUUCUAUCAUGCAUAUAUUUAUAUUUUUGUAUAGUUAAUAUCUAAUUAUUUAUGUAUUUUUAUCGAAUAACUACUAAUUAUAUUUUUCUAAAAAAUCGGCAUGAAAAGUUCAACUUAAUAUUGAAUUAAAUUUUGAUAAGUAUAUGUCAAAUGUUUGGAAUUCUUUUUCUAGUCUUCAUGAUUGAUUAAUUGGAAAAUAAAUGUGUAUGUAUUAAAAUGGUAUUGGAUAAACAUGCCCCUAUCACCCAAGUUUUCCUUUGGAUAAUUUCCUAACUUGCAAGUUGAUAUCGAUGUUUAAAAAGAACCAAAAAAAAAAAAAAAAAAAUACAUUGAAAUCUUUAUAAAUUACUUCUUGACCUAAUAGUUGACACUUUCUCACCUUAUUCUUGAGGUUGAAGGUUUGAAUUUUCUUAUGUGGAUUUUAGGUGAACUACAGAAAAACAGCUUAUAUGAGACAUUUUCAAAAUAAGUAUGAAUGUGGUACUUAUUCAUCAGAUGGACAUAUUAAUGACGUGAUAAAUUCGUGUUAUGUAAAUUUUCCAGACUGUAUAUUUAUAUUAUAAUAUUAAAUAAAUAAAUAAGAAGAAAGAAAGGAAAAUGCAGCUUCCAAAUUUUUUCAUAGAUUGGCUAUAUGCACAAACAGCAAAUCAAAACAAAAAGAAAGGAUGUGACAUGACCUUACUUCCUGUUAUCCCAGUUAUGGAAUUCAAGUCAAUCUUUGAAGUAAUGCACUUUUAUUACUCUAUGACAGAGACAGGUCCAAGUCUUUCUUCCAAAUUCAUAAUCUUCAACAUUUCUCCAACCAAUCAAGCAAGGCUAGAGAUAGGUAACAUACAUUUUGAUGUACAUUUGGCUUUUGUAUCAUCUACUUCACUAGUGAUCCAUUAAAUGGAUCCACCAUUAACGUAAAUGCUAGUUUAACUAUUGACAGUGGAGCAAGUAUGUAUGUGGUCCCUACGCACAAGCAUACACGCCCAUUAAAGCAUUUACUCUCCUCAUCAUUGGAUAUGAAUUUUGUGAACUAUAUAUCUUUUUGGGGGUUUCAUUUAUCUUUCCGGUCUCUUAUGAUCAUUCACGGCUCCUGCUGCUGCUUCUUAUUGGCUCUUUGACAUCCUCUGUCUUGUUCUUGCUGUGUGUGUCAGCCACUAGCAACUGCUUCAAGCAAUGUGAGUUUGUUGCGUGAGCUUCCGUUUUGGUUAUUUUCAAUUAUUAUUUUUGUUGAUGGGUUUGUGAUUUUGUGCUGUAUUAUUACAGGAUUACACUGUUUAUAUGGAAGAGAGAAGAUAUGAUGAGCCUUAGCUGGUUCAGGAUUCGGACCAUCAGAUUCUUUCGGAUAUUCUUGGAAGGUUUAUAUUUCAAUCUCUUUAGCCGAAUUUACCUAUUAUAUUUUUAUCAUAUAAACGCUAUGCAAAAUGUUUAUGUUAAUGUAUGGCGAAAAUUGAAAAAUGGAAAAUAAAAAUAUUUGUGCUGCUUUCACUAUUUAUCUAUGUUAAUCUGUUUGAUAAAAUGAAGUGGAUGUCAUUAUUUCCAUGCAUCAGUAAUUACAAUCCAUAUUAUGCUCUUGCUAGUCUGUGCUCCAUUUGAACAUCGCAACGAACUUAUUUACUUACAUAUAUUUUGUGCUUUCUGGUUGGAAAUUGGAAGUUUUAACCAAUUUCUGAUCAGAAACAGCCCUUUUGAGUGCUAUGGCAGAAACCGCAGACGCGGCCUAACCUUCAUUUUUAAUUUGUAUCAAUUGGUAGUUUUUUAUAACUCUCUCUUUUCCCCUCUAUCAAUAAUGAAUGGUAUUCGCUAGAGAAACCGUAAGGGGACUAAUCAUUGUGAAAAGCACUAGGUGAUAACUAGCAGUUUCAAUUUGACAGCAAAGAAGCUGCUAAGGAAUCAAUUCUCUGUACAGCCACAAGCAUGGUUUUUCUGGAUUUGCCGCAGUCUUAACAGUCUCAAGCCAAGUUAACUGCAGGUGUUAUAAUGUUGGUGAAUGAAAUCUGUUUUAGCUGUCCAAAUUUGUUUUAUUAACCAAUAUUUUCUGUUGAUACGUUUUGUAUGAUGCAUUUGUGCAGAUCACCCUGCCGUGGUCUGUAUUGUACCAAAUAGGACACUCAGUUUGCACACAACCAAAAUGUUGUGAAUGAAAUUCCUUCAAAAGGCCAUUCAGGCGCUGGAAGUUAUUUUCAGAUUCAUGGAAAUAACUAUAAUACUGGUGGCAUUUAGUUUCCAAGUGAUCUUGGUAGUUCAAUAAGUUCUAGUUCUACACUUGUUUCCAAAGGUUUUGGUUACAUGAUGGUCUGCCCGUUGAAUUACAAACUUGUGAUGAUUUGUACAAGAGGAAAAAAUGUAUUGGUUGGAAUUUUUGUUUCAUAUGAUAUAACUCUGUGAAACAGCUUUACAUUUUGUGUUCAAGUUGAACAACAUACAAUUUGAACGAAGAUUAUUCAAUCAAAUUGAAGAUUUCUGUUUGAAUAUUUUGAAUGACAAAAUUAAAUUUACUUUCAUGCAGAUGCAGUAGCAUUUAAUCAAGUUCCUUGUGCUGUUGAAACAAAAAUAUAACAUCCUUGCUUGCAUUUCAACAUGAUAUGAUGCUACUCUUUUACUGUUAACCAACACACAUACAUCAUGUAGGCCUAAUGGCAAAUGUUGUAAUAUAUAACAUCAUGAUCCAUGGGCUUUGUAAUGAUGGGCAAAUGGACAAGGCAUCAUGAUCCCCCCCCCCCUCCUUUUUUGCUAUGGAUUGUAUUUCUUUUUUUUUCUACUUUUACUUGCGUUGACAAUUUGAGCUUGCUGUCUUGUGGUCUUAGAACCUGCUAAAGUAAGCGUGUAAGCGACAGUGAAGAAGGGGAAGGGUUUACUCGUCAUUUUCUUUUUGAAAGCAAUGCGUUUUAUGCGGUGAUAUUUUUUUUAUCUACGUUGUGAAAAAAUUUGACUGAUUUUGAAGAUCCUUAAAGAUCGUCCAUCUUGGUUCUGGCAUUGUUGCAGCCUUGAAGUUUGCAAAAUGAUUCCUGCUGGAUAAAUUGAACAGCUGCCUCUUUGAUGGAUUAUGUAAAUCUGGCAGACUUGAGUUUGCAUGUGAAUUGUUUCGUAGUUUGCCUCGUCGAGUCCUCGUGGCAGAUGCUGUAACAUAUAACAUCAUGAUCCAUGGGCAUUGUGACGACGGCCGAAUGGAUAAGGCACAUGAUUUAUUUCUUGAAAUGGAAGAAAAUGCUGUGGCACCCAAUGUGAUCACAUUUGGUACGUUUAUCCAUGGUUUUAGCCAAAUCAAUGAGCCAUCAAAAGUUAUUGACCUUCUUCACAAGAUGAGGGAGAAAAAAGUAAUGCCAGAUGCAUCUAUAGUUUCAAUCGUUGUGGACUUACUUGUAAAGAAUGAAAUUAGUCUGAACUCACUUCCGUCAUUUCCUGUCCAAGAGCGACAGGGGGAAGUUGAUGAGUGAAAUGUCAAGUUGUAGCAGCAUGUGCUUUCAGCCCAAAAUCCUGAUCCGCAGCAUCUCAUUCAUGUUACAAAAUGACAUGUUGGCUGGUGACAGCAUGUUCUCUCCGGUGCUGUUAAUGGAUUCUGAUUGUUCUUGUGAUCUGGAGAGUUUCAUUCAUAUUACAGAUCCUUAUCAGGACGAGCUAGCAUAUGUGAUCACCAACUGUACAUGGUUGUUGAUGCCAAAUUAAAUUAUGGUAUCAUGUUUUUCAACUUGUUAUUUAAUAUAGUGCUUCCAUUGAACGGCCACAAGAAACUGUAGAAUCACCGUGUCUUGUUUAGAAGCUAAUGAAUUAGUUGCACCUUGUCACUUUAUUGAGACUUGAUUGUCAUUUGUGCUUUGAAUUUACAGCAUAUUUUAUCCUUGCUGUACUCUUUGCAUAAUCACUUUUGAGGGCUGCUAGUAUGUAUAAUUGAAAAACCUUAUAUAAAUUGUAAGCAUUUUUAUUUAACUUGUUGUAAACGUCCAGUAUAUGUCUCUCCUGUGAAAUGAUUCAUUCUCCAUGCUGCUAGGGCCUAGGCUUAUGACUCUCUGAAAUGAUUUACCCUCACCUGCGCACAGACAUUUAUCACAUUCGAGAAAUCUUCAAACAAUGUGAAAAAAAUGCCUCAAACACGACAUAAACUUAGUUGUUUACAUGAAAAGUGGCAGAAACUUGGUGAAAUUACCGAUUAAACUUCCAAAUAACAUUUCAAAUGGUAUUGUGAAAAAUUUCACUCUUUUGGUAAUAAAAAAGAACCUUAUUUCUAGUUCUCUAUUAACAAUCUUACCACUAAGUUCUCUCUUAAGUAAACACAUAUAUAUGUUAAUUUAUUGUUAAUAUAAACAAAACUAAAUAUUUAUAACUUAAAAGAUAAGUGUUGAAUAGAGGCGUUCUCACAGGGAAAAAAAAAAAGUAUUUAAAAAUAGUGGUGAUAUCAUAAUUUUUUAUAUUGAUACGAGAAUAUCACACUAAAUUUUUAUACCAUGUAUUGGCAAGACAAAGUUUCUUGAAACUGACAAACUUUUCUCUAUGAAGAUUGAAGACAAUAUGAUAAGAUAAAAUUUAUCAAAAGCAUAUAUGCUUGCCAGGGCUGGACCUUUGAUUUUUAGUCCUCGCCUUUCGUUCUUGUUUCAUAUUCUUCUGCUAACAAAUCUUGAUCAGGAUGAGUCUCCUUUUUUCUUUAAAAAAAACCCACACGUAAAGUCUUGGCCAUAAGCCUCAAGACCUAUUGGCUGUUGCAGUGGUGAGUUCACUCUCAGGAAUCAAAUCUUUCAAAUUCAAGCGAAUUUGAAGAAGCUCGAAUUUGAAGAAAUUUCAAAUGCCUCGUGCAGGCCUAAUGCCAAAUGUUGUAACAUAUAACAUCACGAUUCAUGGGCUUUGUAACGAUGGGCAAAUGGAUGAGGUACAUGAUAUAUUCACGCUUCUGUCUAUAACACAUUAAUGGAUGGGUUUUGCUCGACGGGUAGAGUUAACCAUGCGGAGGAACUAUUUGGUUCUGCCAUUGUUGCAGCCUUGAAGUUUGCUAAACGUUUCCUGCUGGAUAGAUUGAAAAAGUUUGUCUGGAUGGCCUGGUUUUGAAUUGAUUUUAAUAGAAAACGAGCUUCAAGCAUGUGCUCCAACUACUCUGGCAUGAGGUAAUACUAUAAUUUAUUUAUUUUUAAUGAGUGAGGCUAUAAAUCCUGAAUUCCAACUUGACAUGGCAUUAAUCUGGUGAGUGGCAGAAUAUUAAUUAAAACAAAAUCAUUUUCAACUUAACUUUCACAUCAAACAGAGGGGCUAAUAUGCUUUCCGGAUUAUGAUCCGCUGGCAAUCGGAAAGCCAAAAAAUUAAUUAUUCCAUUAUUAAUUCCAAUAGUAUCGCUGUAUCAGCUAAAAAGCACAAGAUUAAAUUGAUUUACGCACUUGCACCAUUUAUUUAAGCAUACUGUUGGUUUAGCGUUUGCUUAAAUUUGAAAGUAGAGUGUUUCCAUGCCACAGUGCCAUGACAUUGGUGAUUGGCCAACAGUUUUUUUUUUUUUUUUUUUUGUGUAAUCUUUUUUGGUUGCAGUAAUAAAAUGUUAAUCCUUUCUUCUCAUGAAUGUUUUCUUGAACUGAAAUGUUAAUCAUUUCUUCAUGUUGAGGCAUUAAACUACUACAGACCUAGGGUGGCAAUAUAUGGAAGUAAAUGGUCGUUUAGUAGGACCCUUUAAUUAGGGUAUUAGCUGCUCAAUUUGGAGAUCUCAUGGACCAACAAUUUAUCUGGAAUGUCACAUUCACAUAUUUGAUUGAAAAAGGAAUUAAGGAAUUUCAGGUGGCCCGGAAACGCAACCAACUAUACCCGACAAUGGCAGAAGACAUUAUAGAUUAUCGAUUAUUGAGUUAAAUAUGAAUGGUGGGAUUUCAGGUGGCCUAAAAAGUUAAACAUGAAUGUUCUACAUAAGGUUAUCUGUAACUUGAAGUUCAACAAAAAGUUUUAAAACUAGAUAUUACAAUGGUGGGAUUUUGCCUUUUAUCUCUUGUUUCUCUUCCCUUAAUCGUUUCUUGGCAUGUUUUAUCAGCUCUUCCUUUGGGUCAUUUUGUAGGACGGGUUACACCAGCUAAGCACAUGGAAAGGUUAUGUAGACUGGACUCUGGAGGAAUAAACCUGCCCUGAGAGGCCGUCAUGGUGGCAUGCUUUGCUGCUUGUUUUGUCUUGGGUCGGUCUAUUUUUCCUAUUACUAAGGCACAUUUGCACCGUUAUGUCUUGCGAACGAUUAAACAUUUACACUUUAUAGUAAAAAAAAUUACAUAUUAAGAGAAAUAUUAUAUUUGCAUGCUGAUAUGAAUUAGCACUAGAAACAUGAGGCUUGCUAAUUAGAAUUGUUAUAUUGUCAAACUCAGCUGUGGAGGUACUGGAGAAUCCAGUAUAUCUGGCCAAUGCAAGCAACCUUGUGCUGUAUCUUUCAAAGUUUAUGCGUUUUUCACCAUCCAGCUCUGCAAACAUAGUUACCAAUUUCAUGGGUUCCUCUUUGCUCUACUUGGUGGCUUUUUUACGGUUGCUUUCUUCAACACCGACAGCAGCUAUGUCAUAAGUGAGCAAUAGAAUUCAUGGUAAGUUUUUUGUUAGGAUCAAACUUUUUAACUUGUUAAAUUUUUGUAAUUUCUUACUAAUAAGGCAGAGUUGCCUAUUUUUAUCCGAUUAUCAUGCCUCAUACAAUUUUCUUGGGAUUUGCUUCGAUGCCUCUGUGACUCACCAUGAAACUCAAAAACUUUCUAAAACUAGCUCCAAAUACACAUUUCUUUGGAUUAAACUUCAUUUGGUACUCCCUCAGCAAACCAAAUGUUUCUUUCAAAUGCUGCACGUGGUCACUCGAGUUGUGAGACUUUGUGAUAAUGCCAUCCUUAUAUGCCUCCAUUAUGUUCCCAAUCAGCAGCUUGAAGAUCUUAUUCACGAAUCUCUAGUAUGUUGCUCAAACAUUUUUCAAGCCAAAGGACACGACAUUAUAACAAUACAGCCCUUGGUUAGUAACAAAAGAAGUAUGCUCCUCAUCCUGCUCGAACAUCGGUACAUGGUUGUAAUCCAAAAAGGCAUCUACAAAGCUGAGAAGUCCAUGUCUAGUUGUGGAAUCGACCAACUGAGCUAUUUUAGGCAAUGGAAAAAUAUCUUUGAGGCAUACCUUAUUGAGGUUCAUGAAAUCCAUGCACAUUCUCCACCUCCUGUUCACUUUCUUCACCUACAUCACGUUCGAAAGCCGCUACGAGUUGUUUACCUCCUUGAUGAAACCUGCAUGUAAAAUUUUAUCCACUUCACUACUAAUGCCGUCAUACCUAUCCUAGUUAAAGCAUCUUCUGUUUUGUUUCAUCGGUCUCGCAUCUCUGCUCACUGCUAACUUGUGACAAGCCGCCUUGGCAUCGACCCCUGGCAUAUCUUUGUCCUGCAAGCCAAACACAUUAAAAUGUGGUUGCAACAACUCCACCAGCUUUGCUUCCAAAUCUUCCCCAUGGGUGGCUUUAAGUAUAGGCGAACAAGGCCGUCGCCUAAGCUCUCAUAUUUUAAGAAGACCUCAUUUUUUAAGUAUUUCCUUAAUAAUUCUCUAAUUAAUAAAAUAUUUUAAUAUAUAUUUUAAGAAAUUAAAAAGUUUAUUAGAUAUCUCUCUAUUCUUAAUUAUUCUAUAAUUAAGAAUUAUUUUUUAUAAAAAAAUCUAUAUUUGGGAACCUUAAUUUUAAAGAAAUAAUUAAUACUAUUCUUUAACCAUUAGUUCAUUCCUUUUCAAUUAUUCAAUGUUAGCAUAUUUGACUUUUAAUAUUUCUUUUAAUUUCUAUUAAAAACCUCAUAAUCUCAAGAAUUAGUAAAUGAAAAAAAUUUAUUGUUCGCUUCUCUACAAAUAAAAUUUUUAUAUUCGUUGGUUCAUUUAAAAUAAUUAGUUUCUUAAAAUAUAAAGUCCAUUUUUAUUUUUGAACAUCAAUUCAUCAUUUUAAAAUUUUUAUAUUCUAUCUUUCUAAAUAUUCUAUUUGAAAAUAAAAUUGUUUUUAUUUAUUUGUUUGUUUAUUUUUUAACGGUUUUAAUGGAAUAAAAAAAUUAUCUUCUUGACUAUUUUUUAGGUUUUAUUUUUUAAAUUUUUGAUUUUUUUAUUAUUGUUGAAAUUCAAGAAUUAAAGAUGGAAUAAAUUUUGAUCCUUUGUAUAUAUCUUUGAGUAUUAAAAUUACAAAACAAUAGAGGUCUCAUAAACAAAUUUCGCCUAAGGCCUCUCAAACUCUAAAGCUGGUCCUGAUCUUCCCCCUAGGGGUAGCCAUAAAUUUUGGGUUCGAUUUAGUUUAACCUUUAAAAUCCGAACAUGUUUAAACUUAGAACCUAUUCGUUUUUAAUUGUUUUGUCAAACUUUUAGGAGAUUAAAGGGGUGUGAAAGGACAUAAGAAGUCUUGUUAUGGCUUGGCCCUUUAUAAUAGAUAUUGGUGCACAUGCUCUUUUCUUCUAUAUUUUUAGAGAAAGAAAAUUAGUAUAUGAUCUGUUUGAAGUCGCCUGGAAUUUCAAAAAUCCUAUGCUUCAAUAUAUUAUUAAUCAAAUCCCCUUAUAUCUUGAUAAAAUCUUUUUUACUCUUUCAUUCGCAAGGAGCUGGAUGAUGGCUGGAAAUAAGGAAAUUCCUUUUUUUUUGUUUCACCCCAAUUGUUCUUGUAUUUGUAUAUUGCCAUAUAUCAUAAAAUACAAAUUUAUGUAUGUCAAAAUGAAAUCGAUCUUAAAAAAAGAAAAAAAAGAUCUCGCGUUACUGCCGCUUACACACCCCCAUGCCACAGCUGCUAUUAAUUCCGUUUGGCGCACCAGCAUUACAGCUUCUAGCUGUUCUUUCUUCCUUGAGUUGAUUUGGUUCCUCGUUCUAGGCUUCAAGUUAAUGUCGUCUUCAGCCAUUCUAGAGUCGUUUACUUUUGAUCUAGCUGUUGCUGUCUCUACCUCCUUCUUCAUUAAUUGCCAUCAGCCGCAUAAAGGAAGGAUGUGAGUUUAUGUUUACGAUUCCUAAUGGUGAUGAAUAAGACAUGGUGUAAGAGAUGUUGUUAACUGAAUUUAGUAUGCUUUCUAGGAUCAUAUGCAAUACAUAUGUAUUUCUUGUAUAAUUGUUGUUUGUAUAUUGUAUUUCAAUCGGGCAUGGCUAUCUUUGUCUUACUCUUGUACAUUUCUAUUACUUUAGAUAACUAUUAAGGUGUAGAUGGCUUUCACGGAUAAAUAAUAAGCAAUUUUAGGAGCUUUUCGUGUAAAAAUAUAGAACCUAUAUUGUUGAAAUGUCGAGUAUACUUAGUAGUUGAUAUUUGUUUAUAUUUUUACAUUAAUCUGGGAUGGGAUUUGAACUUUAUAACCGAAAUUGAAUCUAAACCAAAAUUAAGAUAAGAAUAUUCAAACUAAAUCGAUCCAAAAUGCAAACCUAAACCAAAUUGAGCUAAAUUAAAUUUGAUUUAGUUUGGUUUGGGUUUACUCUCUAAACCUGAUUGGAUUGACUUCUCCAACCCAAUUAAGUUUUAGCCCAAAUUGAAACCUAAACAACCUGAAUCAAAACCCGAUUUGCCCACCCUUAUGAUACGAACCCAUCCAAAAACUAACGCAACCCUAAUCAAUUUAAUCUCUAAGAUUAAAUAGAAGCACUACCCAAUGUUCAAUGAAAGCAUGAACCUUAGUAUGUGAGGAUGCUACAAUCAAUUAUGGAUGAUUUGAUUAUAAGUUAAGAGUUUGAAUGACACAGAAAUUUGAUAAAUUCAAAUAGUUUGUUUAAGAAUAAAAAAGAAUUAACUCUCUCACUAAUUGCAUCAAAAUUUAUUUGUCUUUGUUUAUUAGAUGCGAGUACAUUAUAUAGGAUUGGUUACAAAAAUUUUUAGAAAUAAAUCCUAAACCGAAAUCAAAUCAGAAUCCUAAUCUAAUGCAAAUAAGAAAAGAAUUUUAGUCAAAUCAUAAUCCUAAUCAAAGCAAGUAGGAAAGAAUCUAAAUCGAGUCAAAAUUAUAAUCUAAGUAAAUAGGAAAGAAUCUAAAUAAAAUCAUAAUCCUAAUCGGUUUAAAUAAAUUACAUCAAUUAAAAUAAAAACUCAACAAUUAAAAGAGAAAUAACUUCUUGUUUCUCCACCAGCAUCAUCCAGAAACGGGAAAGUAUUCAAAAAGAAAAGUAGCAUAUUUUUCAAAUGGAAAAGUAUAUGAAAAAGAAAAAUAAGAUAUUUUCUCGCCGUAAUGUGCAAGCCAACUUCCUAUUUUAUGGAAGUGAUUAUUUGGAAACUUUAAGAGCCGUAAUCAUGUAUUUAUCACGUGCAAUUCCUUCAAUAGGCCUCUAUAAAUUUGAUCGAGCCUCAAUUACUUGAAUAAACCCAUUAAACGCUUCUUUAAAUUUGUUUGUUCGAGCUCUAGUGACAGGUCCAACGAUAACUUGAAUAGGAUUUGAAUAUAUCUCAUCCCACGUGCUUGUGAUAGUUUUGUCCUCAAUCUAAUCAUUUUACUUCCCUAAUCUCGACCCAAUCUUUAAAAUUUUUUCAUGCUAGCUUGACUUUACUAUGACUGCCUUGAGAUUUUCAACUGGUUUUUAUCUCUCUUUCUUGAAAUCUCUUCAAGUGUCAAGUUAUCUACGUGGCUUCUUUAGUCGCGGACACAUAAUCGCACCUAACAAUUCUCUAGUCACCCUUUACAACUUUUGCCACACUAUUUACUCAUUCUUUGAGUGCCAUGUAAUGGUUAGACAUCAUGGACUUGCUAAUCCUCAUAAAGGGUCUUCCAAAAAUUAUUUGAUAUGGGCUGUCUUCCUCGACUAUUAUAAAAAAAACUGGCAUGAUGGUCUUUUCAAAUGGUCCAGAGCCGAUCGUUACUAGCAGCUCUAGGCAUUAAUUUUCCUCUUCUAUAUCCUUUCAAAGAACUGUUGGUGUGCUUGUUGGGUAAAAAUUCAAAUACUAUGGGUGUCAAUGUGUAAGUAUACACAACAAGUAAUAUAAUGAUAAAUAUACAAGAUCAUCUCCACAGGGGUUGAUGUUACGAAAAUUACUACAGCAAGCUUAACAAUUUUGGUUGAAGUGAAAGUAGAUUGAUCAAUUAAACAAAUAAACUACCUAAUAAAAUGCAAUAAGUAAAUAUGCAGAAAAGCAAACUCUCAGGUCAAACACAAAAAUAAAAUCAAUAGGAAUGAAGUAGUUGAGUGACUAAACUCUUUUAAUGGAAUUGACUAUUUCUUGCAAAUUUCGAUUCAGUUGCUGCAGCAUCUGCUACAGUACUAGGCAUAAUCCUCAUGCAUCAUCAGCUGUCGCAUGUUGGAUGUCUUAUAUCUAUAUGCAACCUAACAAUGACCAAUUGUUAUGCCAACAUAAUAUAUAUCAUUACACAUUUAGGUUCUAUUUACCCUAUAAGGUGAAUCCCUAUAUCUAGUUCAUCACUAAUUUUAGAUUAAGUAUGACCUUUUUUGGAAUCAAGUUGAACUCAAUCUAGGAACCCAAUCUAAAACUAAAUAUUAUUCUAAUAUGUUCCACUAAGAUAAGCCAUUUUGUGGCUCUUUCCUAGCUUGUACCAUUAAAUGGGUAGUCAGCUAAAAUAAUGACUUUAAAUAAAUACUAUCACAACAAAAUGUUAUAGCAAACAUGCAGCCAGGGACGUAGCCAGGAUUUUGAUCGAGUUGGGGCACAUUUAAAAUAAAAAAUGACUUGAAUGCGCGAUUGCUCGUGUGGUAAGUGUGGGCCCCACAAACUCCAAAUGGGAGCUUGCCACAUGUACAAUCGUGCUCCUUAUAGAGUGUUUCUGACUGCAUCUAAUUAAAAUGCUAUUAAAAUAUAAUACACUUCUAAAAAUUUAGAUGGAAAUAUAUAACAUUAUGUUGAGUGUUAGAAAAUGGAUAUUUAUAAAGGAGAAAAUCGUCAUUUUACAUUUCAAGUCUUACUAACAACCCUUACUUUUAUGUAUUUAAGCUUCUUGUAAUUUAAUUAUGUGUGUUUGAUUUUAAUUAAGUAUUUUAUGUAUUUUAGGGGCAUCAUAGUCAAUUCACAAUAAAUGAGAGAUCAAACGAUAAAACGGACAUCACUUUUGAACUCAGGACGGUCGAAAACCUUAAGAGAAGCAUAAAAGGAAAAAUGGCACUGUUCACAUGUACGGUACUAUUCAUAUGUACGGUACUGUCUACGUUACUGUUCACGACACUGUUCAUAUAGACGGAUCGAUGACGUGGCAUUGACCGAUGAUGUGGCAUUCACUGAUGAGGUGUCAUGAUCCUGUUGGACUAAAAUUCUUAUGUACUGUUGAUGGUGACGUGGCAGCAUAUUAGUGGACUAAAAAACGUGUGUACGGUACAUGCAACACAUGGGAAUAUUUUCAACCAAACCGCAUUACUGUUCAAACCGUGUCACUGUUCAAACCGCGUGGUCAAACCGUGUUACUGUUCAAACUGCGUACUGUUCACUGAUGACGUGGCACAAUCCUGAGCAUCCAAACUGUUUUCAAUCCGAUGGCCAUGAUUUACUCAAUGUAUCUAUAAAAAUGGGACUUCUCCCCCCGAACGCAUGCGAUUGCUCAUGAGGAAUAACAUACCUGCUGAUAUCUUUUGGUUAAUCGAGGUGAAAGUACGAUUGGCAGGUGAGUUACCUCCAAAAUUUAUUGCAUACAUGCCUGGUUGUGGUAAAGAAAAUUAUGCAAGAAAACGAUGAGCUCGAAGAAUUUCUGUUGCUUGUCAUAAGUAUGCCAGAAUGAGUUGCGAUAAAAAUCCAUAUUCUUUAGGAAUGGCGUCUGAUAACAGGGAAUAUAAGAUUCAAUUCAUUAGGGAUGACUUGAAUAAGGAGUCAUUGGAUGAUAUCCUUUUAUCUCUUGAAACGCAUCCCAUUAGAUAUGUGCAAGGAACGAUUAUUCAGUUAUGACCAUUAUUCCAGAAAGAGCAUGCACGAUAUAGUCUCGGGAAUCUGACUAUAAACGACCAUGUUUGCCAGUUUAUAAAAAAAUUGGAUGGGAAGCCUAUCCUAGACCCAUAAAGGGCGUUCAAGCCGUUUCUGGACGUAAAACCAGAGGAAGAUGUGAGCCACAGUCGCAACUACCUGUAAAUAUCCUUUUACUUUACUGUUAUUUUAUUUUACUGUUGUUUUAUUGUUUGUAUUAUUGUCUUUAAUAAUUUUAUUGUUGUUUGCUUUUUCCUUUUUACUGUUUCCUUUUUUACUCGCGAACCAUGUGCUUUACGCGUUAUUUGACACUGACAUACUACCUCAUACACAGCUGUGACCCACUGUCCCCAAGAUUCUUAAAUAUGAAUUUUUGUCAAGCACUCACAAAUUAUUUUUGAGAAGUAUCCCAAUGACAGCUACUCCACAUAGACAAUUUAAGAACAUUUGUGUGCUUUCUGGAUUUAACUAUGGCAAACCUAAAGAGUUCGUUGAGGCAGCCAUAGAUCUUGGUCGAAGCAUAGCAGAGAGAAAAUUACACUUGGUGUAUAGAGGAGGUAACUGAGGGUUAUUAAAAUUGGUCUCAAAAGCUGCUUUUGUCAGAGGAAGCCAAGUGCUAGGCAUCAUCCCAAGCGUCCUAAAACCUUUGGGCAGUUUGUCUGACUCAUCGACUGGAGAAGAGUUAGUCGACUCAGGUAUGCAAGCAAGAAUAACUGAAAUGCUUAAUCAUGCUGAUGUUUUUAUUUUCCUUCCAGGAGAUCUUACAACACUAGAGGCACUUAUCACACUAGCAUCUUGGGCCCAUCUGCACAUUCACCAGAAACCCAUCGGUUUGCUAAAUGUCAAUAACUUUUAUGAUGGCUUUAUCGCAUUUCUUAACCAUGCAAUAAAAAAAUAUUUCAUUCCUUCAAAUGCGAAAAAACUUUUUAUUUGUGCUCACACUGCUACUUGAUCUGUUACAAGCUCAUAGACCGGAGCCAAACCCCUGGACCUUUGUGUUGGAGCGUCCAAAUAAUGAUGGUAACAGUAGCAGCAGUAAGAAGUACAAAUUAGAUUUAACUCUCCGCUUGUAAAUAUUUUCUUUUGUGUUGCACCACUCAGGUGAUGCCUUCUACACUCUACUUCUUUCCUUUAAAACAUUGAGGACAAUGUUUCAUUCUGGUUGGGGAGAGGGAAUAGUCGACAAUUGUGGAAUCUUGGUUAAGUUUUUACUGAUUUUUUGUUGUAGAAACUAACUGUUGCUAACUUUUUAUGUUGAAGAUGGCUGAAUAUGGAGUGUAGUGACUCUAGAAACGCAUCUUCAUUGUUUGAAAAAAAUUAAAAAAAAAAAUCAGACAUUUUCUUUUUCUUUAUUAAGUUUUGAUGUUCAUUUUUCUUCUUCUUUUUAAUUUCUCCUCUAUAAAUAUACAUUUUCAAAUUGUUGAGUCGAAGAUGGCUGAAUAUGGAGUGUAGUGCCUCUAGAAACGCAUCUUCUUAGUAAAAAAAAAAAUUUCUUUUUCUAUCAUAUUAAGUGUAACUUUUCUAAUUAGUUUUUAUACAUCCUUUUCACAUUUCUGCAUGCAUAUUUUCCUUUCAUGUUUAGGAUAGGUUGGGGGGUAUAACGUUGUUUAAAAAAAAACAAAAACAAAAAAAAAAAUUUGUGUGAUUUGUUUUAAUAUUGGAUGACAUGAUUAAUUUCAUAUUUUAGUAUUUGUAUUAUCUUUGGUCUUAAGUGAUGUUACACUAUGUUUGCUACUCUACAUGUUGAUGUCGGAGAUAAAUAUGAGUUGCUUGAAGGAAUGAACAUGUCAUAAUAAGUACCAAGUGAGUUUUUGAGCCUAUCAUUUUUCUUGGAGAGUAACCCUUUCCCACAUUUUUUAUACAGCUUAACAGUUUAUUAUUUUAUACACGAUCUCUAGAUUUCUUUUGAGUUAACCCUUAAAACAAAAUUUGUAAAAAAAAGAAGAAAAAAAUGUGUGUUGCUACAUUUGGAGGUCCAUCUAACUAGUAGAUAUGGAAGAUUAUUUAGAGCCCUAAAAGACGGUGGAAAGGUCAUCUUUGAUCCGUUUGAGUCUUUCUACCCAUCCCUUUUAUGAAAUAUCUAUUGUUAACCCUUUUGAGCCUUUUAAAAAAAAAUUAAAAAAAAAAAACCUUUUCUUUGUCAACUUAUCAUCUUGACCCACUCUGAUUUGGAGUAUUAUCCAAUAUCUUACAAGUUCCAUCACCUAUUUAUGUUUGAGAAAAAUGUAAAUAAAUAUUUUGUACAGUGAAGUUAUGCCCAACAAAAGCAAAAACAAAAAAACAAAAAAUUGUUAUUUAAAAAAAAAAAGAAAAAAAUAACAAUAAAAGGUGAAAUCCACCUUACAACUUCAAAAAAAAAAGUUCUCUAUAGUUUUCUCAAACAUACACUUUGUUUUCCUUAUUUCCCUUCUUUGUUAGUCAUGUCCCUAGCCUACGUUACGUCCUAAUAAAAAUCCUUCUUGAUUUUAGGGAACUAUAGUCUGAAGUAAAUUGGGUUGACUACCAUUUUUGUUUGACUUGAGAUCGUAUUAUUUCUAAACUGAGGGCAUAUUUCUUUCAUCUUGGUGAGAGCAUGUGAUAUCACUUCUUUAUUAUUUUCUCUCAAUUAUCAUUCAUUGGAAUAACUAUUUUUAUUGGGUUUAAUUUCUUUGUAAGAGUGUCACUACUUCCAGUGAGAUUUUGGGGUUUGACAUGUCAUUCUUGAAAGUAACUGUGACAAUCUACUAAGCUGAUUCAUGUGGAUGGUUGAUGUGGGCGUGAUGUUCCUUUAGACUGGAGAUAAUGCUUAUACUUUUAUUUGAUUACUAUCAUUAGUCUGAUUAAAUAAACACGAGUGUUUAAAAAAAAAUCAUUUUGAAUUUGAAUUUUAUUUUCGCUUUAUUUGCUAGGGACUAGCAAUAAGUUGGUUGGGGGGUGUGUUGAGUAUUAGAAAAUGUAUAUUUAUAAAGGAGAAAAUAGUCAUUUUACAUUUCAAGUCUUACUAACAACCCUUACUUUUAUGUAUUUAAGAUUCUUGUAAUUUAAUUAUGUGUGUUUGAUUUUAAUUAAGUAUUUUAUGUAUUUUAGGGGCAUCAUAGUCAUUUCACAAUAAACAAGAGAUCAAACGGCAAAACGGACAUCACUUUUGAACUCAGGACGGUCGAAAACCUUAGGAGGAGCAUAAAAGGAAAAAUGGCACUGUUCACAUGUACGAUACUAUUCACAUGUACGGUACUGUCUACGUUAUUGUUCACGACACUGUUUAUAUAGACGGAUCGAUGACGUGGCAUUGACCGAUGAUGUGGCAUUCACUAAUGAGGUGUCAUGAUCAUGUUGGACUAAAAUUCUUAUGUACUGUUGAUGGUGACGUGGCAGCAUAUUAGUGGACCAAAAAACGUGUAUAUGGUACAUGCAACACAUGGGAUUAUUUUCAAUCAAACCGCGUUACUGUUCAAACCGUGUUACUGUUCAAACCGCGUGGUCAAACCGCGUACUAUUCACGCAUAUUGUUGACUGAUGACAUGGCGCAAUCUUGAGCGUUCAAACUGUUUUCAAUCCGAUGGCCAUUAUUUACUCAAUGUAUCUAUAAAAAUAGGACCUCUCCCCCCUAAUUUGGAUCUCUGAAUCCAUUUUUGGACUCUAUUUUAUGUAAUUCCUUCUCCAUCUUGUAUUUUCUACGUAUUUUAAUAAAUUCUCAUUUUGCCCCUAGUUCAAUUAUGAGUGGCUAAUUUUCUUUCAAGUUUGGGUUGAAGGUGAAGUCUCAACAUGUGUCAUGGGCUUUAUUUGGUAAAUUUAUUUUCUCUUCCCCUCUUGUUUUUGUGGAUGUUUUGACUUUUCGUUGACAAAUAAUAAUAAUCUUGUCUAGUACCGCCCUGGUUUCACCGGCUCCCUAGUAUAAGAUUAUUAUUAUUUGGCACGAUAAGCCCUUAGCACCAUAUUGAUUAGAGCGUGGUUCAUGAGGUGUGGAUUCCCCCCUCAUGAUUUAAUUGGCAUUAAUAAGGAUUAUUUAGCCCAUGAUGCAUAUUGAUACGGAUCCAGAUACUCAAGUACGUCAUUUCAAUAGAUUUUCACUUCAAUUUAUUCUUGCCAUUUCAAUUCCAAUUUUAGGAUCAUUUAAGUCACUUUCACCACAAAAUCCAACCACUUCAUACAAAAUUAAUUCUACAUAUAACUAAAAUCCACCUCCUCGUGGGAUCGACACUCGUCACCAUUAGUCUAUUCUACAAUAGAUUCGUGCGCUUGCGAGUUCAAUAAAAUUUGCACAACACAUUACAACUAUAAUAUUCAUUGCUAAUAAAUUUACUUAGUAUAAUUGGUCUCAGUGAAAACUUCUCAAUGCGAUUUUAUGAGUUGCAAAUAAUGCAUUAUCAAUAUAAGCACAAAUAUAUUUUUCAAUAUACAAGACUAGGUUAUAGCUUAAUUUGCUCUUAAAAUCUUUUAAUAAUAACAAAAAAUAUUUAUAUAUUGUAACACACAAAACAAAAUGAAUGCUAGAUAAAAUUCUAGAUUUUAAAACUAGACAAAAGAUUAAUCAAAAAAUUAAAAAUUAGAAUUGGGUAGACUUACAACUUAUGGUUCAAUGUCGAAAUACCAACUAUUUGAUUUUGCUUGAAUAAAAAACAAAACGAUUAAAGACUGGUCCAUUAACCAUUUUACUAACAUUUUGUUGUGAUUGUUUUUCAUUUUAAUAUUUGUUCUUGUGUCUUUAAUCCAGUUUCAUGAAAUGUUAAUAACUAAUUAAAUUAUUUAUAAUUAGAAAUUUAAACUAUGGACAAUAUGAAAUAUUUUAAAAUUACUAGAGUCAGUUUCAAAUUUUACAAUUCAGCUGGGGUAUUUUUCAUAAAUAACAAAUAAAAUACAUUUUUUUAGUAUAAUUAUAAAAAAAAUUUAAAAGCCAGCAGGGGCAUGUGCCCCACUCGUCCCAUGCUGGCUCUGUCUCUGCAUGUAGCAACAUAUAAAUUCAGUUAAUGAGCCAUUAAAGUUGUUUAUCACUCAACCACAAGGAAUAUUAGUUCAUGAUUUUCAAAACGAAACUAAACAACAAAGUUUCAGCCGGCAAAUACAUUCUCAUGUCAAAGAAUAAAAAUAAAUCAAAAUAAGAAUAAGAAAGACUGAAUUCCAAUUGAUUCCGGCAAACUUCUCCACUGAUGCAGUCUUGAUUCUUGCUCUUGAAAUCUAUUUUUCCUUGUUUCUUUUCUAUUUAUGAUCUUGGUUGACGGCCGCCUUUUUUCUUUUGUACAUGUGCCUCUGUUAUAGUCCAAAAUUAGGGUAAACGGAAGUUCAGAGCGCGCAUCUUCCCAAUUAGGAAAUUGCAGAUUGCAAUCCGUUAAGUAUCUUGCGCGAAAUCUUCUCUGUCAUUGUUCCCGAAUUGCUACAUCACGGUUUUCUACAGCAAUAGCUACAGUAUAUGCACUGUUCCAAAUUUACUCCAAUUCUUCUAUAGUCGUAUUCUUUUGUCCUUUUUGCAAACCCAUUGCUACAACAUCCUUCCCAUGAAAAUUUAACUUCAGGUUACCUACAAUUAUGCAUAUGUUUUAAGGACACAAUUAUUAGAAAUCAAGCAAAUUUUAUUAAACUUAAACUAAAAUGAAUGUUAAUGUAAACUAUCAUUAAAUGCACUAAAACACAUCAAUUACCCUCUAAGUAAUCUUGAUUUUAAGUCUAAAAGUAUCAUGAUAAUCUUAUUUCAUAGAGUUUUCAAUACUCUAACUUCAAGUUGCACGAAUCUAUAAGGAUUCUUAUGAAUUCUUUGCUCGUUACAUUAGCUUUUAACACCAAAACAUCUUCAUGCAAGUAUAGUAUCCCUUCCUCAUCGUAUUAUGUCCAAAUGAUUGGAACUUGCUUGGUUCUUGCUCAUUUUGUCAAUGAAGCAUUGAAGAGAAUAUCAUGACUUGUUAUUGCAUACCUUUUGUAGUACUUCUAGGCUUUGUUAGAGUUAUUUACUAGAGUUGGCCCUCUUACAAUAACUCUAGCUACUGGCUCUUCAAAAAUCAUAUCACCAGUAUUCUUUUUUGCUGUAUGCACUGUUGAUCUGUCAUUGGAUAAGAACUGUCAAUAUACUUAUUCAAAUAAUAAUUUCUUACUAGAACUUCUACUUGUUUUUUUAAGUCGUGACACUGUGGUUUGGUGUGGCCAUGGGUGUUAUUCAUCAGCAUUAUCCUAUCUCUUAGGAAAUUUUGGCAAGUAAGGACUAAUGAAGGUAGGUUUUGGUUUUGGUUUAGUUGACCUUGUAUUUUGAGUUGGGUUAACUUGGAUCAUUAUAGUGAGGAUGGCUAUCAACUAGUUAUAUCAUUUCAAGUAGCUCUAUUUAGAGAGGGGUGGGGUUAAUUUCUUUUUACAUAGUAUGGGAGAUAAGAGUGGCCAAAAUCAAAUUUAGAUUGGAUUCGGAUCAAUUUGAUCAUAUAUUAAAUUUUUCGGAUUGACUAAAAAAACUCAUCUGAAUGUACUCGAACUUGAAUCUAAUAUGAAUAUAUUUGGAUAGGAUGAAUAAUUUGGCUUAAGUUAGAUUUGGAUCGGUUUGGUAAAUCUCAAAUUUAAUUUUAAUUUACAGGUCACUAUACUCAAUGGAUAAGACAUAAUUUGUAUAUCUCUGUAAUAAACAUUCAAUUUUGAUAUUCAACUACAUAGAUAGAAGAAAAAUAAGUCAUUUACAUUACAAUUGUGGUGCAUAUCACUGAAAAGUAUCAUAAUAAUUCAUAUUUUUCCAACCAAAAUGAAAAGAAACCAUAAUUUAAACAACAUAAUAAGCAAAUAGAAUUUCUAAAGAAAAGGAAAAAGAGUAGAUGUAAGCUAGAAAAAGAGAAAUCAUGUAUUAGAGAAGAAAAGAGCAUUUUUGCACAAAAACAACUAAUACCAAAACUAAUAAAAAAAUCUCAUAUUCAUUUUCCAAUUUUCUCAUAAGCUUACGCAAUUCUUCCUCUUCUACUCUUCAAAAUCAUUUGCCAAUUUUCUCAAUUUUCUCAUAAGGUGAUCUUUGGUCUUUUGAUGAGAAAAUUACUUGAGUAACUUACAACUGGUUAGGUUUGGGAUUUUGGGGAAAACAAGUUAGGUUUACACAUUACAAACUUCACUAGUCAAAUUGUCGAAUUACAUCCGAAUUAGAUUUGAUCCGAUUAUAAUCUCAUCGGAUUGGGUUGUUUCUAUUUAAUCAAAUUACAACAAUAAUCCAUAUUCAAUUUGAAUAUGUUUGGAUUGAAUCAAAUCCAAUCAAUCUAAAUCCAAUUCGAUGCUAACCCUUAUGGGAAUAAGUAGCCAUCCUUAUUAUGACCGCUCUACUCACUGAUGGUUUGUCAUGAAGCCUAACUAGUCCACUUAUUUUUUAGCUCUCCUUUCAUUUCGUUUUAACUCCACAAGUUACUCGUCUCUAACUCUUGCUGCUUUUUCCUCCUCGAUUUCAAUAUCCACCUUCACCUAGUCAUAAGCAGUUGAAUAAGAGUUUAUUAUUGGGUUCCUUAAGUUAUACCACAAUUGGCCUAUCUUUACUCCCUCUUUUAAUCCCUUCAAGGCCUGAAGAUGAUUGAAAGCUCCAUAGUCAAGGAUUGCUUGGUGAUAUCUCUUGAAAAAUCUCUUAGAGUUUGAUUUUCUUCCUACUCGAGCCUCAUUGGCUCUAUCAUGUCAUCCUCUGGUGUUAUUGCUCCUAAAAAAUGUUCAGCAAAGUCUCCAUGCAAUUGAUUAGAAGUUCUGAUGCUUCCCUAUGGCAAUUUGCGAUACCAAUCAUGUGCAUGCUAUUCUAAUGUCAAUGGAAACACUCGACACCACUGUAGUGGUGUCAAACCAUGUACUCUAGUCAUCUCAUUAAAUCGUUCUAUAUGCAUAAAGAGUCACUCUUUCUGGAAUAUUUGAGGUUUAAAACUAAUCCCUUGAUAUUGUUGUGCUCAUGAUUUUUGCUGAGAGUAAGAUUCAUUAUCCAUAAUUAUUCUCCAGCUCAGUGCUCUUUCAAUCCUAUACUUCUUCAAUAAUUCGUGCUAACCUAUGCAUCUUAUCUUCUAAUUUCCCAACGCGACUUGGGUUCUACACCCUUAUCUACUUGCAGUCAGCGUUCUGUUUAUUCCAUAGAUUUUCACCGAAGUACGUUUUGGUUGCUCUCCAAAAAAAUAAAAAAGAAAGAAAUCACCUAAUACUUUUGGGGCAAGGCAAGCUUCCAAAUAACAUUGCAAAUGAUUUGGUGAAAAAGCUUUCAUCUAUUCCGGUAAUUUAGAAGCACUUUAAUUCGAUUCUCUCUUAAGAGUCCUAUCACUUUAGGAUGAUUUUUAAGUAAAAUCCUUGUAUAUAUUAUAUUUUUGUUAAUAUAACAAACACUAAAUAUUUAUGAUCUGAAAGAUAGUUGUUGAAUGGAGAUCGUUUCACACAAAAAAAGUAUUUAAAAAGAAUGUGGUAUUGUAAUAUUAAAUAAUUUUUUGUAGUGAUAUAAGAGUAUCACACUAGUUUUUUUUUUGCAUUCCAAAAAAUUGAAAAUAAGAUCUAAGUAAUUUCAAGAAUAAAUUAGCAAUAUUAGGAACAAGUUUUACAAAAAGCUUCUGGGACAUGUUAUACAAAUUUGUUAUAUAAGAAAGUCUCUACUAGAUCUUCUUUCCACAUUACAAAAAUUAGAAAUGAGAUCUAAAUCGACCAAUUAUAAAUUUUAUAGUGAGUGGGUCCUAUAUGAAAACAAGGUUUUUUUUUAUUAUAGUGUAGUCAAUUAUCAGCCAUCUACCCUAAGUUUAUUUUAUAUUAAAAAAAUACUAGGAAGAAUUAAUUUGUUUAGUUUUUUACUUUAAUUUUAUAAUUUGUAUUAGUUGUCUAUUAAAAAGAUAGAAUUAUCCUUACUAAAUGACAAAAUAGAAACAAAUACAAAUAACAACUAUGGUCAUUUUGUAAGGGUAAUUCUAUCUUUUUGGCAUCGAAUUGCAUAUUAAACUAUUUUAAGUACUUAAAAUAAUAUAAGUUCUUUAUCAAAUAAAUAAAAUUUUAAACUAUGUAUUUACCAAACAUUUUAAAAUCACAGCUCCUCUACUACAUCUCCAAAUAAAUUCUUAAAAUCAUAAAUAACUAAAUUAAUGGGGUUUUAAAAGGACUCUCCGGAUUUUGCAUGAUUUCUUUAUAUAUAGGUGCUGGGUGAUCAUGUUGGUUCCUAUAGGUACCAUCAGCCACACUUUUUGUUAGUGGUGAAAAAACAAUUUUGGGUACAAUUUGUGAUUUGUAUAACGUGCGGUAUUAAACAUUUGAAACAUACACCGACAGUAAUCUAAUCAAUAAUUAAAAAAAAUUGUAUAAAAUACAUAUGUCGUAGGCAACUCAGAUCCUUUUCUUUAUAAUUCCAUAUCAUGUGAUUAUCAAAAAACUUCUUGAGAUUUUUAAAUUUUGUAAUUGCACUAUCCUUGAAUUAUCAAAAGACUCUUGAUAAUGUUCUUCUUCUUAAAGAUGCCCUUAAUCCGUAAAUGGUCCAAUAAUUAGUUCAUAAAACGAAUUUAUUACUUUAGACAAGUCUCAAAUAUGCAUACCUCUUAUAACUCCGUAUUGCAUAAUUCCUUACUUAAAUGCAUUUGUUUCCUUUCUCUAAAUUUUAGAAUGGCCUUGUCUACUAAAUUUCCUCUUUAAAUUUGACUGCCAACUAGGAAUUUCGCCAAAAUUUCCACCCCAUCUUACUCUCUGAAAUAUGUCUUCCACGUUACUAUAGCAAAUUUUACAUCUAGGAUACUGAAACAUUUUUUUUUUUUCAAUUUUCAAAUAUUUAGCUGUUGACAAUAGGUCUUUAGCUGCUCACCAAGAGAAAAUUUUCAUCUAAAACUUUUUUUGAUAAGGCAAGCCUCCAAAUAACAUCCAAAUGGUUUGGACAUUCAGUUCUACUCAAAAUUCAGAUUAAUUCACACAUAUUUAGAUUUUAGACAAGAAACAUAUGCCACCUAAAUAUUUAUGACUUAAAAUUAUUUAAUAAUCAUGGCACAUUUAACCUAUCUAAACAUGAAAUCUUGUGGAGACUUAUGUUUAAGCAGGAGGAUAACGUGAGAAAAUUGACACAUUAAUUUACAAUUUGUACGCCAACUGAAUAAUUUUUGUUUGUUUUUUGUUUUUGAUAAUAAAACAAGCCUCGCAAGAGCUUAGGUUUUUAGCCAACUGAAUAAAUUUCCCCACUCAAAUUAGAAACAAUAAAAUCUAAUAAUUAUGUUAUGAGCCCAUCAGACAAAUAGUGAGACAUCAUAUUGUUAAUACCUACUCGUAAAAUUAACGGGAUAACGCGGUUUAUACGGACAGAUUAUCAAGGUAUUGUUAAUACCUUCUGUACCGGUAAUUCUUUUUUUCUUCUUUUUCAACCCCAAAUAAUCAAAAGCUCUCCAAUGGCUUUUGUAUCCACAACUCGUCCAUUUCAUUUUACUUCAAUUUCAGUAUCAGCUCUUAGAUGUAAUUUCUCAUCUUCGUUCCCUCAUACCAGAAAACCCACAUCUUCAAUUUCGGAAAAUGAACCCUCAGAUCCGACUACAACAGCUAAACUGAAGGAGUCGCUACGACUGACAGUCAAAGACGGAGCCUCAAUCGAAAAAUUUCUUAAAGAAAGGUGAAAAUCAUCAGGUCAAGGUGAUAUUAAUCUUAUUACUCCUAAUGAAGCCUUGUGUAUCUUUGAUUACAUGCUCCGUAUGCACCCUUCUCCGCCUCCGGUUUCUUCCUUCAAUAUUUUGUUUGGUUGUCUUGCUAAGAAUAAACAUUAUGAUACUGUCCUUUCACUCUUCAAGAGACUCAAUUCAACUGGGUUGUUUCCAGAUCUUUAUACUCACAGUAUUUUGAUUAACUGGUAGAGUUUCUCAUGGUUUUGUUGUUCUUGGGAGAAUCAUCAGGUCUUGUUUUACUCCAGAUGCUGUGACCUUUACUUCUUUGAUUAAAGGUUUGUGUGCGGAUAGUAGAAUCAUGGAGGCCGCCGCAUUGUUUACAAAACUUAGAGUGUUUGGUUGUGAGCCUGAUGUUUUUACAUACAAUACGUUGAUUAAUGGAUUGUGUCGAACUGGCCAUACAAUUGUUGCUCUAAAUUUAUUUGAAGAGAUGGCUAAUGGAAAUGGGGAAUUUGGUGUCGUUUGUAAGCCAGACACUGUUACAUACAACACUAUCAUCGAUGGUGUUUGUAAGGAAGGUUUCGUGGACAAGGCCAUGGAACUGUUUCUGCAGAUGAAGGAUGAGAAUAUUAACCCCAAUGUGGUUACUUAUAACUCUUUGAUUCACUAUUUCUCUCAUGCUGAUGAUUGGAAUGAGGCUAAACGUUUGUUUAUUAAGAUGAUGGACCAAGGUGUGCACCCUAAUGUUGUGACUUUCAGUGUGAUCGUGGAUGAGCUCUGCAAGAAUGGGAAGAUGGAAGAAGCAAGUAGGUUGUUGGACCUGAUGAUUCAGAUUGGUGUGCAUCCAAACACUUUUGUCUAUAACACAUUAAUGGAUGGGUUUUGCUUGACGGGUAGAGUUAAUCGUGCAAAGGAACUAUUUGUUUCUAUGGAGAGUAACGGGUGCAUGCAUGAUGUUGUUAGUUACACCACAUUAAUAAAUGGGUACUGCAAGACUAAGGAUGUAGAGGAAGCUUUAAAUCUUUAUAGGAAAAUGCUGUCUAAAGGAAUUAGGCCAACAGUUGUUACAUAUAGCACCUUGUUUCUUGGCCUUUUUGAAGUACACCAGGUUGAGCAUGCUUUAAAACUGUUUGAUGAGAUGCAGCAUAAUGAUGUAGCAGCCGAUACAUAUAUAUACAAUACCUUUAUUGACGGGCUCUGCAAGAAUGGUUUUGUUCUAGAGGCACUGGAAUUAUUCUGUGCUAUAGGAAAUAGCAAGUAUGAACUUGAUAUCAUAUCCUACAGCUGCCUCAUUGAUGGAUUGUGUAAAAUAGGCAAACUGGAAACUGCUUGGGAACUGUUUCAAAGUUUGUCUCGUGUAGGCCUAUUGCCAAAUGUUGUAACAUAUAACAUCAUGAUCCAUGGGCUUUGUAAUGAUGGGCAAAUGGACAAGGCACAUGAUUUGUUUCUUGAUAUGGAAGCAAAAGGUGUGGAACCCGAUUGUGUCAUAUUUAAUACGAUUAUGCUGGGUUUCAUCCGCAAUAAUGAGACAUCAAAAGUUAUUGAACUCCUUCAGCGAAUGGAUAAUAGAAAUGUAAUGCCAGACGCAUCUAUACUUUCAAUUGUUGUGGACUUGCUUGUAAAGAAUGAAAUUAGCUUAAACUCGAUUCCACAAUUCAAGAGUCAAUGAGUUUAAUGCUGAUUACUUGCAUGUUUUUUUCUGCCUAAAAUCUGGAUCUGGAGAAUCCCAUUCUUAUUACAACAUGUAAAGGAGUGUUGUCUAAUGUUGGCAUGUUCCUAGGUUCUGUCCAUGGAUUCUGUUUGCAGACAUGGCUAACUUCUUGUUCAACAGAUAAGUUUUAAAGUCUUUGAACUUAAUGUUGUAAAAUAACUUUUUUAUUAUUCAAUUCAUGAGUUUUUCUUCUAUAGCACAUCCUUCUCAUUAGCUGGAAGUGCAAAUUUUUUAGGCUUUUCCUGUAUGGCCUCUUUUUCUGUUCUAAAUAAAAUGGCAUUUUAUUUCCCUCCUGUGAGGGUACAACGUUUAUGUUUAAACUUUCUGUUAGUUAAAUUGGUUGUCUUUGAUAUAGGGAACUUCCAGUUGAACUGAUUUGUAAUUCGAGUAUAUGAGAUUACCAACUGUAAUGGGAAUUGAUGCCAAAUUAAUUAUGUCAUCAGGUUUUCCAAUCAGUGUUCAUCAUUUAUUUCUGUUAACAAUUAAUAGCACAGCUUGUCUUCGCAGCUUCAUUGGUUCCUCUCAAAAAAGUAAUGCCAGAUGCAUCUAUAGUUUCAAUCGUUGUGGACUUGUAAAGAAUGAAAUUAGUCUGAACUCACUUCCGUCAUUUCCUGUUCAAGAGCAGCAGGGGGAAGUUGAUGAGUCAAAUGUCAAGUUGUUGGAGCAUGUGCUUUCAGCCUAAAACCCUGAUCUGCAGCAUCUCAAUCAUGUUACAAAAGGACAUGUCGCCUGGUGACACCAUGUUCUCUACAGCGCUGUUAAUGGAUCCUGAUUGUUCUUGUGAUCUGGAGAGUCUCAUUCAUAAUACAGAUCUUGAUCAGGACGAGCUAGCAUAUGUGAUCACCAACUCUACAUGGUUGUUGAUGCCAAAUUAAAUAUGGUAUCAUGUUUUUCAACUUGUUAUUUUCUAUAGUCCUUCCUUUGAAUGGCCACAAGAAACUGUAAAAUCACCCUUUGUCUUGUUCCCUCUUAAUGAUCGAUCACUUUGGGAGCUAAUGAAUUAGUUGCACCUUGUCACUUUAUUGGUGCUUGAUUGUCAUUUGUACUUUGAAUUCACAGCAUAUUUUACCCUUGAUGUACUCUUUCCAUAAUCACCUUUGAGGGCUGCUAGUAUGUAUAAUUGAAAAACCUUAUAUAAAUUCUAAGCAUUUUUAUUUAACUUGUUGUAAACCUCCAGUGUAUGUCUCUUCUGUGAAAUGAUUCAUACUCUAUGCUGCUAGGACCUAGGCUUAUGACUCUUCUGUGAAAUGAUUUACCCUCACCUGCACACAGACAUUUAUCCCAAUCAAGAAAUCUUCAAACAAUGUGAAAAAAAUUGCUUGAAACACGACGCAGACUUAACCGAUUAAAAUGUCCCUACUGUGAGGAAGGAUGCUAUACAACUGACUCGGAAAAUGUAAAAUGGAUAACGUACGCCCAAGAUGAUCAACUAGAAACACAAUUCAAAACUCGGGCUGCUUUUGGCUGCCCGGCCUUCAGAAGUCAAUAUUUAUAUGAACUUUUGAGGAGAAAUUAUAUGAACUUUUGAGGAGAAAUUAUACUAAGGGUUCAGAAGUCAAUAUUUAUAUGAACUUCAGAAGUCAAUAUUUGGCUGCCCGGCCUUCAGAAGUCAAUAUUUAAAAACUUGGUGAAAUUACCGAUUAAAAUGUCCCUACUGUGAGGAAGGAUGCUAUACAACUGACUCGGAAAAUGUAAAAUGGAUAACGUACGCCCAAGAUGAUCAACCAGAAAGUGAGAGAUUAGGAUCACCAGUCAGUCAGAUUUGGAUAGAAAGUGAGAGAUUGCUAUGCCGUGCCAUUGCUUCAAUCCUAAAUGCUUUCAUCUCCCUGAAAAGUAUACAAAUGUAGGGGUUAAAACAGAAUAGAUGAAACCGUAUUGAGGAACUCAACUGAGACAGAUGAUAAAUGAAAACUAACCAACCUUCACGCAAAACUCGUACAUCUCCCUUUAAGAGCUGACUUUCUGAGAAGAGAUCACCACAAUCGUUCACAUCAAAAGUCUCCACUUGAAAAUUUUAUAACCAUAGUACUCAUUCCAUUCAAACCAGAUCCUUGAGAUCAGUUCCUUCUUCAGGCAAGUGGCAUGAUCUUCCUCUUUAGGAGACUCAGCAGCAACCAGUCUAUAUGCACAAACUUUCUUUGUUUGGCCUGGCCGGAAAGCCCUGCUGAUUGCCUGGCGGCUCACUGAUGGAUUAAAGAGAACAUCCAGAAUAAUGAUUCAAAUUUUUGUGGAAUUACUUGUAAAGAAUGAAAUUGGUUUAAACUCGAUUCCACAAUUCAAGAGACAAAACUAAGCAGACGGGUUGAAUCUUUGAUUGAGUAGCAUGUCUCUUCUGCUUUAAAAGCAGAUCUGGAGAAUCCCAUUCUUAUUACAACGUGUGAAGGAGUGUUGUGUAUUGUUGGCAUGUUCCCAGGUUCUGUUCAUGGAUUCUGUUUGCAGACAUGGCCGACUCUUUGUUUCAUCGGAUAAGUUUCAAAUAAUUCUGGCAAAUUUUUGUUGUAAAAUUACUUUUUUAUCAUUUAAUCCAUAUGCCUCUUUCUCAUUACCUGCAAGUGCAAAAUUUUUAGGCUCGUCCUAUUAGACCUCUUUUUCUUCUCUAAAUAGAUAAAACGGCAUUUCAUUUUUCUCUUGCGAGGGUGCAGGUUUAUGCUGAAACUUUCGGUUAGUUAAAUUGAUUGUCUUUGAUAUUGGAACUUGUAGUUGAACUAGUUUGCAUUUAGAAUAUAUGAGAUUACCAACUGUAACGGGAAUUGGUGCCGAAUUGAUUAUGUUAUCAGGUUUUUCAGUCUGUGCUCAUCUUUUAUUUCUGUUAAUAAUUAAUAGCACAGCUUGUCUUCUCUGCUUCUUUGGUUCCUGUCUAUUGUCAAAUAUAAACUUGUAGAGACAUUUUGUUUUGGCAUGGCACAUGCUAGAUUUUGUUUUUGGUUUGAAUGAUACUACACAUCUAAGUGAUUGUCCAGAUUUUUUUUCAUUCCUAGUGACAUGGCACUCAAUUGAAUGGUGACUCGUGAAUCAUGAUUGUGUGUGUUGGUCUUUGUUAUACUACGUGUUGGCAAGACAAAGUCUUUUGAAACUGCCAAACUUUUCUAUAUGAAUAUUGAAGACAAUAUGAUAAGAUAAAAUUAAUCAAAAACAUAUAUACUUGACAGGGCUGGAACGUCUGUUAUUAGUCCUCGCCUUCCAUUCUUGUUUCAUAUUCUUCUGCUAACAAAUCUUGAUCAUGAUAGUCUUCUCUGUUAUUAAUCCUUUUUUUUUUUUUUUUGGCUUUUGGAUUUUGUUUCCUUUAUAUAUAUAUAUAUAUAUAUAUAUAUAUAUAUAUUGUAUACAGUUAUUAGCAUCGACAACUUGAGCUUGCAGUCUUGUGAGUUUAGAGCCUACCAAAGUAAGCAUACACAUGACAAUGAAGAAUUGAAGAUUGUGAACGGUUUACUUGUGCGGCUAUGUUAGAAAAAUUUGACUGAUCGUGAAGAUAUUUAGAGAUCGUCCAUCUUGGUACUGCUAUUGUUGGAGCCUUGAAGUGUCAACUUCUCAUCGUUGCCUACAGUUGCCUCAUUGAUGAAUUGUAGGCAAACUGAAAAUUGCUUGGGAACUGUUUCAAAGUUUGCCCCGUACAGGCCUAAUGCAAAAUGUUGUAACAUAUAACAUCAUGAUUCAUGGGCUUUGUGAUGAUGGGGCAAAUGGAUAAGACACAUGAUUUAUUUCUUGAUAGACCAUUCUCAGGGCACAAAGGGUGUGGUGCCCAAUUGUGCCAUAUUUACUAUGCUUAUGCGAAAGAAUGAGACAUCAAAAUUUUCAUCACUCAAUGGAUAAAAGAAAUGUAAUGCCAGCUGCAUCUAUAGUUUCAAUUGGUGUGCGCUUACUGGUUAAGAAUGAAAUUAGUUUAAACUUGAUGCCAGAAUUCAAGAGACGGUUAAUUAGAUGAGUUGAAUGUUGAUUUAGUAGCCUUGAAGUUUUGCAAAUGUUUCCUGAUGGAUAAAUUGAACUUGUAUGCACACAUGUAAACUAAAAGAAAAAUUAUUUUAAUAGAAAACGUGCUUUAAGCAUGUCCUUCGGCAUGAGGUAAUACUAUAAAGUUUUUUUUUAAGUAAGGUUAUAAAUUCUAGCAAUUGAGUCUCAAUUUGAUAUUAUAUUCAUCUGGUAUAGGGUAGAAUAUUAAUUUUUUCAAUUAUAAAAUUUACUAUCUAAUAGAUGAACAACACUUAACAGUUGAGAAUGAAAUGGAGACUCAAUUGUUGGGAGUCCAAUCACUUUUUUCUCUUUUAACUUGCUAUUUUUGUUGUCCGAAAUUAUCUGAAGUUCCAUGCUUGCUCCAAUAGAACAAAUAAGAUAGGUUAUGAUCAACUUUUUUUUUUUCCAAAUAAAGGAACCACCUGCAUCGAUACUCCAUAAGCAAGUUUUUUCUUUUGACUGCCCCUUAUAUUUGUCACACUCCUUGUACUAGUGCCCAAUGAAACCACAACAGAAGCAAAAAUAUGGCAAUCUCUCAUAUACUACUGUAAUUGGAACAUCGUCUUCACCUUCAAGUUCUAAAUAACCAAUUUUCUUUAGUGGUUGUGUGAUAUCAAUUGAGAUACUUACUCUGGCAUACUAACCAAUGCACUCUCCUUCCACGUCCACAUCAACUUCUUCAACUAUACCAAUUGCCUCUCCCAAUGCUUUGAUUAUUUGCUGGUCUAUACACCCAACUGGGACAUUAUGAAGUUGUACCCAAAGGCAGCAUGAGUAAAUGAUUGUUUUGUUAUUUCCCCAAUUCCACUUGCCUCUUUUAGAACUAUUAGAGCUCGUUCAAAAUGCCACUGCCCACUUGAUAAAAUUCUCAUCUUAUCAACUUCAAAGGCAAAUUUAACUUAAAAAUCUUACUCCCCAGAUUUUCAAUUUCACCUAUUCUACUAUUCUGCAUACUUGUUGUAAUGCUCACUUGAGACCCUCUCUAGUAACUCCUCUUAGAUGUAAGACUUUGCCCAGAAAACAGCCCUCAACUAGCUCUCUCUCAUUCCCUUUCAUGACAUUACCAACAACUUCUUUACUCUAUUUUCCUUCUUCUAAUAUAAUAACUUUACACUUGCAAAUUAGUUCUUCUGUUUUCAUUAGGCACUAAAAUAUAAAUCCAUUGUGAUAACUCUUGAGUAUCUACCACUUCCUCUGUAAUUAAGACUCAACAACUCAAAUGAAAAACUUAAAAGUAAAAGAGACACCCAACUCGUGAGCAACUUUCGCAAUCUUAUGGGCUACUACCAUUUCAUUCUAGAUUCUCGCUCAUAGGGGGAGAACCUGUGAAGAAAGACUUCUACAGGUAGGAGACCGCUUACACAGUAGAUUAUUUAUAUUUCUUUGGACUAACUUUUUACUUUAUCAAAGACAAAAACAACAUAAACAAAGACAGAAGAUUAACAAAAGCAUCAAUUGCCAAAGAGUAGAGAGUAUUAUUAUAUUUUAGGAACAUAGGUUAUGACCAACUUAAAAGAAGCAGUUAGGGCUUGUUCAGUACUGUUUUAAAAGCCUUAUUUUCAUUUUUGUUUUGGGAGUACAAAUAUAAUACAUAUUUAGUGGGUUGAAUCCAAAAAUUAAAUCAUAAAAAAGAAUUGAUAUUCACUUUUACAGUUAUAAAAUUAAGAACCUAUUGAACAUGUUCUCAAACAAAUUACAAAUUAAAUUAAAACAUAAACCCCAAAAUAAAAUCUAAAAAGUUAUCUUCCUCUCCUAAAAUCUUAUCUCCUCCCUCUCGUUAUCUCUUCACAACUCUUCCUUCUUCAUGGUAGAUACUUCUCCUCUAACCACAACCCACCUGAACUGUGCACCGAUCUCUCUCUCCCCAUCCCCUUUAUCUAGGUCUACUUCACAGUUCUCUUCCUCUCAGUGGCUGUUACUUGUUCAUCAACCGCAAUCCAUCGUCGUAAGGUACUACGUCGGAAUAUUUUACCAAAAACAUGUCAAGACAAAGUGAUGUCUAUCAUGGUUUAUUACUGCAAGUGCAUUAUUUUCUUUGUACUAAAGUGAAUCUUUGAUGUAUUUAUUAAAUUUGGUGGAGCAAUCUUAGUUAAUUUUGAUGAUUUAUAUAUGCAUUUAAUUUCAUUUUUAAUAAUUCAUGUGCAGGAAAUAUGGAUUCUUGGCUUUGCUUGGACUGAUGGUUUGGGCAAUUUCAUUUGGAAUCAAUCAACUUCGAGGAUAAACACUUGUAGUUCAUCCUUUGUUCUCUAAUUUUGUUCAUGGGACUUGCUUUUCUUCCAUCCAACUUUUUUGUUCUCUAUUUCUAUGGUAGCAGUUUUAUGUUUUGUGUUGGUGGGAAACUUCAUGCUGCAAUUUUGUCAAAUUCUGUUGACAUACCCUAAUCAGUAAUGACUUUGCUGCAUGGCGAAAGCAUAAGCUCAUAGUUGACAUUGUUGUCAUUAGAGCUUGUUUCCAUAAAAAAAAAGUGUAAUUUGAAAGUACAUUGUACACUAUUGAAUUUGAAUUAUCUCCAACAAGUGUUGAUGCAUGAUGUCCAUCAUGUAAUUUUUUUAUAAUUAUUUUGUUUAACUUAUAUGUGUUGUAAUAUAUAGCUUAAUUAUAGUGUAAAAACAAUGGCAAUGUAAUUUUUUUAUUAAUGCUAAUACUAAAACUUUAUCAUCAUGCAAUGUUUUAUAAUUAUUUUGAUUAAAUUAUUUAUGGUAUAUUUUUGUAUUAAUUAAAUAAACAAUUAGUUUUUAUUAAAAAAAUUAUGACUUACAUGUUUAGUAAAAAUUGUUCAUGAAAAUAGUAUUACCGAACACAUUUUCUCUGUGUUUAUCUUUUUCAAUUGUGUUUACGGAACACAUGUUACUGUUUUCAAUUUAGAAAAUACAAGAUAUAGAAAAUGAUAUUAGAUGUCUAUUUAAUUCAAAAUGCAGCAACUGCAAAACACUAUUUUUACUCUCAUUUUUCUUUUUAGAAAAUACUAAUUUAGAAACAAUACCAAACAAGAACUUAGUUUUAGUACGAAUAAUGUUGUGUUAGUUUUAUAGGUUUACAUGCACCCUUAGAUUUAUUAGAAGUAUCAGCCCAACCCCCUAGUUACUGUUGACUAAUAUCGAACCCGCUGCCCGAUGUUGACUCUUGAAAGUAACUAUAACAUCUAUAUUGUAAUCUCACUUUAUUAACUAAUAAAUUUUAAAAAUAUAAACAGAUCAAUAAUAACAAAAUAAUUAAAGUUGAAAUCCAAGAAAUUACACAAAAAACCACACCUAAACCAAACCUGAAAACCAAAAUGCAUAAAAUUUCAUUAAUUUAGGUUGUGACAAUGAGUCGUCUACAUUAUAUGAUGAAGGAACAACUUCUAUCAUUUUACCAAGUUAUUAAUACUAUGUUUACGUACUAGAGUGGGCCUGAGAAGUAUAGAUUCCUCACACACUAGAGUUUACUUGCAUAUUCUAAGAGGUGUGGGAAUCUCACUCCGUUGAUCCCACCCAAUUUUGAAGUAGGGAGUGUGAUUUCCACUCCCACAAGGGAAGGUCCACUCCCACAACUUUAUUUUUUACCUUUCUUUUAUUAAAUUUAAUACAAUCAUAUUUAGUAAAAUAAAACAAAUAACAUCAUAUUUAUUUAAUAAAUAUUAUUAUAUUAUUUUAUAAAAUUCUAUUUAUUAAAAAGAAUAAUAUUAAUCUUAUUUAGAUAAAGUUAUUAUUAUAUUUAUUUAAAAAUAAUAGCAUUAUAUUUAUUUAAUAUUAAUAAUUAAUAUUAAUAAAUAGUUUAUUCUAAGAAAAUAUUUAUUUUGCACUAUAUUAUUAAUAAGAGAUAUUAUCAUUUUUCCACCAAAAUUAUUCUGAUACAUCAUGUUAGUAGCACGGUUUGGUAAAAACAUCAUUUUACCACCAAACGUUUAAAUUGUUAGUAUUUUUCCACAAUUCCGUUAAAACUCAGUUAAUAUUUAAUGGAAAAUGCAUAAAAAGUCAAUUUUACCCCUGGAGCAUAAAAGAUAAUUUUACCCUUUAAAAAGGAAGAACGACAAAAGAUGAUUUAAUUACAAAAUUACCCCCAAAAGACGACAAGACAAUUUUACCCUUUAAAAAGGGAGAACAACAAAAGACGAUUUAAUUACAAAAUUACCCCCAAAAGACGACACUGCUGCGAGAGUGAGAGAGAUAUGGGUCAGUGACAGUAAGCGAGAGAGGACGAAGAUGGAACAAGAAACGAGAGAGAGGGGGGUUGAUUUCGAUUUUUAGGGCUUCCAUAUCCAAAUUGCUUGUUUUUUUACAAUUGCAAAACACAACGUUUUGCCUUCGCAUGAGAUGUCCAAAAUGCCCUUAUGAUGUCAACAUAAUUUUUAUUUAGUUAACGGAAUGGUGGGAAAAUACUAACAGUAUAAAUGUUUGGUGGUAAAAUGAUGUUUUUAUAAAAUCGUAGUACUGAAAUGAUGUAUCAGAAUAACUUUGGUGGGAAAAUGAUAAUAUCCCUAUUAAUAAUAAUGUUUUAUUUGUGUUGCUCUUAUCAAUAAUUUUUAAUUUAAAUAAUUAAAAUUAAAACUAAUAAAAAUUUAUGAUUUACAUAAUUAAUAAUAUUAAUAAUUAUUGUUAAUUUACAAAUAUAGUGAAAUAAUAUAUUUUAUUUCAAAUAUAUUUUUUUAUUAAUUUUGUAAUUAAAAGGUACAAUUCUUUAAAUAAGUGUAAAACCGUAAUUUGAAACCAUUUACUCCCUUCUCAUUCUAGUGAGAGGAAACAACUUGCUCCCACUCCACACUCUUAAUCACAAGAUUCUCACUUCUCAAUAUUCCCACUAUAAUUUAAAAUGUAAACACCGUUUAAAACAUCAAAUAAAAUUCUCAAUUAAGUAAACCAUAAUGUGAUUGCAUAUAAAAAAAAAUUAAUAAUAUUAAUUUUCAUAAGAAUUUAUGCUCGUAGUAUUACUUUACUUUUUAUUAACCGUUGCUUCAACUUAUGGUAGAUUGUAACAUAUGCACUUUAAUUUUCUUAAUUAAGUGUAUUAUUUAAUUUUUCUCAUUCGAUGUUAAUUUUAAAUUUGUUUUGACAUAAAAUUGAGACAAUUCGAAUACGAUUCAAUGGCCGUGUAGCUGGAUUUUAUUUCAACAUGGGUCAGGCAUUAGCUUAGUUAGUAGUAAUCUUUAAAAAAAAAAGCUAGUUUAUAUAAAUGGAAAAGGGGGAGCUGAUUUCCAAAAGAGGAAAGAAAGAGGGGCACGCGAGAGAAAAUGAGAGAGAGAGAGAGAGAAGUUGACCCGUUUAGCCCGACCCGACCCGACCCACAAGACCGACCCGGCUCCAACUCCCGUUUCUGGCCACCAUUCCAAUCAAGCUUGGUACCAAUCUGAAGCUUGAGCGACGCUGGCCAUAUCCCCGCUGUCAUCGUCACCGAAAAACAGCCACAACGCCGGUGAUCAUCGUCAAUCUCGCUGGAAUUAGGUUGCACCACCGGCUGGGUUCGACUCCUCACAUCACCAGCUUUCAUUUCCGACUAACCCCGCCACCUGAAACCUCUGUUUUGGCCCUGAAUGACCACCGGAAAGCUCACGGCUUUGGGAGCACGAUCCGCCGCCAUCUCCGCGUGUGGGAGGUCACCGUCGACGCCAUUGGGCUCACCGAGGUUAGAACUAUCAUACUUGAGCUUUCCGUCGCCGUUGACUGAAGUCCGGUCACCGUUGAGCAGUGGGGGCAAUUUGGUAAUUUCACAAGACUUUAAGGUGGAUUUUUAAUUUGGUAAUUUUAGGUUAGGGCAGUGAGGUAAUUUAAGACUUUGAGGGUAAUUCGGUAAUUUAAGUUAUUAAGAGCAUUUUGGUAAUUUCGCACUUUGAGGGUAAUUUCUUAAAUUCAAAACUUGUGAUUAAUUUUGUUAUCCGAAUUGAGGACAAUUUGGUAGUUUAAGAUAUUGAAGAUGAUUCGAUAAAUUAUGAUUCCGAUGGUACUUCGGUAAAUUUCGGUGUCAGGGGCAUUUUGGUAAUUUUUGGACAUAAGGGUAAUUUUGAAAUUUUAUGUAUCCGGGAGUUUGGUUUUGAGCUUUAUUUCAUACUGUUAGUCGUAUUUCAUGAUACAGAUAAUAAUUAUGUCGUUUAUUUAAUUAGGAGGACUCGCGAGCAAAAAUCAACCAGCGGACGUUAGUGAUACCGAGUCUGGACAUCGUCACUGUGAGUGGAAUAUACAAAACUUAUUUUCAUGGUAUAUUCUGAUUUUACCAUACAGUACAACAUGUUUUGAUAAUAAGUAUUUGAUGCUUUGAUUUAAUGAUUUUCUAGAAAUUUGAUUUUCAUUCUACGUGCUGAUAUUUAUUAUUAUUGAAAAUGAGUUUGAUUAAUGAUUUUAUUAUCAUUUUUUUUGAGUAAAUGCAUGAUAUUAGAAUUGAGUGGAUUUGAGAUAUGUUGAAUAAAAAGGAAAUGGGAUUUUAUAUGUGAUUAUAUGUUUGCGUGCAUGUGCAUAAAAGAUUGUUUGGAAAAUCAUUGGAAGUACCUUUCCCCUUUUAGAUACAGAGAUACAUAUAAUAUGAGAUGAAUACAGUGAUACAGAUGAUAUGAGAUGAGAGGUUUUUGGGGCCCGUCUGAACACACACAAAGACUUUGGGCCGUGUGUUUGGGCGCUUUUGCCUUUUGGGGGCUUAUGCAUACAGUAUGAUGAUUACAUAAAUACAGAUGUUGAGAUACAUGAGAUAUGAGAUGACAUUUUCCUAUAUAUCCAUUGUAACUCCAGGGCAUGAUGGUUCCCUGAUUGUCCGUCCGUUGAGGUCCGAAUAUGAUGAGAUUAUUCCGCUGGAUACUUGUUUGAUGAUAGUUUUUUGUAUCUAGUAUUUGAUAUUAUAAGUAUUAUGAUUUCAUUGAUUUUAUGCAGAUUUAUGUAAUAUUGUUAUUUCAGUGCAUGAAUUAAAUUAAAUAAGUUUAUGUAAGUUCUUAUGAUAUUUUGAUGAAAUUAACUUGGAAAAGAUUAAAUCAUUUUAAAUAAAUUUAUUUUUCCAAAAACUACUAUCCACUCACUGAGCUCACUGAGUUUUAUAUUCACCCCGUUUUUAUUAUAUUUUUCCUCCUAUAGGAAAUUUGCAGGUACAUCAGUCGACCCAGCAACGAUAGUUAGAUUGAAAUUAUGGCCACGUGAUGGUGUUAGAAAUCAUAGAUGUUUUGUUGGGACAUGUUGAAUUGUAUAAUUUAUUACUUAUUUGUGAUUAAGGAUAAAUCAUUAUAUUCUUGACAUUAUAUGAUUGAAGGAUACUGAUAUUUAAAUUGAGGAAGUUGGUUGUGGAUGUUGAUUAAAUAUUGUAUUAUUUUUUGGAGUAUUAAUUGUAUAAAUUGUAGGUUUGGGGAUGUCAUAAUUAUAUAGAAAACUGUCGAAUUUUUUGUAAAAUUCUUAGAUAUCAGAAUUAUUAUUAGUUUGAUUAGGCGAGAUUAGAUAGACUCGUCCUGGGGAUUCGGGGCGGGUCGUUUCAUAGAUAUUAAGAGAACAAUAAUAAUAUAGCUAUAAAUGGUUGCAUACUAUCAAUCAACUUAACACUAUAAUUACCAACAAAUCCUUAAUACUAUAAAUAAUUAAAUUAUUGGGGUUUUAAAAUAACUCUCCAAACUUUGCAUGAUUUCUUUAUAUGUAGGUGCCAUGGUUCCUAUAAGUAAUAUCAGCCACACUUUUUGUUAUUGUUAAAACAAAUUUAUAAGUACAAUUUGUGAAUUUGUACAAAAUGUGGUAUUAUACAUUUGAAGCAUGAACCGAGAAGACAAUGUUGUGUCACUAAUAAAGAAAAAAAAAUUGUAUAAAAUACAGAUGUUGUAGUGUAACUUGUAUUCUUUUUAUUUAUAAUUGUACCUAUCAUGUGAUUAUAAAAAAAACUGAGAUUUUAAAAUUUUGUAAUUGCACUAUUUUUGGAUUAUCAGAAGGCUUCCUCUCCUUAGUGAUGCCCUUAAUCCAUAAAUGGUCCAAAAAAUAAUUCAUGAAAUGAAUUUAUUAUUUUAGAUAAGUUUCAAGUACGCAUACCUUUACUAGCUCCAUAUUGCAUAACUCCUCAUUUCAAUCAAUGGAUACAUUUGUUUACUUUUUCUUUCUUGUAAAUUUUUGAAUGGCCACAAUUCUAUAGAUAAUUAAUUAAGUGUUAUUGUUAUCAUUAUUUUGUAGAUUUAUAUGUGAGGUGGGGACGUUGGGGGGCAUGUAUCUCAAUAUAGCAGAGGGCCAUAAUAUUUAUUCUUUAAGAGGAACCACAACCAACAUCAAUGCUUUAAGUUCCAUUCCAUGUUCCUUCUAUGCACCAGAUUGCAUAAACAACAUUGAUUAUCCAAGGUCAAAGUCUCUCAAAGACUCUAGUUACAAUACAAAGCAUGGGUUAGCGGCCAAAAUUUUCUUGCAAUGAAAGGCUCGUAAACUGAUGAUAGCUGUUGGAUGGUUUUGGGCCCCAAUGGUUUUAAUAUUAUUCUCUUAAAAACAUAUAUGUUGAUUAGAGACGAGAGGAAAAAUAUAAUCUGAUUCAGCAAGCUGCAGAGGAAAGAGCACGCAGUGGAGUUCAGAUUUUGAAUUCUCUUGUUAAAUUGUUUUUAAUUUACUACAAGGUAGAAUACGUUGCAGUGUUAAAAAAACACUUUGAACAUCCUAUUUUUGUAUUACAAAUAUACCAAGAUUUAAAUUAUUAUUUUUCUUUAUUAGUAUAAACUAAAUUUUGCCUGAAUUCUCAUCCUUGUAAGUGGAAUUUUAUUGUGAAACUAAUAGUCAUUCCUAGUUGAACUAUCACUUUGAACAUAUGUGUCCUCUCUAAUAACAGCUUCCAAACCUGCAGCUACCUGCUUCUCAGCAUUAGAAGUAGCCAUAAUUAGGAGGAGGGCAAACUUCCAAAUAACAUUCCAAAUGGUAUUGUGAAAAAAUUUCACCCUUUUGGUAAUAAAAAAUAACCUUAUUUCUAACUUUCUAUUAACAAUCUUACCACAAAGUUCUCUCUCAAGUAGAAACAUUAUAUAUAUAUAUUAAUUUUUUGUUAAAAUAAACAAAACCAGUGGCGGAUCUACAGCUGGGCUAGGUCUAGAAAAAAUCAUUUAAACCCCUUGUCUUUUGAUUCAUUUUACAUAAGGAUAGACUUUUUAUUUUAUUUUUAUAUAAGUCCCCAAUUCAGUUACAAUUAUGUUUUUGUCAAAUUUCAUAGAAUAAUAGAGUUUUUACUUUAUUUUCAAAUAUUUCCUUAACUCAAUUAUAUUUUUUUCCCAACUGAAAUUAAUGACUUAUUUUAUAAAAUAAUUAAAUUAUAUAUUUAUUGAAUAGAUUGAAAACAUUAGGGGUUUAAAAUGUUAUUUUUAAUUUGUUUUUAAAAAAUUUAAUUUAACAAAGUAUGUGAAUGUAAUAUAACAUCGUCACUAUUAUUAAAAAUACUAAAAACAUAUAUAAUAAAAAUUAUUCAUAAAUUCAUAAAUUUUUUAUGUAAAUGUUAACAUUUUAUUUAUUAUUUACAUUAACUUAGAGGAUAAGUUAGAAAGUAAAAUUUGAGUAUUUUAAUCUGAUUUUUUAAAGAGAGUCAGAGUGUCUGGCAAAGAAAUAACGGCACGCAAGUACCUUUUUGCUAGGUUAGAGUUUAGUUUAUUAUUGAAACUCUUGACGACUAAUAUUUUUAUAAUUUAAAAAGAUGAAUAGAUUUUAAUUGUUUAAUUUAUUUAAGCUUGGUAACUAAGGUGGCAUUUGUUUUUUAACUUAAUGACUUAAAGUGACUUAACUUAAUUAAUUAAGUUAAUUAGAAGUGUUUGUUUUUAUAACUUAGACUUUUUAGAUAAUUUUGACUUAAUAAAAUAAGUCAAUUUUUUUGGCUUUUUACUUAAUGGAGAAAUUUGAAUUAAGUCAAUUACUUACUAAUGUCAAAAAUAUCCAUGUUUUAUAAUUUAUUUUUCAUAUCUAUCCCAAAACUCACCCAUAGAACAUUUACCCCACAUAAAAAUAUCCUUAUUUUUUAUUUCUUAUAUUAUAUACGAUAAAAUUUGAAAUUUAUGGUAUUUUAUAUAUUGAAAUUCUAAAAUAAUUAUGUAUUCACUUGAAUAUAGUUUUACUUAUAAAUGUUAAAAUAUUGUGGUAUUUAAUAUAUUAUUUAUUUGACAUUCAAAUUUAAUAAGGAUACGAAUGUAAAAGUACAUAUUUUUAGCUUUUUCAGUUGAAAAAAACAAACAACUCAAUACUUAUUUUCCGAGAUUCAAACGAAAAAACAAACAUAUUAUUCAGAUUCAGACAUACAGAUCUAUUCAGAAUUCAGACUAAUUCAGGUCUAUUCAGAUUUCAGACAAAAAAACAAACGCCACCUAAGUAUUUUUCAAACAUAAAGUUGUACUUGCACUUUUUAAAUGAUUAUAAUUACAUUUAUUGACUUAUUCUAAUUUAAAAUUCUUAAUAGAUUUAUUAAUUCUUAUAUAAUUAGAUGUUAUUAUAGGUUGCAAUGUUAGAUUUAAUAAUUAAAAAUAGUAUUUUUAUAUUUGAAUUAUCUUUUGUUUUUUAGUAUUUUUGUACAAUUAUUUUUGUUUAGAGUAUAUAUUCGUAGAGUUUUUCGUGUCCCCAUUAUUUGAUGUACUUCUUUUUACUUAUGAAUAUUUAUGUUCACUUCAAAAUAUAAAAUUUUAAAUUUAGCCCGGGGUAAUAUAAAUUCUUAGGUCCGCCCCUAAGCAAAACUAAAUAUUUAUGACUUAAAAGAUAGGUGUUGAACAGAGGCAGUCUCACAGAAAAAAAAAAAAAAAGUAUUUGAAAGCAGUGGUGAUAUCAUAAUUUUUUGUAUUGAUAUGAGAGUAUCAUACUAGAUUUUUUUCCGCAAUACAAAAAGUUUGUAUUCAAGAAUAAAUAAGCAAUUUCGGGAACAAAUUUUACAAAAAGCCUCGAGGCCAUGUCGUAUGAAUUUGUGAUACCAAAAAUAGUAUACUAGUCAAUAUAUCUUCUUUCCACAUUACAAAAAAUUAGAAAUGCAAUCUAAAUCGAUAUCAAUUAAUAAUUUUAUAGUACACGAAAUCAAGGUAUUUUUUCAUAAUUUAAGAAAUUAUUAGUCAUUUACCCUAAAUUUACUUUGUCUCCAAAAAUACUACGAAAACUUUAACUUGUUUAGUUUUUUACCUUAAUUUAUAAUUUAUAUCAAUCGCUCACUAAAAAGAUAAAAUUAGCUCAUAAAAUGACAAAAUAAAAACAAACACAAAUGACAAUACCAGUAAUUUUAUAAGGAUAAUAAAGUCCUUUUGGCACCAAAUUACGUAUUAAAAUAAUUUAAAUAUUAUAAAUUAUUUUCAGAUUGAGUGAGGAACCCUGGUCAUUUUAACAAUUAUGGUCAUUUAAUCUAUCUAAACAUGAUAUUUCAAGUAGACUUAUGUUUGCGUGGGAGGAUAAUGUAAAAAAAGUGGCACUUUUAUUCAACUGAAUAAAUUUCACAAUUUAAAUUAGAAAAGGAUAAAAUUUAAUAAUUAACUAUUUUUUUAACUAAUUCAAUCGGGAGCCAUUAUUUGUAGGCUGUAGCGGUCCCAAAAGCAUGACAUUAUUGUGAGUAAUGUAUCCUACUUGCAAAAUAAACGGCAGAAUGCGGUUUGGGGACGGAUUAUCGAGGUAUUUGUUAAUAUUCGGAAAUGAGAAGAAAAGGUCAAAUAAAAUUUUAACUUAUUAUUAUUAUUAUUAAAGAUUGUAACUCAGAUGAUUAGACAAAUAAAGGAACUUAAGGCCACUUGGCGGCUUCACUAGGAGCUGUUUGAGUUUAAUUCUAUUGGUAAAAUUCUAUUUUGGUAAUUCUAUUCUUCUUCUUUUCAACCCCAAAUAAUCAAAAGCUCUCCAAUGGCUUUCGUAUCCACAACUCGUCCAUUUCAUUUUACUUCAAUUUCAGUAUCAGCUCUUAGAUGUAAUUUCUCAUCUUCGUUCCCUCAUACCAGAAAACCCACAUCUUCAAUUUCGGAAAAUGAACCCUCAUAUCCGACUACAACAGCUAAACUGAAGGAGUCGCUACGACUGACAGUCAAAGACGGAGCCUCACUCGAAAAAUUUCUUAAAGAAAGGUGCAAAUCAUCAGGUCAAGGUGAUAUUAAUCUUAUUACUCCUAAUGAAGCCUUGUGUAUCUUUGAUUACAUGCUCCGUAUGCACCCUUCUCCGCCUCCUGUCUCUUCCUUCAAUAUUUUGUUUGGUUGUCUUGCUAAGAAUAAACAUUAUGAUACUGUCCUUUCACUCUUCAAGAGACUCAAUUCAAUUGGGUUGUUUCCAGAUCUUUAUACUUAUAGUAUCUUGAUUAACUGCUUUUGCAAAAUGGGUCGAGUUUCUCCUGGUUUUGUUGUUCUUGGGAGAAUCCUCAGGUCUUGUUUUACUCCAAAUGCUGUGACCUUUACUUCUUUGAUUAAAGGUUUGUGUGCGGAGGGUAGAAUCAUGGAGGCCGCUGCAUUGUUUAUGAAACUUAGAGUGUUUGGUUGUGAGCCUAAUGUUUUUACAUACAAUACUUUGAUUAAUGGAUUGUGUCGAACUGGCCAUACAAUUGUUGCUCUAAAUUUAUUUGAAGAGAUGGCUAAUGGAAAUGGGGAAUUUGGUGUUGUUUGUAAGCCAAACACUGUUACAUACACUACUAUUAUCGAUGGUCUUUGUAAGGAAGGUUUUGUGGACAAGGCCAAGGAACUGUUUCUGAAGAUGAAGGAUGAGAAUAUUAACCCCAAUGUGGUUACUUAUAACUCUUUGAUUCACGGUUUUUGUUACGCUAAUGAUUGGAAUGAGGCGAAGUGUUUGUUUAUUGAGAUGAUGGACCAAGGGGUACAGCCGAAUGUUGUGUCUUUUAAUGUGAUCAUGAAUGAGCUUUGUAAAAAUGGGAAGAUGGACGAAGCAAGUAGGCUGUUAGAAUUGAUGAUUCAGAUUGGUGUGCGUCCAAAUGCUUUUGUCUAUAACACAUUAAUGGACGGGUUUUGUUUGACAGGUAGAGUUAAUCGUGCGAAGGAACUAUUUGUUUCUAUGGAGAGUAUGGGUUGCAAACAUAAUGUUUUUAGUUACAGUAUUUUGAUAAAUGGUUACUGCAAGAAUAAGGAAAUAGAGGGAGCGUUAAGCCUUUAUAGCGAAAUGCUCUCUAAAGGUAUUAAGCCAGAUGUUGUUAUAUAUAACACCUUGUUUAUUGGCCUUUUUGAAAUACACCAGGUUGAGCGUGCUUUCAAGCUGUUUGAUGAGAUGCAACGUCAUGGCGUGGCAGCUGAUACCUGGGCGUAUAGAACCUUUAUUGAUGGGCUCUGCAAGAAUGGUUAUAUUGUAGAGGCAGUUGAACUAUUUCGUACUUUGAGAAUUCUCAAGUAUGAACUUGAUAUUCGAGCCUACAACUGCCUCAUUGAUGGAUUAUGUAAAUCCGGCAGACUCAAAAUUGCAUGGGAACUAUUUCGUAGUUUGCCUCGUGGAGUCCUAAUAGCAGAUGUUGUAACAUAUAACAUCAUGAUCCACGCGCUUUGUGCUGAUGGAAAAAUGGACAAGGCACGUGAUUUGUUUCUGGAUAUGGAAGCAAAAGGUGUAGCACCCAAUUGUGUCACAUUUAACACGCUGAUGCUAAGUUGCAUCCGCAAUAAUGAGACAUCAAAAGUUGUUGAACUCCUUCACAGAAUGGAUGAGAGAAAUGUAAUACCAGAUGCAUCUACACUUUCAAUUGUUGUGGACUUACUUGUAAAGAAUGAAAUUAGCUUAAACUCGAUUCCACAAUUCAAGAGUCAAAGGUAAGUGAGUUUAAUAUUGAUUUAGUCGCAUGUUUCUUCUGCCUGAAAACCCGAUCUGGAGGAUCCCAUUCUUAUUAACACAUGUAAAGGAGUGUUGUCUAAUGUUGGCAUGUUCCUAGGUUCUGUCCAUGGAUUCUGUUUGCGGACAUGGCUAACUUCUUGUCCAACAGAUAAGUUUUAAAGUCUUUCAACUUUAUGUUGUAAAAUAACAUUUUUAUUAUUCAAUUCAUGAGUUUUCCUUCUGUAUCACAUACUUCUCAUUAGCUGGAAGCGCAAAUUUUUUAGGCUUUUCCUGUAUGGCCUCUUUUUCUGCUCUAAAUAAAAUGGCAUUUUAUUUCUCUCUUGUGAGGGUACAAGGUUUAUGUUUAAACUUUCUGUUAGUUAAUUUGGUUGUCUUUGAUAUAGGGAACUUCCAGUUGAACUGAUUUGUAAUUCGAGUAUAUGAGAUUACCAACUGUAUUGGGAAUUGAUGCCAAAUUAAUUAUGUCAUCAGGUUUUUCAAUCAGUGUUCAUCAUUUAUUUCUGUUAACAAUUAAUAGCACAGCUUGACUUCUCAGCUUCAUUGGUUCCUCUCAAAAAUAAUCUUGUAAAGACAAUCUUUCUUGGGCAUGGAAAAUGCUAGAUUGUUACAUGGCAUUCAAUUGAAUGAGGACUCAUGAUUGUGUGUAUUGGUAUUUGUUAUACUAUGUAUUGGCAAGACAAAGUUUCUUGAAACUGACAAACUUUUCUCUAUGAAGAUUGAAGAAAAUAUGAUAAGAUAAAAUUUAUCAAAAGCAUAUAUGCUUGCCAGGGAUGGACCUUUGAUUAUUAGUCCUCGCCUUUCGUGCUUGUCUGUUCUGUGAAAUAAUUCAUUCUCCAUGCUGCUAGGGCCUAGGCUUAUGACUCUUCUUUGAAAUAAUUCAUUCCCCACAAUGUGAAAAAAAUGCUUGAAACACGACACAGACUUAACUGUUUACAGGAAAAGCGGCAGAAACUUGUGAAAUUACCGAUUAAAAAGUACCUACCAUGAGGAAGAUGCUAUACAACUCACUCGGAAAAUGUAAAAUGGUUAACAGACAUCCAAGAUGAUCAACCAGAAACACAAUUCAGAACAUGGGCUGCUUUUGGUUACCCGGCUUUCAGAUUAGGAGAUUAGGAUCCUAAAUGCUUUGAUCUACCUGAAAAGUAUACAAAUAUCAGAGUUAAAACAGAGCAGAUGAAAACGUAUUGAUGAACUCAACUGAGAUAAAUGACAAGAAAACUAACUUUUCCUGUACAAAACUCGCACACCUUCCUUUAAGAGCUGACUUUCCAAGAAGAGAUCACCACAAUCGUUCACAUCAACAGUCUCCACUUGAAAAUUUUUAUAACCACAAUAGUCAUUCCAUUCAAACCACAUCCUUGAGAUCAGUUCCUUCUUCAAGCAAGUAGGAUGGUCUUCCUCUUGAGGAGGCUCAGCAGCAACCAAUCUAUAUGCAUAAACUUUCUUUGUUUGGCCUGGCCGGAAAGGCCUGCCGAUUGCUUGGCGGGUUUCUGAUGGAGUAAAGGUAACAUCCAGAAUAAUGAUCCAAAUUUUUGUGGACUUACAUGCAAAGAAUGAAAUUGGUUUAAACUCGAUUCCACAAUUCAAGAGUUAAUGAGUUUAUCUUGAUUCUGUAGCAUGUCUCUUCUGCUUUAAAACCAGAUCUGGGGAAUCCCAUUCUCAUUACAACAUGUGAAGGAGUGUUUGUGUAUUGUUGGCAUGUUCCCAGGUUCUGUUCACGGAUUCUGUUUGCAGACAUGGCUAACUCCUCGUUUCAUCAGAUAAGUUUCAAAGUCUGGCAACUUUUUGUUGUAAAAAUAACUAUUUCAUUAUUCAAUUCAUGAGUUUUCCUUCUAUGGUGCAUUUUUCUCAUUAGCUGUAGUUUCAAAAUUCGAGCGAAUUUGAAGAAACUGCAAAAGACUACAAAGCAAAUGGUGUAGAGCACCUUUCACUUAUCACGGGCACAGGAUUACUCUGACUUUCUGCAUUUUACUGUUGGCUAUGGUUUGAUGCAUUAUUUAUUGUUCUGAAAUACCAUUCUCGUUGGAAGUUCAAUCAUUACUGUUUCUUUUUUCCCCCCUUUUUACUUGAAGUUACCUGAAGCUCCAAUCGAACGAGUAAUGUAAUGUAGGUGUUGACCAACUCCAAAUAAGUAGUUAGUUGCCUAGUAGUUGCUUUGCAUGAAAUAUGUUUUUGGUAUGAAUAAUGUUGUCUUAAUUUUACAAGCUUCCAUGGAACUCCUAAUUUGUUGGAAGUAUUAACUCAACCCGUCAUUUAAGGUUAGAUUUAACCAUUGACUUAUGUUGACUAUUAAAAGUAUUAUAAUAUUCUAUAAAUAUAACGAAACCCCCCUUUAUUAACAAAUAUAAUUUAAAAUAUAAAAAAUUAAUAAUAAAAAAUAACAAAGUUGAAAUCCAAGGAGCAACUUCUAUCCCCUAACCAAGUUAUUAAAUAUUAGAGUAGAUAGAGGCAUAUACUUUUCUUCAUGAUUCAGAAUCAUAUCUCAAAUAAAAUUCUCAAUGAUUGCAGGCCUCAAUACCAUUAAGAUGAACUAGACUAUCAUGAAAUUUUGUGCAUCUUGCAAGGUCCAAUUUCUCCAAGUUUAUCAUCAAGCCAAAAAAUGUCAUAAUUCCUUUUAUAGUAAUUUCAUAGUGUUUACUAAACGGUAAUAGAAAUGGACUGAAACACAAAUAGGGAAUGCAAGUUAGAAUAAGGAUGGCAAUGGUGAGGGGGGAGGGGACCAACAUCCUUGUACCCAUCCCUGAUGUUCUGUAUAUGUCCCCAUCCCCUUCCCGUCCCCAUCAAAAUUACUUAAGGGAAUUCACGUCCUCCCUCUGAAUAAUAACAGGGAAUCCCCAAAGGUCCCCGAUCCCCAAAUAACUGAUAUAUUUGUUUAGUUUUCAAACUUAAUUUAAUCAUAUUAAGCUAAAAAUAUAUAAAAUAAAAUGAAAAUGAUCAUGAAUGCGCCUUAUAUUUCAUUCAACUUGGUAUAUAUAAUAUUCAAAUAAUGAUUUUCAAAAAAAAAUUCAAAUAAUGUGAUUUUUAUACAAUAUUGACGUGAUUGUUGUCCAUGAGUAACGAUACCUACUGAUCACCGACUAUGAUGCAACAAAGCCGCAUGUGUGGCUGCUAGUUGACAUUGCGAUGAGUUAGUGUAACCCCCACUUUUAUUUAUUUAUUUUUUUCCUCUUUUGCCCUUAUUAAACUGAGUAGGAUAGUUAUUAUUGAGUGUUUGUGUGUGAGUAAAAUUUAUCGGAUUGUUUUAAAUAAGUUACGUAAGUUAUUUUUUUUAAAAAAAAAUAUUUAUUAAUUACCAAGUAUUUAAGAGAAAACCAUAUUUUUAAGAAGCCGUUUUUUAUUUUUCUUACACCGUUACAAACCCUAGAAAGAAAAGAAAGAAAUAUAAGUCUUUGCAAAAGGAAAAGAAAGUUUUAUCACUUCUUUUCUUAGUGUUUGCUUUAAGGUAUUAAGUAUUUCUUCGACUUAUAUGAUUUAUUUUUAUGAAAUUGUUUGCAUUUAAUUACUUGUAGUAUGAAUUGGGUAAUAUAUGUGUUUGUAAUGUUGUGAUGAUAUGAACAGUCUCUAUUCCUUGCUUGAAAUCGUUUUCUUUAUUUAGAAUCACGUGAAUAUCUUACAUAUCAUGGAACUAGACAUCCUAGGCUUUCCAUUGAUAGGUUUUGUGUUGAAAUCGCCUGAGAAUGCAAAUUCUUAUGGGUUUUCGAAGUUGGGUUACUGGUGCUGGAAAAUUCCGAUUUUCAGCAGCGGUUCUCAACUCUGGAAAUUUUUCUAUAAGGUUACACAUCCUUAAAAAUUAUGCUGAUUUUUGUGCCAACAGAUCUAUGUCUCCUAUGCUUGCAUGUUUAAUUUCGUAGUUUUAUUCUUUAUGGUUGAAUUAUUAAAAAUCGUAACAUAUGGCUGCUGCAAAUCUGGAGACUGUUAUCCAGAAUUUCAGAAGCUGAAACGUGUAACAGUUGAGCUAGUUUAUGAAUAUUACAUGCCAUGUUAGGAUUUUAUAAUGAAAUUUCAAUCUUUCCUCUGUCUUUAAAAACUGGAAUCGCGAUUUUUGGGGAUGUAAAAUAAAAGAUACGAAUUUUUGAAAUUCUGUUUUCAAAUCUGGAAUUUUCUGGACGGGUUAGAUGUUCUCGGAAAUAAAACGUUUUAAAAUAGUCUCAGGAGUCCAAAAAUUAUGAAUUUUAAUUAUAUGCUUUUUGAAUGUGUCUUCUGUAAUUAGAAAAAAAGAUAGCAUAUUACUUCGAGUACCAAAGAAUAUUUUAUGAAUUUUCUAAGUGGAAAAGGUCUGUUUUGGUCAGUGCUGGACAGUUUUGUUACUUUGGUGAAAGGUCAAUAUUCUGACUCGAUUUUGACUUGUGCUGAUUUUUGUGAAAUAUUGUAUGCAAUGCUAUACAUGUUCACAGUGCCUCUGUAAAUUUUCAUGGUUUUCCGACAUGUGUAUAGGUUAUUAAAAAUCAUCAUGUGCAGGAUACUCAUAAGUAUAGGAUAUGUUUAGAAUAUGUAUAAGUAUUAAGCUAGUAUUAGUGUCUAUGAUUUAAGGAUGAUUGGGAUUAUAUUUAAGGUUAGAGAUGAUAUUGAUAAGAAUAUUUUUAUGAUGAUUAUAGGACGUGGGUGAGCUCGUUGGUUGUUCUUGAGGUUUUGAAUUGAUUGCUACGGAUCGAGAUAAGUAGAUUCAUGCAUGAUGUGCUUUAUAAUAAAUGCAAUUUAUGUUACAAAAAUUAUGUUUAAAUGGAAAUUUUUACAAAACUGAUUUCUAAAAUAUUUAAAUGAAUUUUGUAAAAUAAAAACACUUUUAAAUGAAUUUAUAUAAAUGAAUUUUAAAAUGAAUUUUUCUUAAGAAAUGAGUUUUCUUAAACAAAAUAUUUUCUUAAAGAAUUUUCUAAAAGAAUUAAAUGAUCAAAGAAAGGUUCUUAAAUGUUUUAGAAAACUUUAAAAGCUAUUUAUGAAAGGAUGUAAGGUGGAUUCAAAAUGUUUUGGCUUAUAGUCCGUAGUAAUGUAUACAAUGGAAAUGUUAUGAUGUUAUGUAAUAUUAUGGUCAGCUUGCUGGUACGAUGAUGGUCUUGUGCACAAGGAUGUUAUGAACAAUGUGGGACAUAGUACCCUAAAUGAGGAACAAUGCGGGGUAUAACACCCUAAAUGAUGAAUGAUGAUGAUUAUGAGGCAUGAGCUACCAAUGUUUACGCUUUAAUGUUUUCAUAAAUGUUUUAAUGUUUUUAUAUGAAUCCACCCCUUAUGUUAAAUGAAGAUGUUGUUAUAAAAUGUUUAAAGGUAUAUGACAAAGGUUUUCAAAUAUUGUGCAUGGAUUUGAUUACCGAGUUGACGGCUCACCCCUCGUCUCCAAUAUUUUACAGAUUGAUUAGAGAUAUGGCUUGGGUUCUUAGACGGAGAAUUUUUCUUAGUGGAUCUUUAGAGUUGUUUUAAAGAUUAAAUUUGGCUAGACUUCCUAUUUUGCAUUAGAGACUUUUCUUUGGAGACCUUAUUUCAUAUGUUUUAUGUAAGGAUUCAGUUGGAGUAUGAAUAAUUAUUGUUUAUCUUGAGAUUUAUUAAUAAGAAUAAAUGAUGUGAGGUUUCAUUCCAAUUUUACCCUUGUGUUUUCAUGAGUAAUUUUUGGGGUGUUACAGUUAGGCUACUCGGACACCGACAACGCAAUGUGCUACUGGGCUAUGAUGAGAUGAAGACGAGUUGCGUGCUUACUACUGCAUGAAUAAUUUGGAAAUUAUGAGCAAGACUGUGAGAAAGUGAUUUAGAGUUUGAUUUGUGAGUUAUGAGCUUGUGGGAUUGUGUGCUUUUGGUUGUAAUUAAGUCUAAAUUAUAUUAAACAUUUUAUAUUAACUAAUAUUUGUAUUAUUUGUAUAAAUAUUUUGAUAUUUGUUAUUUACACCAAUAUUUUAUAUUUUACAAUUUAAAAUUUAUUAUUUAUUGACUAAUAAUUCUAAAAAAAUAAAAAUAAAAUAAAAUAUUAAAAUAGGGAAAUGGGGAGGGGACGGGGAUUCCACCUCAUCCCCAUCCCUUCCCUGAAUAAGUAAUUGGGUAAAAAAUCGUCUUCGUCCCUUCCCCGAAUAAGAAGUUUGGCAUAAAAUCGUCCAUGUACCCUCCCCAAAUAGGAAAAAUCCCCAAGGGCCCCCAUCCCCAUGGGGAUUCCUGCCAUUUCUAAAUUAGAAUAAAUUAUUUACUUGAACUGUAGGAAUCAGAAUAAAAAUAAGCUGGAUUGUCAUUGAUGUGUCUAUUUUGUCUUGGAAUUGAAAUCAAAAUGAGUUACAUUUUAACAACUUACUAAAAAGUGCUUAAUGAGCUAUUGUCAUAAUUAUUAUUUUAUAUUUUAAUUAUGGUAAUUAUUUAUUCAAAAAUUAUAAUAAUUAUUAUUGUUAAUAAUAUAUUCAUAUAUUAAUUAAUUGAAAAUUAUUUAAAUUAAUUAAUUAUUAAUAUAUUAAUUGAUUAAUUAUAAUAAUACAUUAAUUAAUUAUAACUGAGGACAAAAUAAAUAUUUUUUAUUUUGUGAGGGGGCAAAAUGGUCAUUCCAAGGAAUGGGAGACUAAUUCCCGCCUCCCUUGGGAAUUAAUCUUCCAUUUGCCAUUCCCAAAUUGCGGUGGACUCAACGAUUUCAAUUCCGAUUCUUGACUCUAUUUUGUGAAGUAAAUGCUCUCAAUAAUUUCGAUUCCUCAAUCCGAAGAAGUAAACGCACAGUUACUGUUUCUUCUAAAGCUCAAACUUGUCAGGUUUGAGAGACCUGAUAGAUACUUCAGUCAUGCAUCUACUUCAUCAUAAGACAAACUGAAAGUUAGAAAUAAAAGGGACAACUCAAGGAAAAUGCACACAAGUGAGGUUUCAAAAUUAAAAUAGACACUUCAGCUGCAAAUCAGCAUACACAUACAAUGGAGGUCAUACAAAUAUCAUUUCUACAACCGCCCUACUGUAUUCUUGAAUGAAGAUGGUUUAAAGUCAAGUAAUAAGAUAUUUAAACUUAAGACAGAACAAUACAAUUAAAUUUGCUGGAACUUAUGAGUAACUUACUCUCAUCUCUCCUCCUAAUUUAAUUGGACAGGCGUAAAUUUUCCAUGUUAAUAUGGAUGAAGUAAAUUUUCUUUUUGUAAUAUAUCUAUGCAUUAAAAAAAAUUAAUAAUAAUAACUUUUACAAGCAUUUAUGCUUGUAUUAAUACUCUACUUUUUACUACACGAUUGCUUCAGUAUAUGGUGGAUGUUAAGAUAACAAUAAUAAUAGAAUUACAAAUACUUGCAUACUAUUAACUAACUUAACACUAUAAUAUUGUUUACGGUGUAAGCACUCGAGGUGAUGUUAAUAUGCCAAAGAUUUAAAAAUAUUAGUUCUAGCUUUUGAAGAAAAAUAUACUUUUAGUCAGAAGGGAAAAAAAAGCUUUCUAACAAGAUAUCAAAAUGGUUAAUAAGAAGAGCAGUAGUAAUGGGGUAAAAGCUCGUUUAGUCCCUAUAUUUUGAGGUUAGUACUUGUUUAGUCCCUAUAUUUUUAAAAAUGCUUUAAAACAUCUUUGUCGUUAAAUUAUUGACACCCCUGUCUUUACUUUGUAUUCCUUUUAGCUUACUUUUACAAUAUUACCAUUUUUGCAAUAUUGUUUAAUUUUUUGGACAUUAAUAAUAAAUAAAAUUACCAAUUUAACCCCAAAAAUAAAAUAAAGACAAAGAAAAUAUAUAUUAAUCUUUGUCGAAACUAUGUCAAAAAAAUAAAUAUUGUAAAAAAAAUUUAACUACUAAUUUUUUAGACAUUAAUAAAAAAAUUAAUAUAUUAAUUCCUCGUGGAGUAUUCAAAAAAAUUAAUAUAGAUUUUUUUUUGUUUCUAUUUUACUUUUUUGGGUUAAAUUGAUAAUUUGAUUUUUCUUGUUAUUAAUGUGCAAUAAAGAAUAAAUAUUAUUGUACGGGGGUAAUAUUGUAAAAGUAAGUUAAAAAGAACAAAAAAUAACGGUAAGGGUGUCAAUAUUUAACGAUAAGGAUGUUUUAAGGCAUUUUUAAAAAUAUAGAGACUAAAUAGGUAUUAAUCUCAAAAUAUAAGGAUUAAACGAGAUUUUACCCUUAAUAAUGUUACGAGGGGGUUCAAAUGGAGGGGGAUGGGUAUUUCCAAAUUUGUAUCCAUUAAUUUUUUUAAAACUCAUAUCUGUCACUUGUUAUUAUUUUAAAGGAAAUUAUCAGUCAUAUACCUUAAGUUGACAAAACACUUCUACCGUCCACCAUUCCUUUAACUUCCAUUUGCAAGCGUUGACAUCAUAAGGGUAAUUUAGUCUUUUAAGACUGACGAAACUUUGAUAAAAAAAACGGCAUGUCAUCCCAUUUACCGAAUAAAAAAUGACAUGUCAUAUGAUAUAUAUUGAUAAAAAUAACAUGUCAUUCCACUUAUCGGUUAAUUGUUAAUAAUUGCUAAAAAAAACUAUUUUACAACUGAAUCUACUCCUCCAAAAUUUAACUUAAAUUUUUGAAGAUCUACUCCUCCAAGCUCCAACUUGAAAUUUUUAUGGUAUAAUAUGUAUAAUUGUAAAUAAUAUGUUGUUAAUAAUUUUUUAUGGUAUAAUAUGGAUAUUUUUUAUGGAUAAUUGUUAAUACUAUGUACCAUUAAUAAUUCAUUUUUUAAUCAAAAAAUGUAUUGGUAAUAACAAAAUAAAAAAAAUUAUGUAUUGAAAAUUUACGUUAAUUUUUGGGAUAAAUUUAUUUUUUUACCUCAUUUUGAGUUUUAAGGGCAAAAUAGUCAAUUUACCACAAUUCUGUUAACUUUCUAACAGAAGUUAAUAGAAUGGUGGACGGCAGAAGUAUUUUGUCAACUUAGGGUAUACGAGUAAUACACUUGAAAAGUAUUCACACACGUUUGAUACGGGUAUCAUUUAAGGGUAUAUAGCUGAUAAUUUCCCUUAUUUUAAAUAUCAAACUUGUCAACCCUUAGGGGAAACAAGUAUUUAACGGACUUUGUGCGGCUAAUUCUCAUCAUUCGCUACUCUAAAUUUUAUUUUACAGAUUUGUGCAUCAUUUAUAACAUUUAAUUAAAUACACUUAAAUUAUAUAGAUUCAACGGUUCAACCUUCAUAUAUCACAUGAAAAGAAUACUGAAUUUUUAACAUCUCUCAUCAAGAGAUUGUACUGUGCUUACUCAAUUAGAUACUAAGGUGGCGUUUUUUUUUUAACUUAAUGACUUAAAGUGACUUAACUUAAUUAAUUAAGUUAAUUAGAGGUGUUUGUUUUUAUAACUUAAUGAGACUUUGUAGAUAAUUUUGACUUAAUAAAAUAAGCUAAUUUUUUUUGCUUUUUACUUAAUGGAGAAAUUUGAAUUAAGUCAAUUACUUACUAAUGUAAAAAAUAUUCAUGUUUUAUAAUUUAUUUUUCAUGUCUAUCCCAAAACUCACCUAUAGACAUUUACUCCACAUAAAAAUAUCCAUGUUUUUUCUUUCUUAUAUUAUAUACGAUAAAAUUUAAAAUUUAUGGUAUUUUAUAUAUUAAAAUUCUAAAAUAAUUAUGUAUUCACUUCAAUAUAGUUUUACUUAUAAAUGUUAAAAUAUUGUGGUAUUUAAUAUAUUAUUUAUUUGACAUUCAAAUUUGAUAUGGAUACAAAUGUAAAAGUACAUAUUUUCAGUUUUUUCAGUUGAAAAAAACAAACAACUUAAUACUUAUUUUCCGAGAUUCAGAUGAAAAAAUAAACAUAUUAUUUAGAUUCAGACAUUCAAAUCUAUUCAGAAUUCAGACUAAUUCAGGUCUAUUCAGAUUUCAGAUAAAAAAACAAACGACACCUAAGUUUAUACUCCAACUAAUGUGUUAAUAGUAUUUGAAUAAAAAAUGAUAAAACUUAAUAAUUAAUUAUUGCUUAAGUCAAUUAAAUAGUAUCAUAUCAUUUGUUAAAAAAAAAAAAAAAUCUUUGUUGUUUCAAGAUUAUUAAUCCUUUUUCAUUUACUUAUUAUCAUUACUAUCUGCAACAAUCAUAAUGAUUUGCAUCAACAUGUGAUUGUUUUUUUGACUCCAAGAACAGCUUGUAAAUGUAAUUUCUCUUCUUCCCCACUCACCCUUGAAAACCCACUAUUUGUGUACUUCCAAAACGAUUUAUUGCUGACCGCCAAAGACCGAUACUCACUGGACAAAUUCCUAAAAGAAAGAUUCAAAUUCCAAUGUCUUAUACCUAUUUGAUUUGCAGUUCUUGUUAUGCUAAUGACUAGAAUGAGGCAAAGUGUUUUUUAAUUGAGAUGAUGGAUCUAAGGGUGCAGCAUGAUGUUGUGAUUUUCCAUGUUGGUCAUAUAUGAGCUUUGUGAAAAUAGAAAGAUAGAAGAAGCAUGUAGGUUUUUAGAAUCGCAUCAAUGGAUGGGUUUUGCUUGACCGAGGGAACUAUUUGUUUCUGUGGAGAAUAAAGGGUGCAGAAAUGAUGUUGCUAAAUACAACAAGUUGAUAAAUGGGUAAUGCAAGAAUAAGGAAGUAGAGGAAGCGUUAGGCCUUUGUAGCGAAAAGCUUUCUAAAAGAAUUCUCCUAGAAUAUGUUGGGGGGAUGGAGCAGCUGCCCCCAUCGCACCCUAAGCCAACAGACUCAAAAUUGGAUGGGAACUUUUUUCAUAGAUUAUUUCACGAACGCCCGAUUCCAAAUAUGUAACAUAUAACAUCAUGAUUCAUGGGCUUUGUAACAAUGGGCAAAUGGAUACGGAAGCAAGGCGUACGACGCCCAGUUGUGUCAUGUUUACUAAGCUUAUGCGAAAGAAUGAGACAUCAAAAGUUAUUGAACUUCCUCACUCAAUGGAUAAGAGAAAUGUAAUGCGGGAUGCAUCUAUACUUGCAACUGUUGUGGACUUUCUUUUAAAGAAUGAUAUCCGUUUAAACUCGAUUCCAGAAUUCAAAAGCCAAAAUUGAAUAUUGAUUUAGUAGCAUGUUUUUCUACCUGCUGAAAUUCGGAUAUGGAGGGUCCGUUUCAUUAUCCCAAAUGUGAAGGAGUGUCACGUUGUGAGGGCAAUGUAAAAUCCUCGCCAUCUGGUUCGGUUCACCAAAGAAACUUCCCCAUUAAUUUCUUGAAAAAGUUGAGUUAAAACUGUGAAUGAAAGAAUCAUGAUGAUCUGUUUUGGUUUGUGAGAUGUUAGAAAGUGGUCAUUGUUUAUUAAGUGGAAAUAAAAAUGAGGGAAUGAGAUUCAUUAAUUUGUUUACUUAUAAAUAGAGGAGGAGAAUUGAGAAUUAAAUUUGUUGGCCUCACAUCAAUUUAUGAAUAACUCUUGGAUUUCUAAUUUCUAAGGGAGAUUUGGAAUCUACAUCUCAUUUACAAUCUACCCAAUUGUAAUAAUUUUCAUUUUGUCAUUCUUUUAAAUAUUUAAAAAAUAAAUAAAAAUCGCAUGAGUACUGUGCAAAGAUGGAUUGUUCUUGUUAUUGUUGAUGUUAUUAUUACUAGCACCGAAUUACAUAUUAUUAAAUUAAUUUAAAUAUUACAAAUUAAAUUAUUUUUAAAUGAGUGAUAAAACCUGAUCAUUUAAUAACCAUGGCCAUUUAACAGAUUUAAACAUAAAAUUUCGUGUCAAAUUAUGUUUGAGUAUAAGGAUAAUGUAAGAUAAUUGGUACUUUAAUUUACAUUUAUGUGCUAACUGAAUAAAGUUCGCUAUUUAAAUUAAAUUAGAAACGGUGAAAUUUAAAAAUUAACUAUUAUUUAGCCAUUUAAACGCAGAGACACAAUUUGUCACGGUUCCAAAAGCAUAGCAUCAUUGAAAGUACCGUAUCCCACUUGUAUUAAUAUUCGGAAGAAUGGAAGGUUCUAUUUUGGUAAUUCUUUUCUUCUUCUUUUUCAACCCCAAACAAUCAAAAGCUCUCCAAUGGCUUUCGUAUCCACAACUCGUCCAUUUCAUUUUACUUCAAUUUCAAUAUCAGCUCUUAGAUGUAAUUUCUCCUCUUCGUUCCCUCAUACCGGAAAACCCAAAUCUUCCAUUUCGAAAAAUGAGCCCUCAGAUCCGACUACAACAGCUAAACUGAAGGAGUCGCUGCGACUGACAGUCAAAGACCGAGCCUCACUCGAAAAAUUCCUCAAAGAAAGGUGCAAAUCAUCCGGUGAAGGUGAUAUUACUUCCAUUACUCCUAAUGAAGCCUUGUGUAUCUUUGAUUACAUGCUCAAUAUGCGCCCUUCUCCGCCUCCUGUCACUUCCUUCAAUCUUUUGUUUGGUUGUCUUUGCUAAGACUAAACAUUAUGAUACUGACCUUUCACUCUUCAAGAGACUCAAUUCCACUUGGUUGUUUCCGGAUCUUUAUACUUGCAACAUAUUGAUUAAUUGCUUUUGCAAAAUGGGUCGAGUUUCUCAUGGUUUUGUUGUUCUUGGGAGAAUCCUCAGGUCUUGUUUUACUCCAGAUGCUGUGACCUUUACUUCUUUGAUUAAAGGUUUGUGUGCGGAGAGUAGAAUCAUGGAGGCCGCCGCAUUGUUUACGAAACUUAGAGUGUUUGGUUGUAAGCCUAAUGUUUUUACAUACAAUACUUUGAUUAAUGGAUUGUGUCGAACUGGCCAUACAAUUGUUGCUCUAAAUUUAUUUGAAGAGAUGGCCAAUGGAAAUGGGGAAUUUGGUGUUGUUUGUAAGCCAGACGCUGUUACAUACACUACUAUUAUAGAUGGUCUUUGUAAGGAAGGUUUUGUGGACAAGGCCAAGGAACUGUUUCUGCAGAUGAAGGAUGAGAAUAUUAACCCAGAUGUGGUUACCUAUAACUCUUUGAUUCACGGUUUUUGUUACGCUAAUGAUUGGAACGAGGCGAAUUGUUUGCUAAUUGAGAUGAUGGACCAAGGGGUACAGCCUAAUGUUGUGACUUUCAAUGUGAUCAUGGAUGAGCUCUGCAAGAAUGGGAAGAUGGAUGAAGCAAGUAGGUUGUUGGACCUGAUGAUUCAGCGUGGUGUGCGUCCAAAUGCUUUUGUCUAUAGCACAUUAAUUGAUGGUUUUUGCUUGACAGGUGAAAUAGAUCGUGCGAGGGAAUUAUUUGUUUCUAUGGAUAUUAACGGGUGCAUGCAUAAUGUUGUUACUUACAACACGUUAAUAAAUGGGUACUGCAAGACUAAGGAUGUAGAGGAAUCUUUAAAUCUAUAUAGUGAAAUGCUUUCUAAAGGAAUUAGGCCAACAGUUGUUACAUAUAACACCUUGUUUCAUGGCCUUUUUGAAAUACACCAGGUUGAGCAUGCUUUAAAAUUGUUUGAUGAGAUGCAGCAUAGUGAUGUGGCAGCUGAGACCUCUACGUAUAAUACCUUUAUUGACGGGCUCUGCAAGAAUGGUUAUAUUGUAGAGGCAGCUGAACUAUUUCGUACUUUGAGAGUACUCAAGUGUGAACUUGGUAUUGAAGCAUACAGCUGCCUCAUUGAUGGAUUGUGUAAAAUAGGCAAACUGGAAACUGCUUGGGAACUGUUUCAAAGUUUGCCUCGUGUAGGCCUAAUGCCAAAUGUUGUAACAUAUAACAUCAUGAUCCAUGGGUUUUGUAAUGAUGGGCAAAUGGACAAGGCACAUGAUUUGUUUCUUGAUAUGGAAGCAAAAGGUGUAGCACCCAAUUGUGUCACAUUUAACACGCUUAUGCUAGGUUGCAUCCGCAAUAAUGAGACAUCAAAAGUUGUUGAACUCCUUCACAGAAUGGAUGAGAGAAAUGUAAUACCAGAUGCAUCUACACUUUCAAUUGUUGUGGACUUACUUGUAAAGAAUGAAAUUAGCUUAAACUCGAUUCCACAAUUCAAGAGUCAAAGUUAAAGUGAGUUUUAUAUUGAUUUAGUCACAUGUUUCUUCUGCCUGAAAACCCGAUCUGGAGGAUCCCAUUCUUAUUACAACAUGUAAAGGAGCGUUGUCUAAUGUUGGCAUGUUCCUAGGUUCUGUCCAUGGAUUCUGUUUGCAGACAUGGCUAACUUCUUGUCCAACAGAUAAGUUUUAAAGUCUUUCAACUUUAUGUUGUAAAAUAACUUUUUUAUUAUUCAAUUCAUGAGUUUUCCUUCUGUAACACAUCCUUCUCAUUAGCUGGAAGUGCAAAUUUUUUAGGCUUUUCCUGUAUGGCCUCUUUUUCUUCUCUAAAUAAAAUGGCAUUUUGUUUCCCUCCUGUGAGGGUACAACGUUUAUGUUCAAACUUUCUGUUAGUUAAGUUGGUUGUCUUUGAUAUAGGGAACUUCCAGUUGAACUGAUUUGUAAUUCGAGUAUAUGAGAUUACCAACUGUAUUGGGAAUUGAUGCCAAAUUAAUUAUGUCAUCAGGUUUUUCAAUCAGCGUUCAUCAUUUAUUUCUAUUAACAAUUAAUAGCACAGCUUGUCUUCUCAGCUUCAUUGCUUCCUCUAAAAAAUAAUCUUGUAAAGACAAUUUUUUUUUUUUUUUUUUUGGCAUGGUAAAUGCUAGAUAGUUUGUGGUCUGAAUGAUACUACACAUCUAAGUAAUUGCCCAAAUUGCCAUGUAACAAGGAGUGUUGCAUAGUGAUGUCAUGCUCACAGGUACCACUCAUCAACAUGGCCAACGCUUUCGAUGCAGUCAUUAUUAUGGAAAUUCAAGAGUUCUCCUCCUAAGAGGUCUCUCUCUCGUUCUCUUAAUUUCCUUAUUCUGUUUUGGAAGUAAUGUAAUGGGAAAAUAGCAUUUAAUUUCCUUGUGUCUGACAUUUUCUUCUAUAAAUGCUAUAAAAUAUCAUUUUUUUUUUCAUCAUUGAUAUGUAUUACACAAUCAGAAGACUAAUAUUUAUAUGAAACAUCUACUUUAUGGCACAAUUCAGAUUUUUAUCCUUAUAAAUAUUGGAAGGAUAUCUUUAUGUUUCUUCUGUGAUAACUUUUCUGGGUGCUGCAACCUUUUUAUUAGAUUGAUAGAAUGUGAAUACAAGGAAAUUCUGUUUGAUAAUCUUGGCAAACCAGGAUUAAUAUGAAAUGGAGCAUCAUCAACAAAUACUUAGCAUAUUGCUGACUAUGAUUUGUUCUUUCCUCGCCUCAUUCUUUUUGUGAGUAGAAUUGGAUCGUGAAACUUGUUAUGUCAGCACAAGUGUCCUUUCAAGUUGAUGUAAAAUACACUGACUUGAAAUAAUGGCAUGGUAAUUUGGGGGUAUAGAUAAGCUAGCAUGAGUAUAUUUUGUCACCAAUUUCGCCAACCGCGUAUGGGUGUGGAAAUUAUAUUGCAUUUCUAAUGUCAUUUGAAAGAAAAACUUGCAAAAUUUGUAAUUUGUUAAAUCUGAACCGUGGUUCACAUCUACUCUUCCCCAACUUGAGUCAUAUGAUUCAAUUUUUUAGUGGGCAUGACGAGAUAGAUUUCUACCAAGCCCAACCCAUUUAUCUACCCUUUUGUAAUUUUCUAUCAUGCAUAUAUUUAUAUUUUUGUAUAGUUAAUAUCUAAUUAUUUAUAUAUUUUUAUUGAAUAACUAUUAAUUAUAUUUUUCUAAAAAAUCGGCAUGAAAAGUUCAACUUAAUAUUGAAUUUAAAUACUUUGAUAAGUAUAUGUCAAAUGUUUGGAAUUCUUUUUCUUAGUCUUCAUGAUUGAUUAAUUGAAAAAUAAAUGUGUACGUAUUAAAAUGGUAUUGGAUAAACAUGCCCCUAUCACCCAAGUUUUCCUUUGGAUAAUUUCCUAACUUGCAAGUUGAUAUCGAUGUUUAAAAAGAACCAAAAAAAAAAAGUACAUAGAAAUCUUCGUCAAUUACUUCUUGACCUAGUAGUUGACACUUUCUUAUCUUAUUCUUGAGGUUAAAGGUUUGAAUCUUCUUAUGUGGAUUUUAGGUGAACUAUAGAAAAACAAAUUAUAUGAGACAUUUUCAAAAUAAGUAUAAAUGUGGUACUUAUUCAUCAGACGAACAUAUUAAUGACGUGAUAAAUCCGUGUUAUGUAAAUUUUCCAGACUGUAUAAUUAUAUUAUAAUAUUAAAUAAAUAAGAAGAAAGAAUGGAAAAUGCAUCUUCCAAAAGUUUUCAUAGAUUGGCUAUAUGCACAAACAGCAAAUCGAAACAAAAAGAAAGGAUGUGACGUGACCUUACUACCUGUUAUCCCAGUUAUGGAAUUCAAGUCAAUCUUUGAAGUAAUGCACUUUUAUUUCUCUAUGACAGAGACAGGUCCAAGUCUUUCAUCCGAGGCAAAUGCUAAGCUCCAAUUACUUAGCAGGGGUGUUCAUAAUCUAAUCCGAUCCACUUAAUUUAUCUGAUCCGUGAAAAUUCGAUUCGUAUAAAUUCAAUCCGUGGAUUUGUGAAUUGGAUAUGGAUUGAAAAUUUAAAAAUCCGCAGUCGAUGGAUUGGAUAUGGAUUUACUUUUGUAAAUCCGUAAAAAUCCGUGAAUUCACAAAAAAAAAUAUAUAUAUAUAUAGUUAAAAAAUUAUUAUAAAUUUAAUUAAAGAAUAUUAUAAUUGUGACAUUACAUAGUUACAUAAGAACUAUAACAUAUCUUAACCAUUACCCAACAAUAAUAUAAAAUAAUUAAAUAAUCAAAUAUACAAAUAUAACUUGUAAAAAUUAUAAAACAAAAUAAAAGGAAAGUCACACGCACUAACAAAAGCAAAGUAACAUAACGCAAAGUCACCAACAAUUUACAAACAAAAAACCCUAAGCUUCCCCGCUGUCACAUGCACUAGCAACCAAUAUUGGUUUGAUACACUCUCGACACCGAUUUGAAGGACGUCGGUCGCACGAUUCUAGCGAGAGCAAGCCAUCUUCUUCCCCGAGUCCAUCGAGCCACUUCACAAUCACUAGUUCCAGCCAAACAAUUGCACUAUCACAACCUUCAAGAUCGCCACCCGUACUUCUCCUGGUUCCCAUCGUUGACGGCUACGUAAUCACCACUUUUCGACAAAUACAACAGCCCUGGUGAAGGAUCAGACUGUGUUUGGUUUCGGAAACUUCACCAUUUCAAUUAAUUAUGGCUUUAUUUGAAUAAUUAAUUUCGGUGUUAUAUUAAUGUAUUAUUGUAACUUUAUUUGAACAAUUAAUCUCGAUGUGCUAUAUUUUGAAACUUUGAAUGUAUUAUUUUAGUUUUAUUUAAAUAAUUAAUUUGUUUAAAUUUUAUUCAAUUUUAAAUUUAAUUGGUAGUAAAAUUAUUUUUAUAUUAGAUUUUUUUUUUUAAAUUUCAUUAGUUCAUGGAUUGGGGAGAACAAAAAAUUUUUAAUUCGGAAGCUAAUGUGUAAAAUGGUGGAUUGGAUAUGGAUUAAGUUAAAUCCACAUCUGAUCCGCAGACGUAUGGAUUGGAUAUGGAUUUAGUCAAAUCCGCAUCCGAUCCGCAGAUAUAGGAUUGGAUUUGGAUUGAGUUUAAUCAAUCCGUGGAUUGGAUUGGAUUGAAAAAUUAUAAUCCGCAAAAUUGUGGAUCAGAUAUAAAUUAAUGUCCAAUCCCUAAAAUCCGAUCCGCGAACACCUCUAUUACUUAGAGGCUCCCUUCUUCCAAAUUCAUAAUCUUCAACAUUUCUCCAACCAAUCAAGCAAGGCUAGAGAUAGGUAACAUACAUUUUGAUGUACAUUUGUCUUUUGUAUCAUUUACUUCACUAGUGAUCCAUUAAAUGGAUCCACCAUUAACGUAAAUGCUAGUUUAACUAUUGACAGUGGAGCAAGUAUGUAUGUGGUCCCUACGCACAAGCAUACACGCCCAUUAAAGCAUUACUCUCCUCAUCAUUGGAUAUGAAUUUUGUGAACUAUAUAUCUUUUUGGGGGUUUCAUUUAUCUUUCCGGUCUCUUAUGAUCAUUCACGGCUCCUGCUGCUGCUUCUUAUUGGCUCUUUGACAUCCUCUGUCUUGUUCUUGCUGUGUGUGUCGGCCACUAGCAACUGCUUCAAGCAAUGUGAGUUUGUUGCGUGAGCUUCCGUUUUGGUUAUUUUCAAUUAUUAUUUUUGUUGAUGGGUUUGUGAUUUUGUGCUGUAUUAUUACAGGAUUACACUGUUUAUAUGUAAGAUAGAAGAUAUGAUGAGCCUCAGCUGGUUCAGGAUUCGCACCAUCAGAUUCUUUCGGAUAUUCUUGGAAGGUUUAUAUUUCAAUCUCUUUAGCCGAAUUUACCUAUUAUAUUUUUAUCAUAUAAACGUUAUGCAAAACGUUUAUGUUAAUGUAUGGUGAAAAUUGAAAAAUGGAAAAUAAAAAUAUUUGUACUGCUUUCACUAUUUAUCUAUGUUAAUCUCUUUGAUAAAAUGAAGUGGAUGUCAUUAUUUCCAUGCAUCAGUAAUUACAAUCCAUAUUGUGCUCUUGCUAGUCUGUGCUCCAUUUGAACAUCGCAACGAACUUAUUUACUUACAUAUUUUUUGUGCUUUCUGGUUGGAAAUUGGAAGUUUUAACCAAUUUCUGAUCAGAAACAGCCCUUUUGAGUGCUAUGGCAGAAACCGCAGACGUGACCUAACCUUCAUUUUUAAUUUGUAUCAAUUGGUAGUUUUUUAUAACUCUCUCUUUUCCCCUCUAUCAAUAAUGAAUGGUAUUCGCUAGAGAAACCGUAAGGGGACUAAUCAUUGUGAAAAGCACUAGGUGAUAACUAGCAGUUUCAAUUUGACAGCAAAGAAGCUGCUAAGGAAUCAAUUCUCUGUACAGCCACAAGCAUGGUUUUUCUGGAUUUGCCGCAGUCUUAACAGUCUCAAGCCAAGUUAACUGCAGGUGUUAUAAUGUUCGUGAAUGAAAUCUGUUUUAGCUGUCCAAAUUUGUUUUAUUAACCAAUAUUUUCUGUUGAUACGUUUUGUAUGAUGCAUUUGUGCAGAUCACCCUGCCGUGGUCUGUAUUGUACCAAAUAGGACACUCAGUUUGCACACAACCAAAAUGUUGUGAAUGAAAUUCCUUCAAAAGGCCAUUCAGGCGCUGGAAGUUAUUUUCAGAUUCAUGGAAAUAACUAUAAUACUGGUGGCAUUUAGUUUCCAAGUGAUCUUGGUAGUUCAAUAAGUUCUAGUUCUACACUUGUUUCCAAAGGUUUUGGUUACAUGAUGGUCUGCCCGUUGAAUUACAAACUUGUGAUGAUUUGUACAAGAGGAAAAAAUGUAUUGGUUGGAAUUUUUGUUCCAUAUGAUAUAACUCUGUGAAACAGCUUUACAUUUUGUGUUCAAGUUGAACAACAUACAAUUUGAACGAAGAUUAUUCAAUCAAAUUGAAGAUUUCUGUUUGAAUAUUUUGAAUGACAAAAUUAAAUUUACUUUCAUGCAGAUGCAGUAGCAUUUAAUCAAGUUCCUUGUGCUGUUGAAACAAAAAUAUAACAUCCUUGCUUGCAUUUCAACAUGAUAUGAUGCCACUCUUUUACUGUUAACCAACACACAUACAUCAUGUAGGCCUAAUGGCAAAUGUUGUAACAUAUAACAUCAUGAUCCGUGGGCUUUGUAAUGAUGGGCAAAUGGGCAUCUAGUUUUUCGUUUGUGAGGCUACUAGGUCUAUGCUGAAACUUUAUGUUAGUUAAAUUGAUUGUCUUUGAUAUCUAGAACUUCUAGUUGAACUAAUUUGUACUUUGAGUAUAUGAGAUUGCCGGCUGUAAUGGGAAUUGAUGCCAAAUUAAUUAUGCAUCAGGUUUUUCAACGUGUUCAUCUUUUAUUUCUGUUAACAUUUUGGCUCUGGACAUGCUGGAUUGUUUUUGGUUUCAGUGAUACAAAACAUCUAACUAAUUGUCCAAAGUUUUUCAUUCCUUGCGACAUAGCAUUCAAUUGAAUGGUGACUCAUGAAUCAUGAUUGUGUGUUUUGGUAUUUGUAUACUAUGUAUUGGCAAGACAAAGUCUGUUGAAACUGAGAAACUUUUUUCCGCCUUCCAUUCUUGUUUCAUAUUCUUAUGCUAACAAAUCUUGAUCAUGAUGAGUCUCCUCUUUUCUUUUCAACCCACAUAUAAAGUCUUGGCCAUAAGCCUCAAGGCCUAUUGGCUAUUGCAGCAGUGAGUUCACUCUCUGGAAUCAAAUCUUUCAAAUACGAGGAAAUUUGAAAAAAUUGCAAAUGUCUACAAAGCAAAUGAUCCAAAGGUCCUUUUUGUUAUCACACACACACAACAUUACUCAGACAUUGUCAGAGUAUCCAUGUUUUACAGUUGGUCCUGUUGUGCAAACAGCAUUUCUGAUUUUUCCAGAAGACAAUUCUUCGAAGCAUGUAUUUGAGAUGCGCGUAGAGCGUUGGAAUUAUAUGAUUAAUUCUCUUUAAUUUCCAGCCAUAGUUCUAUGCAGGCCAGUUAAUCCCCUUUUUUGUAACACCCCCCCCCCCCCCCCCCCCUCUUCCUUUUUUGCUAUGGAUUGUAUUUCCUUUUUUUUCUACUUUUACUUGCGUUGACAAUUUGAGCUUGCUGUCUUGUGGUUUUAGAACCUGCUAAAGUAAGCGUGCAAGUGACAAUGAAGAAGGGGAAGGGUUUACUCGUCAUUUUCUUUUUGAAAGCAAUGCGUUUUAUGCGGUGAUAUUUUUUUUUUAUCUAUGUUGUGAAAAAAAUUUGACUGAUUUUGAAGAUCCUUAAAGAUCGUCCAUCUUGGUUCUGGCAUUGUUGCAGCCUUGAAGUUUGCAAAACGAUUCCUGCUGGAUAAAUGGAACAGCUGCCUCUUUGAUGGAUUAUGUAAAUCUGGCAGACUUGAGUUUGCAUGUGAAUUGUUUCGUAGUUUGCCUCGUCGAGUCCUAAUGGCAGAUGCUGUAACAUAUAACAUCAUGAUCCAUGGGCAUUGUGACAACGGCCGAAUGGAUAAGGCACAUUAUUUCUUUCUUGAAAUGGAAGAAAAUGCUAUGGCACCCAAUGUGAUCACAUUUGGUACGUUUAUCCAUGGUUUUAGCCAAAUCAAUGAGCCAUCAAAAGUUAUUGACCUUCUUCACAAGAUGAGGGAGAAAAAAGUAAUGCCAGAUGCAUCUAUAGUUUCAAUCGUUGUGGACUUACUUGUAAAGAAUGAAAUUAGUCUGAACCCACUUCCGUCAUUUCCUGUCCAAGAGCGACAGGGGGAAGUUGAUGAGUGAAAUGUCAAGUUGUAGCAGCAUGUGCUUUCAGCCCAAACUCCUGAUCUGCAGCAUCUCAUUCAUGUUACAAAAUGACAUGUCGCCUGGUGACAGCAUGUUCUCUCCGGUGCUGUUAAUGGAUUCUGAUUGUUCUUGUGAUCUGGAGAGUUUCAUUCAUAUUACAGAUCCUGAUCAGGACGAGCUAGCAUAUGUGAUCACCAACUGUACAUGGUUGUUGAUGCCAAAUUAAAUUAUGGUAUCAUGUUUUUCAACUUGUUAUUUAAUAUAGUGCUUCCAUUGAACGGCCACAAGAAACUGUAGAAUCACCGUGUCUUGUUCCCUCUUAAUGAUCCAUCACUUUGGAAGCUAAUGAAUUAGUUGCACCUUGUCACUUUCUUGGUACUUGAUUGUCAUUCGUGCUUUGAAUUUACAGCAUAUUUUAUCCCUGCUUUACUCUUUGCAUAAUCACCUUUGAGGGCUGCUAGUAUGUAUAAUUGAAAAACCUUAUAUAAAUUGUAAGCUUUUUUAUUUAACUUGUUGUAAACUUCCAGUGUAUGUCUCUUCUGUGAAAUGAUUCAUUCUCCAUGCUGCUAGGGCCUAGGCUUAUGACUCUUCUGUGAAAUGAUUUACCCUCACCUGCGCACAGACAUUUAUCACGUUCGAGAAACCUUCAAACAAUGUGAAAAAAUGCCUCAAGCAUGACAUAAACUUAACUGUUUACAUGAAAAGUGGUAGAAACUUGGUGAAAUUACCGAUUAAAUUGUACCUACUGUGAGGAAGGAUGCUAUAUAACUAAGUCGGAAAAUGUAAAUGCCCGGCUUUCAGAAGUCAAUAAUUAGAUGAACUUUGAGGAGAUUAGGAUCACCAGUCAGUCAGAUUUAGAUAGAAAGUGAGAGAUUGCUAUUGCCGAGCCAUUGCUUCUAUCCUAAAUGCUUUGAUGUACCUGAAAAGUAUACAAAUAUCGGGGUUAAAACAGAGCAGAUGAAAUCGUAUUGAUGAAUUCAACUGUGAUAAGUGGUAAAAGAAAACCAACCGACCUUCUGUACAAAACUCGCACGUCUUCCUUUAAGAGCUGACUUUCCAAGAAGAGAUCACCACAAUCGUUCACAUCAACAGUCUCCACUUGAAAAUUUUAUAACCAUAAUACUCAUUCCAUUCAAACCAGAUCCUUGAGAUCAGUUCCUCAGGCAAGUGGCAUGAUCAUCCUCUUCAGGAGACUCAGCAGCAACCAGUCUAUAUGCAUAAGCUUUCUUUGUUUGGCCUCGCCGGAAAGCCCUGCCGAUUGCCUGGCGGGUCACUGAUGUAUUAAAGCUUUCUGUAAUUUCAUUUUUUCAUUUUUCCCUUGCGAGGGUACAGGUUUAUGUUGAAACUUUCUGUUAGUUUGCACUUUGAAUAUAUGAGAUUACCAACUGUGACAUGGCAUUCAAUUGAAUGGUGACUCAUGAAUCAUGAUUGCGUGUGUUGGUAUUUAUUGUACUACGUGUUGGCACGACAAAGUUUGUUGAAACUGACAUACUUUUCUCUAUGAAGAUUGAAGACAACAUAAUAAGAUAAAAUUUGUCAAAAACAUGUAUACUUGACACUUGACAGGGCUGGAACGUCUGUUAUUAGUCCUCGCCUUCCAUUCUUGUUUCAUAUUCUUCUGCUAACAAAUCUUGAUCAUGAUGAGACUUCUUUAUUUUCAAAAAAAAAAAAAUAUCCACAUGUAAAGUCUUGGCCAUAAGCCUCAAGACCUAUUGGCUGUUGCAGUGGUGAGUUCACUCUCAGGAAUCAUAUCUUUCAAAUUCGAGCGAAUUUGAAGAAGCUCGAAUUCGAAGAAAUUGCAAAUGCCUACAAAGCAAAUUGUGUGUAGGUCCUUUCACUUAUUAUUGGAGAAGACCAUUUGUUGAAGCAUGUAUUUGAGAUGCGCAGAGAACCUUUGGAAUUAUAUGAUUAAUUCACUUUAAUCUCCAGCCAUAGUUCCAUACAGCCCAGUUAAUCUUUUUUUUUUUUUGGCUUUUGGAUUUUGUUUCCUUUAUAUAUAAAGGAAAUCGGGACUCAAUUGUUGGGAGUCCAAUCACUUUUUUCUCUUUUAACUUGCUAUUUUUGUUGUCCGAAAUUAUCUGAAGUUCCAUGCAUGCUCCAAUAGAACAAAUAAUACAGGUUAUGAUCGUCAUACUCCAUAAGCAAGUUUUUUUUUUGGCUGCCCCUUAUAUUUGUCACACUCCUUGUACUAGUGCCCAAUGAAACCACAAUAGAAGCAAAAAUCUGACAAUCACUCAUAUACUACUGUAAUUGGAACAUCAUCUUCACCUUCAAGUUCUAAAUAAAUAAUUUUCUUCAAUGGUUGUGUGAUAUCAAUUGAGAUACUUACUCUGGCAUACUGACCAAUGCACUCUUCUUCCUCGUCCGCAUUAACUUCUUCAAUUAUACCAAUUGCCUCUCCCAACGCUCUGAUUAUUUGCUGGUCUAUACACCCAACUGGGAUACUAUGAAGUUGUACCCAAAGGCAGCAUGAGUAAAUGAUUGUUUUGUUAUUUCCCCAAUUCCAUUUGCCUCUUUUAGAUAGGGUUGGGCAAAUAACCCGACCCGACCCGACCCGACCCGACCCGACCCGAUCAGAUCCGAAAACAAUCGGGUUCGGAUCAGAUCGGGUUUUUAACAUAACCCGAUCGGAUUUAAUUUCGUCAACCCGAUCGGAUCGUCAUCGGAUCGGGUUUCACCCGAUCCGAUCCGAAAAUCCGAUCGGAUUUGGCUAUUGAAAAAAAAAAUAAAAUAAAACACCCACACACAAAGGGGUGAAAAACACAACACUGCCACACUCAAACUCACUGACACACACCCACUCCCCAUCCACACACACACACACACUGAUACACCCACCACCCACCCCCCAUCCACAAAAAAUCGCAAUAGAUAGCCUUUUACUCACAUUUCAGAUUUCAUAGCUAGGGGUGGGCAAAUCGGGUUUCGGUUCAGGUUUCGGUUUGGGUUUCAACCCGUUCGGGUUGGAGAAUUGAACCCAAUCGGAUUGAAAAUGCCAACCCGAACCAAACCGAACCGAAUUUAAUUCGGUUCGGUUCGGUUUGGGUUGACAAUUCGGAUCGGAUUGGGUUGAUAAUUCGGGUUAAUUCGGGUUAGUUCGGGUUAGAAUAAUUCGGGUUAGUUCGGGUUAGAAUAAUUCAAGUUAGUUCGGGUUAGAAUGGAUUGAAACAAUUUAAUCUAAAAAUUCUAACAACUAAUAUCAAGUACAAUCAAACUACAAAAAUUACAAAUCUAAAAAUUAAAAUGGCAAAUGACAACCAUGAUUAAACAUCUCCAUUCUCCACAUGACAAUUAAUCAAUCAAUUAAUUAACAUUUGGUCGUCUGACAUGAACAGAAUAAAUCAAUAGCAAGCAUGUAGUUCUUUGAAAAGAACAAAAAACAUAAAACGAAAAUGCAUAUGAGAGUGCCAACAAACAUGAUAGCGACAUUUAAACAAAGCAAAAUUGGAGGUACUGGCAUGAUUUAUAGGCCAAGUAUCAAGAUGGAGACUUUUAAUUAAUUUUUGGAAUCUUUAAAAUAAGAAAACAUAUUAGCAUAAAAGAUAUUAGAAUUGUAUAAUGAAAACAACAGAUGCCAGCAAAACGCACACUGACCAUUUUCCCUGAGAGAUCGUGUACUAGUAACAAAAUUAAGAACUGAAUCAUCAGCAGUUGUUCUUCAACAAAUAUUAACAGAAGCCCAAACUGAAUACCUUUUUCGGUUCCUUUGAGCAGCGGAUCUCGCUUUACGCUUCCUCUUCUCCUGACUGCUCUCAAAAAAUCUUCUUCUCUUGCACUCUUGUAUAAUACCAGCUCUCAGCACCGCACUCCUAAACCGCCUCGCUAUCUUCUCCUCGGGCUAGUCGUCGGCGACUUCUAUCUGCACGUUGAAGAAAUAUAUGGUGUCUGUUGGAGCUGGACGGGGCUGCUGGCUGCUGCUGUGAGUGCUGUCGUCGUGGGCCACAAAACUCAAAAAGUGAGAAGAGGGAGCAAGGAGGGGGAGGGAGUUAGACGGUGAGACCGGCUGGUGUCUGUUGGAGCUGAACGGGGCUGCUGUGGCUGCUGCUGAAGUGCUGAUGUCGUCGGCCACAGUUCUCAGAAAGUGAGAACUGAGAAGAGGGAGCAAGGAGGGGGAGGCCGGGAGGUAGACAGGGAGUGAGAGAUUUUUGUUUAGGGAUUUUUAGGGAUUUUUUGGUUUAAUUAAUGUAUAUAUAUUUUUUAUUUAAAAGCUAAAUCUAAAAAAAAAAAAAAAGCUUCAACCCGAACGGGUUGAAAAUUCGGUUCGGGUUGAACCCGAACCGAAAUUUAACCCGAACGGGUUGAAGCUUUGAAUCCGUUCGGGUUUCACUGGUUAAUCCAAACCGAACCGAACCCGAAAUAAAUUUCGGGUUCGGUUUGGUUCGGGUUAACCCGAACCGAACGCCCACCCUCACGCUUCACUCUCUUCUUUGGUUCUUCUCCAAUUUUCACCCUUAAAUCUUCACAGCUUUCUUCUUUUUAAGUCUUCACUCUUCAGUUUUCACAAAUCGAUUUCUCACACAAUCGGGUUUCACAGAUCGAGUUUCAGUCACAAAAGCAAACCGAUGGUCACUCAAAGACGCAGCGCAAGAACCGAAGAUCAUUUGCAGACACAGCCACCGGAUCCGUGGUUCCGUCCAUCACCAAGUUUCUCACCUCCAAGCUCCACUUCAACCCAGCAACCUGACUUCUCCAACCUGCAACCUGAGCCUUGUGUUUUGAAAUUUUGAUGGUUUUUCUUGAUGUUGUGAUUAUUAUCAUAUAUAAAUUGUAAAAUUUUAAUGUUCACCAGCUAAUGAUAAAGAAAAUCAGUGAUAAAGAAAGUUGUAAUGUAUUUUUUUUCCAAUGAUGGGCAUAAAUUUUUUCAUUUUUCAGUCCAAACUGAUUUUAAUCCGAAUCCGAUCCGAACCGAACUCAACCCGAUUUUUUGACCCGGAUCGGAUUGGAUCGGAUUACAAGUUCGGAUUGAAUUCGGAUGGAUUUCUGCCCAACCCGACUAACCCGAAAUCCGAUCGGGUCGAACCAAACCCGAUCCGAAUCCGAUUUUGCCCAGCUCUACUUUUAGAACUAUCAGAGCUCGUUCAAAAUGUCACGGCCCACUUGAUAAAAUUCUCAUCUUAUCAACUUCAAAGGCAAAUUUAACAUAAAAAUCUUACUCCCCAAAUUUUCAAUUUCACCUAUUCUGCAUACUUGUUGUAAUGCUCACUUAAGACCCUCUCUAGUAACUCCUCUUAGAUGUAAGACUUUGCCCAGCAGACAACCCUCAACUAACUCUCUCGCAUUCCCUUCCAUGACAUUACCAACAACUACUUUACUUUCUUUUCCUUCUUCUAAUGUAAUAACUUUACACUUGCGGAUUAGUUCUUCUGUUUCCAUGAGGCACUAAAAUAUAAAUCCACUAUGAUAACUCUUGAGUAUCUACCACUUCCUCUGUAAUUAAGACUCAACAACUUAGAUGAAAAACUUAAAACUAAAAGAGACACCCAACUCGUGAGCGACUUUCGCAAUCUUAUAGGCUACUACCCUUUCAUUCUAGAUUCUCACUCAAAGAGAGAGAACCUGUGAAGAAAGACUUCUACAGGUAGGAGAGCACUUACACAGUAGAUUAUUUAUAUUUCUUUGGACUGACUUUUUUACUUUAUUAAAGACAAAAACAACAUAAACAAAGACAGAAGAUUAACAAAAGCAUCAAUUGCCAAAGAGUAGAGAGUAUUAUUAUAUUUUAGGAACUUAGGUUAUGACCAACUUAAAAGAAGCAGUUAGGGCUUGUUCGGUACCGUUUUAAAAGCCUUAUUUUCAUUUUUGUUUUGGGAGUAUAAAUAUAAUACAUAUUCAGCGGGUUGAAUCCAAAAAAAUAAAUUAUAAAACAAAUAAUUGAUAUUCACUUUUACAGUUAUAAAAUUAAGAACCUGUUGAACAUGUUCUCAAACAAAUUACAAAUUAAAUUAAAAAAAAAACCCCAAAACAAAAUCUAAAAAGUUAUCUUUCUCUCCCAAAAUCUUAUCCCCUCCCUCUCGUUAUCUCUUCACAACUCUUCCUUCUUCAUGGUUGAUACUUCUCCUUUAACCACAACCCACCUGAACUGUGCACCGAUCUCUCUCUCCCCUUCCCCUUUAUCUAGGUCUACUUCAAUGCUCUCUUCCUCUCGGUGGCUGUUACUUGUUCAUCAACCGCAAUCCAUCGUCGCAAGGUACUACGUCGGAAUAUUUGACCAAAAACAUGUCAGGACAAAGUGAUGUCUAUCAUGGUUUAUUGCUGCAAGUGCAUUAUUUUCUUUGUACUAAAGUGAAUCUUUGAUGUAUUUAUUAAAUUUGGUGGAGCAAUCUUUGUUAAUUUUGAUGAUCUAUAUAUGCAUUUAAUUUCAUUUUUAAUAAUUCAUGUGCAGGAAAUAUGGAUUCUUGGCUUUGCUUGGACUGAUGGUUUGCGCAAUUUCAUUUGGAAUCAAUCAGCUUCGAGGAUAAACACUUGAAGUUCAUCCUUUCUUGUGCAUGGGACUUGCUUUUCUUCCAUCCAACUUUUUUGUUCUCUUUUUCUAUGGUAGCAGUUUUAUGUUUUGUGUUGGUGGGAAACUUCAUGCUGCAAUUUUGUCAAACUCUGUUGACAUACCCUAAUCAGUAAUGACUUUGCUGCAUGGCGAAAGCAUAAAUCUUGUCAUUAGAGCUUGUUUCCAUAAAAUAAGUGUAAUUUGAAAGUACAUUGUACACUAUUGAAUUUAAAUUAUCCCCAACAAGUGUUGAUGCAUGAUGUCUAUCGUGUAAUUUUUUUUAUAAUUAUUUUGUUUAAAUUAUAUGUGUUGUAAUAUAUAACUUAAUUAUAGUGUAAAAACAAUGGCAAUGUAAUUUUUUGUAUUAAUGCUAAUACUAAAACUUUAUCAUCAUGCAAUUUUUUAUAAUUAUUUUAUUUAAAUUAUUUAUGAUAUGUUUGCGUAUUAAUUAAAUAAACAAUUAGUUUUUACUAAAAACUAUGACUUACAUGUUUAGUAAAAACUGUUCAUGAAAAUAGUACUACAGAACACAUUUUCUCUGAUUUUAUCUUUUUCAAUUGUUUUUAUCAAACACAUGUUACUGUUUUCAAUUUUAAAAUACAAGAUAUAGAAAAUGAUAUCAGAUGCCUAUUUAAUUCAAAAUGCUGCAACUGCAAAACACUAUUUUUAUUCUCAUUUUUGUUUUCAGAAAAUACUAAUUCAGAAACAAUAACAAACAAGAACUUAGUUUUAGUACGAAUAAUGUUGUGUUAGUUUUACAGGCUUACAUGCACCCUUAGAUUUAUUAGAAGUAUCAACCCAACCCCCUAGUUACCGUUGACUGAUAUCUAACCCGUUGACUGAUGUUAACUCUUGAAAGUAACUAUAACAUCUAUAUUGUAAUCUCACUUUAUUAACUAAUAAAUUUUAAAAAUAUAAACAGAUCAAUAACAACAAAAUAAUUAAAGUUGAAAUCCAAGAAAUUACCUAAAAAUCAUACCUGAAAACCAAAAUGCAUAAAAUUUCAUUAAUUUAAGUUGUGACAAUGAGUAGUCCACAUUAUAUGAUGAAUGAACAACUUCUAUCAUUUUACCAAGUUAUUAAUGUUAUGUUUACUUACUGGAGUGGACAUGAGAAGUAUAGAUUCCUCUCACUCUAAAGUUUACUUGCAUAUUCUAAGAGGUGUGGGAAUCCCACUCCGUUGAUCCCACCCAAUUUUGAAGUAGUGAGUGUAAUUCCCACUCCCACAACUUUCUUUUUUACUUUUCUUUUAUUAAAUUUAAUACAAUCAUAUUUAGUAAAAUAAAACAAAUAACAUCAUAUUUAUUUAAUAAAUAUUAUUAUUUUAUUUUAUAAAAUUCUAUUUAUUAAAAAGAAUAAUAUUAAUCUUAUUUAGAUAAAAUUAUUAUUAUAUUUAUUUAAAAAUAAUAGUAUUAUAUUUAUUUAAUAUUAAUAAUAAAUAGUUUAUUGUAAGAAACUAUUAAUUUUUCACUAUAUUAUUAAUAAUAAUGUUUCAUUUGUGUUGCUCUUAUCAAUAAUUUUUAUUUCACAUAAUUAAAAUUAAAACUAAUACAAAAUUUUGAUUUACAUAAUUAAUAAUAUUAAUAAUUAUUGUUAAUUUACAAAUAUAGUGAAAUAAAUAUUUUAUUUCAAAUAGAUUUUUUAUUAAUUUUGUAAUUAAAAACUACAAUUCUUUAAAUAAGGGUAAAACCGUAAUUUGAAACCAUUUACUCCCCUUCUCAUUCUAGUGAGCAAAAACAACUUGCUCCCACUCCACACUCUCAAUCACAAGGUUCCCACUUCUUAAGAUUUCCACUAUAAUCUAAAAUGUAAACACCGUCUAAAACGUCAAAUAAAAUUCUUAAUUAAGUAAACCAUAAGGUGAUUACGUAUAAAAAAAAUUAAUAAUAUUAAUUUUCAUAAGAAUUUAUGCUUGUAGUAUUACUUUACUUUUUUAUUGACUGUUGCUUCAACUUAUGGUAGAUAUUAAGAGAACAAUAAUAAUAGAGCUAUAAAUGUUUGCGUACUAUCAAUCAACUUAACAGUAUAAUUACCAACAAAUCCUUAAUACCAUAAAUAAUUAAAUUAUUGGGGUUUUAAAAUGACUCUCUAGACUUUGCAUGAUUUCUUUAUAUGUAGGUGCCAUGGUUCCCAUAAGUAAUAUCAGCCACACUUUUUGUUAUUGUUAAAAAAAUUUUAUAGGUACAAUUUGUGAAUUUGUACAAAAUGUGGUAUUAUACAUUUGAAGCAUGAACUGACAAGACAAUGUUGUGUCAAUAAUAAAGAAACAAAAAAAAAAUUGUAUAAAAUACAGAUGUUGUAGUGUAACUUGGAUUCUUUUUCUUUAUAAUUGCACCUAUCAUGUGAUUAUCAAAAAAAAAAAAAGAACUCCUGAGAUUUUAAAAUUUUGUAAUUGCACUAUUUUUGGAUUAUCAGAAGACUUCCUCUCCUUAAAGAUGCUCUUAAUCCAUAAAUGGUGCAAAACAUAAUUCAUGAAAUGAAUUUAUUAUUUUAGAUAAGUUUCAAGUAUACAUACCUUUUAUAGCUCCAUAUUGCAUAACUCCUCAUUUCAAUCAAUGGAUGCAUUUGUUUACUUUUUCUUUCUUGUAAAUUUUUGAAUGGCCGUAAUUCUAUAAAUAAUUAAUUAAGUGUUAUUGUUAUCAUUAUUUUGUAGAUGCAUAUGUGGGGUGGGGACGUUGGGGGGCAUGGAUCUCAAUAUAGCAGAGGGCCUGAAUAUUUAUUCUUUAAGAGGAACCACAACCAACAACAAUGCUUUAAGUUCCAUUCCAUUUUACUUCUGUGCACCAGAUUGCAUAAACAACAUUGAUUAUCCAAGGUCAAAGUCUCUCAAAUACUCUAGUUACAAGACAAAGCAUGGGUUAGUAGUGGCCAAAAUUUUCUUGCAACGAAAGGCUCGUAAACUGAUGACAGCUGCUGGAUUGUUUUGGGCCUUAAUGGUUUUAAUAUUAUUCUCUUAAAAACAUAUAUGUUGAUUAGAGACGAGAGGAAGAAGAUGAUAUGAUUCAGCCAGUUGCAGAAGAAAGAGCACGCAGUGGAGUUCAGAUUUUGAAUUCUCUUGUCAAAUUGUUUUUAAUUUACUACAAGGUAGAAUAUGUUGCAUUGUUAAAAAAUACUUUGAACAUCCUAUUUUUGUAUUACAAAUAUACCAAAAAUUAAAUUAAUUUUUUUCUUUAUUAGUAUAAACUAAAUUUUGCAUGAAUCCUCAUCCUUAUAAGUGGAAUUCUAUUGUGAAAUUAAUAGUCCUUCCUAGUUGAACUAACUAUCACUUUGAACAUAUGUGUCAUCUCUAACAACAGCUCCCAAACCUGCAGCUACCUGCUUCUUAGCAUUAGAAGCAGUAUCUGCAUUGGCUUUCAACCAGCCAUAAUUAGGAGGAGGGCACCAUUGUUUCUGUUUGUCAAUUUCCUUUCUUGAACCAUAAGCCAUAAUUAGGAGGAGGGCAAACUUCCAAAUAACAUUCCAAAUGGUAUUGUGAAAAAUUUUCACCCUUUUGGUAAUAAAAAAGAACCUUAUUUCUAGUUCUCUAUUAACAAUCUUACCACUAAGUUCUCUCUUGAGUAGAAACAUCAUAUAUAUUAAUUUAUUGUUAAUAUAAACAAAACUAAAUAUUUAUAACUUAAAAGAUAGGUGUUGAAUAGAGGCAGUCUCACAGAAAAAAAAAAAAAAAAGUAUUUGAAAGCAGUGGUGAUAUCAUAUUUUUUGUAAUGAUACGAGAGUAUCACACUAGAUUUUUUUUCUGCAUUACAAAAAGUUUGUAUUCAAGAAUAAAUAAGCAAUAUCAGGAACAAAUUUUACAAAAAGCCUCCAGGACAUGUCAUAUUAAUUUUGUGAUAUAUUAGUCACUAGAUCUUCUUUCCACAUUACAAAAAAAUUAGAAAUGCAAUCUAAAUCGAUAUCAAUUACUAAUUUUAUAUUGAAUGGGUCCUACAUGAAAAUAAGGAGUAUUUUUAUAAUUUAAGAAAUUAUUAGCCAUUUACCCUAAGUUUACUUUGUGUCAAAAAAUACUACGAAAACUUUAACUUAUUUAGUUUUUUACCUGAAUUUAUAAUUUAUAUCAAUCGCUCACUAAAAAGAUAGAAUUACCUCAUAAAAUGACAAAAUAAAAACAAACACAAAUGACAAUACCAGUAAUUUUAUAAGGAUAAUCCAAUCCUUUUGGCACCAAAUUACAUAUUAAAUUAUUUUAAAUAUUAUAAAUUAUUUUUAAAUUGAGUGAGAAACCCUGGUCAUUUUAAUACUCAUGGCCAUUUAAUCUAACAAAACAUGAUAUUUCGAGUAGACUUAUGUUUGCGUAGGAGGAUAAUGUAAAAAAAGUGGCACUUUUAUUCAACUGAAUAAAUUUCACAAUGUAAAUUAGAAAACAAUAAAAAUUUCAUAAUUAACUAUUAUUUGAACUAAUUGAAUCGGGAGCCAUCAUUUGUAGCGGCCUCAAAAGCAUAACAUAUUUUUAUACUGAGUGAUGGACCUAAUCAUUUUAAUACUCAUGACAAUUUAAUCUAUCUAAAUAUGAAAUUUCGAGUAGACUUGUGUUUUUUUUUUUUUUUUUGAAGGGAAGCAAUUUCAUUAAACCAAAAACGAAUUACAGACUAUGUAAUAACCACAAAGGUGGAACGAAAUUCCACUCUUGGGGACCUGACAUAGAACCUACUGCCCUUGCAACAGAAUGAGCAGCCAGGUUCGCAGACCGACGUACAAACGAGAAUUGUACUUCUCCUAAAGGCUUAGCUAAAGCUCGACAUUCAUCAACUAUUAAACCAAAACCGUUAGGCCCUGAAAACUCCUCAACUAGAGCUUGAAAUACUUGUAAACAAUCAGUUUCAACAAUGACACAAGGAAAUUGUAAGCCUUUAAGCCAACUAAGGGCCUCCCGAAUACCAAGAGCUUCAGCCUCCCUUGCUCCAAAAUUCCCAGCCAUUCCAGCACAUCUUGCUGUUAAGAAAACACCCUCUGAAUUUCGAAGCACACACCCAAAACCAAUCUUUCCUUGAGAUGAAAAGAUAGCAGCGUCAACAUUACAUUUGACCCAACCAAACUUUGGCCUCUCCCAACAUAUUGCCCCAUGGACCAGCUUAUGGACAUCAGUAUCAGCAUAGAAUUGUUGCUUCUUUGCUGCUUGCCACUGAUAGAGAAGUUGCCCAGCAGAAUUGAGCACUUGAUUCACUGAACCAGUUUUGUUAUUCCAUACUUUGUCAUUACGAUUAAUCCAAACUCUCCAGCAGAUCAUCAUGGCAACAUGGCAUUCUUCUUUACUGCAGCGUGUAAAGAUGUGAUCAAGCCACUCUAAGAAAGAAUAACAAUGGCCAAUAAAACCCACAGAGGAAGAAAUCCAGCAAGCCUUAGCAACAUUACACUCAACCAACGAAUGGAGAACCGUUUCAUCAGAAGCAAGACACACAACACAAGUAGGGGGGAUAUUCACCCGCUUAGAAAUUAAAUUAACUGCAGUAGGCAACACAUUAGUUGCCGCUCGCCAAACAAAAUUCUUAACCUUAUUCGGCACAUUCAAGUUCCAUAGUUUUCGCCACACAUCUGUGAAAGGGCCAGGGGUAAGAGAAUGUAAAACCUUAUAACAGCUACGGACUGAAUAGCAUCCGCGAGAAUCAGCCAACCAAUACCACACAUCAUCAUUUCAGUGGGAACUAAGGGGAAUUUGAAGUAUCAACUCCUUGUCUCUUGCGUUGAAAAGAUCCGAAACAAGAUCAUAAUCCCAAGCUCGUUGAUUAGGCACCAGUAAACUACUAACAGGAGCUGCAGCAAGCUCUGCAUGGAGAUUAGAAGAAACAAAUCCAUUAUUAGUAUCAGGAAGCCACGGAUCCUUACCAAUGAAGAUCGAAUUCCCACAGCCAACUUGCAGUCUACUCCCUUGAAUUACCACAUCCUUUGCAGCCAAAAUAAAGCGUCAUACAUAGCUAGGAUUAUGCCCCACAGAAGCUUGAAGAACAGAGGUGCGCGGAUGGUAGCGAGCUUUAAUUAUCUUGGCCACAAGAGAUUCCGGACAAGUUAACAGCUUCCACAUUUGCUUUCCUAACAUCGCUAGAUUGAAUAAAUGAAGUUGUUUAAAACCAAGGCCCCCAUAUCCUUUUGGUUUGCACAGAUUUUCCCAUUUGGACCAGUUUAUUCCUUUCCCUCCACUUCGAUUACUACGCCACCAGAAUGAGUUCAUCAGUCCUUCUAGUUCUCUACACAAAUCCUUUGGCAGUAAAUAUAUACCCAUAGCAUAAUUAGGCAUCGCAAGGGCUACCGUUUUUAACAAAAUCUCCUUCCCAGCCCGAGAAAGCAUCCGCGUACUCCAUCCCUGCAGGCGUUGCCAGAGCUUGUCCCUAAUAUACCUGAACACCUCUUUCUUGUUUCUGCCAAUAUAUGAUGGAAGACCAAGGUAGGCUCCAUGAUUAGAGGUCAUGGUAACCGCUAGAAUAUCACAAACCUGCUGAGUAACAGAUGCAAUCACAUUAGUGCUAAAAGAAAUUGAAGACUUGUUGAAAUUAACCUCUUGGCCAGAAGCUCGACCAUAAACCUCCAGCAGCUGCUUGAUUAAAGAAGCUUCAUUGUUAUUUGCCCUGAAAAAAAGGAAGCUAUCAUCGGCAAAAAACAAAUGCGAGACCGAUGGUGCCCCUCUCGCGAUCCGUACACCAUGAAGUAAGCCAUUCCUUUCUUGUCUUCGAAUUAAAGAACUGAGCCCUUCCGCGCAAAGAAUAAAUAGAUACGGAGAUAAUGGAUCUCCCUGUCGAAGGCCUCUACUCGGAACAAUCGGCCCAACUUCCUUUCCCUCCCGUAGCACAUGAUAUCUGACAGUAGAUACACAGAGCAUAAUUAACUCCACCCACUUGGCAUCAAACCCCAUCUUAAGCAUCAUUGCUUGAAGAAAAUUCCACUCAAUCCUGUCAUAUGCCUUAGACAUAUCAAUUUUCAGAGCAGCUACCCCAUUUUUGCCUUGUCUCUUCCGUUUCAAAAAAUGCAUAAUUUCAGCCGAAAUGAUUAUGUUAUCCGUGAUAGCUCGACCCGGGAUAAAAGCGCUUUGAGAGUCUAAAAUAACCACAUCAAGAACUGAUUUCAUGCGGUUAGCUAGCAUUUUGGAUAUUAUCUUAUACAACACAUUGCAUAACGCAAUUGGUCUCGUAUCUGAUAAUAAUUCAGGUUUGUGUUUCUUCGGUAUUAGCACAAUUGAAGUGUCAUUCAAGCCCACUAGGAAAGAGCAAUCAUGAAUAAAUUUUAAACAAGCCAAAAUCACAUCCUUACCCACAAUAUGCCAGAACUUUUGGUAGAAAGCAGGGUUCAUCCCGUCGGGUCCUGGAGACUUGUCCGGAUGCAUUUCAAAGAGUGCUUCUUUAACCUCAAUGUCAGUAAAAGGAGCUAAAAGCAUUGCAUUAUGCUCGUUUGUAAUUCUUUUAUCCACACACUGGGUAACUUCAGCAGUAUGACACCCUCCGGAGGUGAAAAGGCUCUGGAAAUAGUCCACAAUCAAAGUAUCCACCUCCUCUGGGUUGGAACACCAGUCUCCUUGAUUAUUGCGAAGAGACUCGAAGGAAUUCUGCCUUCUCCUGGCAGAGGCCGAGGCAUGGAAAUAGUGAGUGUUCCUGUCACCUUCCUUUAACCACAAAGACUUUGCUCUCUGUUUCCAAAAAACCUUAUGACUAUGCAAAAGCUCAUUAUAACGCUGUCUCGCUUCUGAAAAAGCAACCACACCCUCACUAUCUCGCCUACCCCGAAAAACAGCCAUACACUUCUUGCAUUCCCGAAUUCGCUGUCGAAAAUCUCAAGCAAAAUGCCCUCCCCACUCCAUAAGAGCAGACCCACACAGCAUAAUUCUAUGUUGAAUAGAAGCACCAGUAUAGGAGCUCCAGCUAUCCCGAAUAACAUCACUACAGUCAGCCUCACGCAACCAAGUAUUCUCAAAACGAAAACGGUUAUGCCUUAAAAUAGGCUGGGUCGGGCUAGGAUCCAACAAGAUAGGAAGAUGAUCAGAGCAAGAGGAGUCUAAGCUAUAGACUUUCACCUUGUUGAAUCGCUGAAUCCAUUCCUCAGAUGCAAAAGCUCGAUCAAGCCUUUCUUCAACCCAUUUAUCAGUGCCCCUAGCUCUCUCCCAUGUAAACUGAUACCCAUCGAUGCCAAGAUCAACUAAAUUGCAAUCGGUAAUAGCUCGCUGAAAACCCACCAGCUUCCAAUUUGGGUGCGCAAUACUACCUCUCUUCUCAUUUGCCGCCAGUAAAUCAUUAAAAUCACCUAUACACACCCAUGGGAGUGAAGAGGAAGAAGCAAGCAAACGGAGCAAGUCCCACGAUUUGCGGCGCCGGCUAGACUCAGGAUAGCCGUAAUAACCAGUUAAUCUCCAUUUUCCUAAAACGGGCACUUCAACUUCAGCAUCUAUAAAAUUGGUGGCAAACUGCAGCAGAUUAACAUUACUAGUAGCUUUCCAAAGAAGCGCGAGCCCACCACUCCGGCCAACUCUAUCAACAACAAACAGCCCAUCAUAGCCCAAUUGAAUUUUGAUCAUCUCUAACUUAUCUCUACUGCAUAGCGUUUCAAUAAGAAAAAUGAACGUAGGCUUCUUGUUACGGACCACCUCUGCCAACAUACGAACUGUCCGUGGCUGGCCCAACCCACGGCAGUUCCAACUUAAAGUACUCAUUGCUCUCGGUGGGCCUGAAGUACAGGUCCCACCGCUAGCCCGUUUUUUGGAUCUACCACCAUAGAACUCACAUCCACCUCUGUUUGUACUAUACCCUCCAGCCCCAUAUCCGCUCUUCUUCUUUUAGCUUCCUUUAACACUAACUCUUUCUCCCCAUACCUUACAGCUACUUGAGUAAGGUCCAGCCCAUUUGCAAAUGAAACCACGUCUUUGCCCUUACCAAGCCGUUGACUGCUAGUGGCCUGGACAACUGGCAAUGCUUGUAAGCUCAUUAUAUUAUCCAUAGAAUCCCGCCCAUCACUCCCUAUAUGGUUGGCAAAUUUCGUAUUGUUGGAAAUUCCUGAUUUGGAGGCAUUCAUCUCAUUAACCACGGUACCACUUAAGGAAGUUUUAAAAUUUCCUGAAUUAGCCAUACAUUCUUCUGACAGUUCCGAAUGUAACCACCUUUCACCGGAGGACAUGGCAUUCCGACGAGUUGGAGCCUUCAUCUCUGGCCUAUAUGACCUUGUAAUAUCAGCAGCAUCACAAUUAUACAACUUCGGACAAAGUUUUUCUGAGUGCCCAAGGAGUCCACAAAUGAAGCAGAAAGUAUUUAAUCGUUCAAACUUGAAAUCAACCCAGAACCAAUCUCCUCCCUCCUUCUUUAGUCGCAAUCUUCGCUUCAGGGGUUUCCGGACAUCAAUGGAUACCCUUAUGCGCAUAUAGUUUCUCCACACUCCCAUGAGAUUAUUAGGAUCUGAAGAUUGAAACUCACCAUUAUUGUUACCAAUAUUUAUCAAUACUUUCUCUGACAGAAACCCAAUGGGUAAGUUGUACACCUGGAUCCAAAACGAAGUAUGGAAUAAAGAAACCAUAUUCGGUUGUUCAUUCUCCCCCAAUCUCUUUAAAAUUAGAAUAUGUUGGUCGAAGGUCCACGGUCCCGAAUCAAUCACACGCUUGAGGUCAACUUCGUGAAAGAAUUGGAACAAGAAAAGAGAAGGUGAUAAAUCUUUGAUGCACACUCCCUUCCCUGGACGCCAUAAUGCCGCCAUAGUAUUUUUCAUGGCCGGAAAAUUGAUCACCUUAUCAGUUAAAAACCUCCCCACCAAGCAGAAUCUAAAAUCAGUCAACCCUGCAUUUCCAGUGGCAAUAUCCUCACUAUGAAAAACAAGACCAUCGUCAUCUUCCUCCCCAAUAGAAACCUUUUCAUAUGCAGCAUUCAUCUCAUGCUCCCCAAAAUUUCUACUGGUUGUCAUAGUACUCGUAAUAAGCAGGAAAUAUGGCUAUCUAGCCGGAAAUAUCCUAGAGCAAACUUGUCAGAAGGACAAGACAAACAAAGCUUGCCAAAGAGACAAGAGUAGCCUAAAAUUACGACUUGUGUUUGAGUAGGAGGAUAAUGUAAGAAAACUUGGCACUUUUAUUCAACUGAAGAAAUUUUACAAUUUAAAUUAGAAACGAUAAAAUUUAAUAAUUAACUAUUAUUUGAACUAAUUGAAUCGUGCGCCAUCAUUUGUGUAAUGUAUCCUAUUUGCAAAAUAAACGGCAGGAUGCGGUUUGCGGACAGAUUAUGGAAAGAAAAAGGCAUAUAUUUCUCUCCUAUUUUGGUAAUUCUAUAUUUCUAUUCUUCUUCUUUUUCAACCCCAAAUAAUCAAAAGCUCUCCAAUGGCUUUCGUAUCCACAAGGACCACAACUCGUCCAUUUCAUUUUACUUCAAUUUUAGUAUCAGCUCUUAGAUGUAAUUUCUCAUCUUCGUUCCCUCAUACCGGAAAACCCACAUCUUCAAUUUCGGAAAAUGAACCCUCGUAUCCGACCACAACAGCUAAACUGAAGGAGUCGCUACGACUGACGGUCAAAGACUGAGCCUCACUCGAAAAAUUCCUCAAAGAAAGGUGCAAAUCAUCAGGUCAAGGUGAUAUUAAUCUUAUUACUCCUAAUGAAGCCUUGUGUAUCUUUGAUUACAUGCUCCGUAUGCACCCUUCUCCGCCUCCUGUCUCUUCCUUCAAUAUUUUGUUUGGUUGUCUUGCUAAGAAUAAACAUUAUGAUACUGUCCUUUCACUCUUCAAGCGACUCAAUUCAACUGGGUUGUUUCCAGAUCUUUAUACUUACAAUAUCUUGAUUAACUGCUUUUGCAAAAUGGGUCGAGUUUCUCAUGGUUUUGUUGUUCUUGGGAGAAUCCUCAGGUCUUGUUUUACUCCAGAUGCUGUGACCUUUACUUCUUUGAUUAAAGGUUUGUGUGCGGAGAGUAGAAUCAUGGAGGCCGCCACAUUGUUUAUGAAACUUAAAGCGUUUGGUUGUGAGCCUAAUGUCAUUACAUACACCACUUUGAUUAAUGGAUUGUGUCGAACAGGCCAUACAAUUGUUGCUCUAAAUUUAUUUGAAGAGAUGGCUAAUGGAAAUGGGGAAUUUGCUGUUGUUUGUAAGCCAGACACUGCUACAUACAGUACUAUUAUCGAUGGUCUUUGUAAGGAAGGUUUUGUGGACAAGGCCAAGGAACUGUUUCUGCAGAUGAAGGAUAACAAUAUUAACCCUAACAUGGUUACCUAUACCUCUGUGAUUCGUGGUUUUUGUUAUGCUAAUGAUUGGAAUGAGACCAAGUGUUUGCUAAUUGAGAUGAUGGACCAAGGGGUACAGCCUAAUGUUGUGACUUUCAAUGUCAUCAUGGAUGAGCUCUGCAAGAAUGGAAAGAUGGAUGAGGCAAGUCGGUUGUUGGACCUGAUGAUUCAGUUUGGUGUGCGUCCAAAUGCUUUUGUCUAUAACACAUUAAUGGACGGGUUUUGCUUGACGGGUAGAGUUAAUCGUGCGAAGGAACUAUUUGUUUCUAUGGAGAGUAUGGGUUGCAAACAUACUGUUUUUAGUUAUAGUAUUUUGAUAAAUGGUUACUGCAAGAAUAAGGAAAUAGAGGGAGCGUUAACCCUUUAUAGCGAAAUGCUCUCUAAAGGAAUUAAGCCAGAUGUUGUUAUAUAUAACACCUUGUUUAUUGGCCUUUUUGAAAUACACCAGGUUGAGCGUGCUUUCAAGCUGUUUGAUGAGAUGCAAUGUGAUGGCGUGGCAGCUGAUACCUGGGCAUAUACAACCUUUAUUGAUGGGCUCUGCAAGAAUGGUUAUAUUGUAGAGGCAGUUGAACUAUUUCGUACUUUGAGAAUUCUCAAGUGUGAACUUGAUAUUCGAGCCUACAACUGCCUCAUUGAUGGAUUAUGUAAAUCCGGCAGACUCGAAAUUGCAUGGGAACUGUUUCUGAAGAUGAAGGAUGAGAAUAUUAACCCCAAUGUGGUUACUUAUACCUCUUUGAUUCACGGUUUUUGUUACGCUAAUGAUUGGAAUGAGGCGAAGUGUUUGUUUAUUGAGAUGAUGGACCAAGGGGUACAACCUAAUGUUGUGACUUUCAAUGUGAUCAUGGAUGAGCUCUGCAAGAAUGGAAAGAUGGAUAAAGCAAGUCGGUUGCUGGACCUGAUGAUUCAGAUUGGUGUGCGUCCAGAUGCUUCUGUCUAUAACACAUUAAUGGAUGGGUUUUGCUUGACGGGUAGAGUUAACCGUGCGAAGGAACUAUUUGUUUCUAUGGAGAGUAUGGGUUGCAAACAUAAUGUUUUUAGUUACAGUAUUUUGAUAAAUGGUUACUGCAAGAAUAAGGAAAUAGAGGAAGCGUUAAGCCUUUAUAGCGAAAUGCUCUCUAAAGGAAUUAAGCCAACAGUUGUUACAUAUAGCACCUUGUUUCUUGGACUUUUUGAAAUACACCAGGUUCAGCAUGCUUUAAAACUGUUUGAUGAGAUGCAGCGUAAUCAUGUGGCAGCUAAUACAUAUAUAUAAACUACCUUUAUUGACGGGCUCUGCAAGAAUGGUUUUGUUCUAGAGGCACUGGAAUUAUUCCGUGCUAUAAGAAAUAGCAAGUAUGAGCUUAAUAUCGUAUCCUACAACUGCCUCAUUGAUGGAUUGUGUAAAAUAGGCAAACUGGAAACUGCUUGGGAACUGUUUCAAAGUUUGCCUCGUGUAGGCCUAAUGGCAGAUGUUGUAACAUACAACAUCAUGAUCCAUGGGCUUUGUAAUGAUGGGCAAAUGGACAAGGCACAUGAUUUGUUUCUUGAUAUGGAAGCAAAAGGUGUGGAACCCGAUUGUGUCAUAUUUAAUAUGAUUAUGCUGGGUUUCAUCCGCAAUAAUGAGACAUCAAAAGUUAUUGAACUCCUUCACAGAAUGGAUAAGAGAAAUGUAAUGCCAGACGCAUCUAUACUUUCAAUUGUUGUGGACUUGCUUGUAAAGAAUGAAAUUAGCUUAAACUCGAUUCCACAAUUCAAGAGUCAAAGGUAAGUGAGUUUAAUACUGAUUUAGCCACAUGUUUCUUCUGCCUGAAAACCCAACCUGGAGGAUCCCAUUCUUAUUACAACAUGUAAAGGAGUGUUGUCUAAUAUAGGCAUGUUCCUAGGUUCUGUCCAUGGAUUCUGUUUGCAGACAUGGCUAACUUCUUGUUCAACAGAAAGUUUUAAAGUCUUUCAACUUUAUGUUGUAAAAUAACUUUUUUAUUAUUCAAUUCAUGAGUUUUUCUUCUAUAACACAUCCUUCUCAUUAGCUGGAAGUGCAAAUUUUUUAGGCUUUUCCUGUAUGGCCUCUUUCUCUGCUCUAAAUAAAAUGGCAUUUUAUUUCCCUCUUGUGAGGGUACAAGGUUUAUGUUUAAACUUUCUGUUAGUUAAAUUGGUUGUCUUUGAUAUAGGGAACUUCCAGUUGAACUGAUUUGUAAUUCGACUAUAUGAGAUUACCAACUGUAUUGGGAAUUGAUGCCAAAUUAAUAAUGUCAUCAGGUUUUUCAAUCAGUGUUCAUCAUUUAUUUCUGUUAACAAUUAAUAGCACAGUUUGUCUUCUCAGCUUCAUUGGUUCCUCUCAAAAAUGAUCUUGUAAAGACAAUCUUUCUUGGGCAUGGAAAAUGCUAGAUUGUUUGUGGUCUGAAUGAUACUACACAUCUAAGUAAUUGCCCAAAUUUUUUGUUCCUUGUUACACGGCAUUCAAUUGAAUGAGGACUCAUGUUUGUGUGUAUUGGUAUUUGUUAUACUAUGUAUUGGCAAGACAAAGUUUCUUGAAACUGACAAACUUUUCUCUAUGAAGAUUGAAGACAAUAUGAUAAGAUAAAAUUUAUCAAAAGCCUAUAUAUGCUUGCCAGGGCUGGACCUUUGAUUAUUAGUCCUCGCCUUUCGUUCUUGUUUCAUAUUCUUCUGCUAACAAAUCUUGAUCAUGAAUCUCAUCACAUUUGGUACGCGUAUCCAUGGUUUUAUCCGAACCAAUGAGCCAUCAAAAGUUAUUGACCUUCUUCACAAGAUGAGGGAGAAAAAAGUAAUGCCAGAUGCAUCUAUAGUUUCAAUCGUCGUGGACUUGUAAAGAAUGAAAUUAGUCUGAACUCACUUCCGUCAUUUCCUGUUCAAGAGCAACAGGGGGAGGUUGAUGAGUCAAAUGUCAAGUUGUAGCAGCAUGUGCUUUCAGCCUAAAAUCCUGAUCUGCAGCAUCUCAAUCAUGUUACAAAGUGACACGUCGCCUAGUGACAGCAAGUUCUCUACGGUGCUGUUAAUGGAUCCUGAUUGUUCUUGUGAUCUGGAGAGUCUCAUUCAUAUUACAGAUCCUGAUCAGGACGAGCUAGCUUAUGUGAUCACCAACUGUACAUGGUUGUUGAUGCCAAAUUAAAUUAUGGUAUCAUGUUUUUCAACUUGUUAUUUAAUAUAGUGCUUCCAUUGAACGGCCACAAGAAACUGUAGAAUCACCGUGUCUUGUUCCCUCUUAAUAAUCCAUCACUUUGGAAGCUAAUGAAUUAGUUGCACCUUGUCACUUUCUUGGUACUUGAUUGUCAUUCGUGCUUUGAAUUUACAGCAUAUUUUAUCCCUGCUUUACUCUUUGCAUAAUCACCUUUGAGGGCUGCUAGUAUGUAUAAUUGAAAAACCUUAUAUAAAUUGUAAGCAUUUUUAUUUAACUUGUUGUAAACGUCCAGUAUAUGUCUCUUCUGUGAAAUGAUUCAUUCUCCAUGCUGCGAGGACCUGGGCUUAUGACUCUUCUGUGAAAUGAUUUACCCUCACCUGCAGACAGACAUUUAUCACAUUCGAGAAAUCUUCAAACAAAGUGAAAAAAAUGCCACAAACACGACAUAAACUUAACUGUUUACAUGAAAAGUGGCAGCAACUUGGUGAAAUUACCGAUUAAAAUGUCCCUACUGUGAGGAAGGAUGCUAUACAACUGACUCGGAAAAUGUAAAAUGGGUAACGUACGUCCAAAAUGUCCCUGUAUUGUUGGCAUGUUCCCAGCUUCUGUUCAUGGAUUCUGUUUGCAGACAUGGCAGACUCUUUGUUUCAUCGGACAAGUUUCAAAUAAUUCUGGCAACUUUUUGUUGUAAAAUUACUUUUUUAUCAUUUAAUUCAUAUGCCUCUUUCUCAUUACCUGCAAGUGCAAAAUUUUUAGGCUCGUCCUCUUAGACCUCUUUUUCUUCUCUAAAUAGAUAAAAUGGCAUUUCAUUUUUCUCUUGCGAGGGUGCAGGUUUAUGCUGAAACUUUCUGUUAGUUAAAUUGAUUGUCUUUGAUAUUGGAACUUGUAGUUGAACUAGUUUACAUUUAGAAUAUAUGAGAUUACCAACUGUAACGGGAAUUGGUGCCGAAUUGAUUAUGUUAUCAGGUUUUUCAGUCUUUGUUCAUCUUUUAUUUCUGUUAAUAAUUAAUAGCACAGCUUGUCUUCUCUGCUUCUUUGGUUCCUGUCAAUUGUCAAAUAUAAACUGGUAAAGACAUUUUGUUUUGGCAUGGCACAUGCUAGAUUUUGUUUUUGGUUUGAAUGAUACUACAAAUCUGAGUAAUUGUCCAGAUUUUUUUCAUUCCUAGUGACAUGGCACUCAAUUGAAUGGUGACCCGUGAAUCAUGAUUGUGUGUGUUGGUAUUUGUUAAACUACGUGCUGGCAAGACAAAGUUUGUUAUUAGUCCUCGCCUUCCAUUCUUGUUUCAUAUUCUUCUGCUAACAAAUCUUGAUCAUGGUAGUCUUCUCUUUUCUUUGCAACCCACAUAUAAAGUCUCGGCCAUAAGCCUCGAGGCCUAUUCUCUUUUGCAAUGGUGAGUUCACUCUCAGGAAUCAGAUCGAAUUUGAAGAAACUGCAAGGGACUACAAAGCAAAUGGUGUGAAGCUCCUUUCACUCAUCACUGGCACAGCAUUACUCUGACUUUCUACAUUUUACUGUUGCGUAUGGUUUCUCCAUACCAUUCUCGUUGGAAGUUCAAUCAUUACUGUUUUUUUCCCCCCUCUUUUUACUUGCUCUUGCUAUUUUUGUUGUCUGAAAUUAUCUGAAGUUCCAUGCAUGCUCCAAUAGAACAAGAAAUGUAGGUGCUGACCAACUCAAAAUAAGUAGUUAGUUGCCUAGUAGUUGCUUUGCAUGAAAUUUGUUUUUGGUAUGAAUAAUGUUGUCUGAAUUUUACAAGCUUCCAUGCAACCCCUAAUUUAUUGGAUGUCUUAACCCAACCCCUCAUUUAAUAUUAGAUUUACCCGUUGAUUGAUGUUGACUCUUGAAAGUAAUGUAAUAUUUAUUUAUUUGAUAUUAAUGAUUAUAUCAUUUAAAUAGUCUAUUCUAAGAUAUUAUUAAUUUUCUCAUUUAAAUAAAAUAUUAUUAUAUUUAUUUGAUAUUAAUGAUUAAUUAUAAUAAAUAGUCUAUUCUAAGAAAAUAUUAAUUUUCUAUUAUGUUAUUAAUAAUAAUGUUUCAUUUCUAUUACUUUCAUCAAUAAUUUUUAAUUAAGAUAACUAAAAUUAAAACUAACAAAAAAUUAUGAUUUACAUAAUUAAUAAUAUUAAUAAUUAUUGUUAAUUUACAAAUAUAAUGAAAUAAAUAUUUCUUUUUCAAAUAUAUUUUUUAUUAAAUUUUUAAUUAAAAACUAUAUUUUUUAAAUAAGGAUAAAAUUAUAAUUUGAAACUAUUUACUCCCGCUCCGAGACAAAGUAAACACGUAAAUUGAAUUUUAAUUCCAAUUCCAUACUCCUAUUCCAGUGUAAGUAAAUAAUCUACUCUCACUCCACACUCUCAAUAUCAGGAUUCUUACUUCUUAGGAUUACCUCUCUAUUCCAAAAUAUAAACGCUAACAAAAUAUAAACCAUAUAGAGACACAUAUAUAUAGAAUCAUAUCAUAUCUCAAACGUCAAAUAAAAUUCUUAAUUAAGUAAACCAUAAGGUGAUUGCGUAUAAAAAAAUUAAUAAUAUUAAUUUUCAUAAGAAUUUAUGCUUGCAGUAUUACUUUACUUUUUAUUAACCAUUGCUUCAACUUAUGGUGGAUAUUAAGAGAACAAUAAUAAUAGAGCUAUACACGUUUGCAUACUACCAAUUAAAUUAACACUAUAAUUUGGUUUACCAAACAGAUCCUUAAUAUCAUAAAUGAUUAAAUUAUUGGGGUUUUAAAAUGUAGACUUUGCAUGAUUUCUUUAUAUUUAGGUGCCAUGGCUCCUAUAAGUAAUGUCAGCCACACUUUUUGUUAUUGGUAAAAAACUUUUCUAGGUACAAUUUGUGAAUUUGUACAACGUGUGGUAUUAAACAUUUGAAGAAUGAACCGACAAUGUCGUAUCAAUAAUAAAGAAAAGAAAACGAAUUGUAUAAUACCCAGGUGUUCUAGUGUAACUUGGAUUCUUUUUCUUUAUAGGUGCACCUAUUAUGUGAUUUUUUUUUUUUUAAAAAAGAAAACAAAAAAAAAGAACUCUUGAGAUUUUAAAAUUUUGUAAUUGCACUAUCUUGAAAUUACCAGGAGACUUCCUCUCCUUGAAGACACCCUUAAUCCAUAAAAGGUCCAAAAAAUAAUUCAUGAAAUGAAUUGAUUAUUUUAGAUAAGUUUCAAGUAUGCAUACCUUUUAUAACUCCAUAUUGCAUAACUCCUCAUUUCACUCAAUGGAUGCAUUUGUUCACUUUUUCUUUCUUGUAAAUUUUUGAAUGGCCGUAAUUUUAUAGAUUAUUAAUUAAGUGUUAUUAUUAUCAUUAUUGGCCGUAGAUGCAUAUGUGGGGUGGCGCCGUUUGGGGGGCAUGGAUCUCAAUACACCAGAGGGCCAGAAUAUUUAUUCUUUAAGAGGAACCACAACCAACAGCAAUACUUUAAGUUCCAUUCCAUUUCACUUCUAUGCACUAGAUUGCAUAAACAACAUUGAUCAUCCAAGGUCAAAGCCUCUCAAAGACGUUAGUUGCAAGAAAACGCAUGGGAUUGUGGUCAAAAUUUUCUUGCGGUGAAAGGUUCAUACAUUGAUGACAAUUAUUGGAUUGUUUUGGGCCUCAAUGGUUUUAAUAUUAUUCUCUUAAAAACAUAUAUGUUGAUUACAGACGAGAGGAAGAAGAUGAUCUGAUUCAGCCAACUGCAGAAGAUAGAGCACGCGGUGGAGUUCAUAUUUUGAAUUCUCUUGUUAAGUUGUUUUUAAUUUAUUGCAAGGUAGAAUACGUUGCUUUCUUAAAAAAUACUUUGAACAUCAUAUUUUUGUAUUACAAAUAUACCAAAAUUAAACUAAUUUUUUUUCUUUAUUAGUAUAAACUAAAUUUUGCCAGAAUGGUUGUCCUUGUAGGUGGAAUUCUAUUAUGAAACUAAUAGUCCUUCCUAGUGCUAACUAUCACUUUGAACAAAUGUGUCAUCUCUAACAACAACUUCCAAACUUGCAGCUACCUGCUACUCAGCAUUAGAAGCGAUAUCCACCUUGGCUUUCAACCAGCUGUAAUUAGGAGGAUGGUACCAUUGUUUCUGUUUGUCAAUUUCCUUCCUUGAAGCAUAAACCUUAAUUAGGAGGAGGGCAAGCUUCCAAAUAACAUUCCAAAUAGUAUUGUGAAAAUUUUUCACCCUUUUGGUCAUAAAAAAGAACCUUAUUUCUAGUUCUCUAUUAACAAUUUUAUCACUUUAAGUUCUCUCUUUACUAGAAAUAUCAUAUAUAUUAUUUUGUUGUUAAUAUAAAUACGACUAAAUAUUUAUGAUUUAAAGAUAGUUGUUGAAUGGAGGCCGUCACACACACACACACACACACACACAAAAGUAUUUAAAAGCAAUGGUGAUAUCAUAAUUUUUUGUACUGAUAUGAGAAUAUUACACUAGAUUUUUUUUAUGCAUUACAAAAAGUUUGAAUUCAAGAAUAAAUAAGCAAUAUCGGGAGCAAAUUUUACAAAAAGUCUCCAGGACAUGUCAUACGAAAAAUAGUAUACUAGUCAGUAGAUCUUCUUUCUACAUUACAAAAAAUUAGAAAUGCGAUCUAAAUCGAUAUCAAUUACUAAUUUUAUAGUGAAUGGGUCCUUCAUGAAAACAAUGAAUAUUUUUAUAAUUUAAGAAAUUAUUAGCCAUUUACCAUGAGUUUACUUUGUGUCCAAAAAUACUACGGAAACUUUAACUUGUUUAGUUUUUUUACCUUAAUUUAUAAUUUAUAUUAGUCGCUCAUUAAAAAAAUAGAAUUGCCUCAUAAAAUGAUAAAAUAAAAACAAACACAAAUGACAAUACUAGUUGCUUUAUAAGGAUAAUCCAGUCCUUUCGGCACCAAAUUACUGGUUAAAUUAUUUUUAGACUGAGUGACGAAGGGUCAUUUUAAUAUUCAUGGCCAUUUAAUCUAUCUAAACAUGAUAUUUCGAGUAGACUUAUGUUUGCGUAGGAGGCUAAUGUAAAAAAAGUGGCACUUUUAUUCAACUGAAUAAAUUUCACAAUUUAAAUUAGAAAACGAUAAAAUUUCAUAAUUAACUAUUAUUUGAACUAAUUGAAUCGGGAGCCAUCAUUUGUAGCGGCCCCAAAAGCAUAACAUUAUUGUGAGUAAUGUAUCCUACUUGCAAAAUAAACGGCAGAAGGCGGUUUGGGGACGGAUUAUCGAGGUAUUUGUUAAUAUUCGGAAAUGGAAAGAAAAGGGCAAAUAAAAUUUUAACUUAUUAUUAUUAUUAAAGAUUAGACAAAUAAAGGAGCUGUUUGAGUUUAAAUCUCAAAUCAAACCGUACCCAUCGCAAGUAAUGCAUGUGCACAUAAAAUUAUAUUUUGGUAAUUCUUUUCUUCUUUUUUAACCCCAAAUAAUCAAAAGCUCUCCAAUGGCAUUCGUAUCCACAACUCGUUCCUUUCAUUUUACUUCAAUUUCAAUAUCAGCUCUUAGAUGUAAUUUCUCAUCUUCGUUCCCUCAUAUCGGAAAACCCACAUCUUCAAUUUCGGAAAAUAAGCCCUCGUAUCCGACCACAACAGCUAAACUGAAGGAGUCGCUACGACUGACAGUCAAAGACCGAGCCUCACUCGAAAGAUUCCUCAAAGAAAGGUGCAAAUCAUCAGGUCAAGGUGAUAUUAAUCUUAUUACUCCUAAUGAAGCCUUUUGUAUCUUUGAUUACAUGCUCCGUAUGCACCCUUCUCCGCCUCAUGUCUAUUCCUUCAAUAUUUUGUUUGGUUGUCUUACUAAGAAUAAACAUUAUGAUACUGUCCUUUCACUCUUCAAGCGAUUCAAUUCAACUGGGUUGUUUCCAAAUCUUUAUAUUUACAAUAUCUUGAUUAACUGCUUUUGCAAAAUGGGUCGAGUUUCUCAUGGUUUUGUUGUUCUUGGGAGGAUCCUCAGGUCUUGUUUUACUCCAGAUGCUGUGACCUUUAAUUCUUUGAUUAAAGGUUUGUGUGCGGAGAGUAGAAUCAUGGAGGCUGCCGCAUUGUUUACGAAACUUAGAGUGUUUGGUUGUGAGCCUAAUGUUUUUACAUACAAUACUUUGAUUAAUGGAUUGUGUCGAACUGGCCAUACAAUUGUUGCUCUAAAUUUAUUUGAAGAGAUGGCUAAUGGAAAUGGGGAAUUUGGUGUUGUUUGUGAGCCAAAUACUGUUACAUACACUACUAUUAUUGUAAGGAAGGUUUUGUGGACAAGGCCAAGGAACUGUUUCUGCAGAUGAAGGAUAACAAUAUUAACCCUAACGUGGUUACCUAUACCUCUGUGAUUCGUGGUUUUUGUUAUGCUAAUGAUUGGAAUGAGACCAAGUGUUUGCUAAUUGAGAUGAUGGACCAAGGGGUACAGCCUAAUGUUGUGACUUUCAAUGUCAUCAUGGAUGAGCUCUGCAAGAAUGGAAAGAUGGAUGAGGCAAGUUGGUUGUUGGACCUGAUGAUUCAGUUUGGUGUGCGUCCAAAUGCUUUUGUCUAUAACACAUUAAUGGACGGGUUUUGCUUGACAGGUAGAGUUAAUCGUGCGAAGGAACUAUUUGUUUCUAUGGAGAGUUUGGGUUGCAAACAUACUGUUUUUAGUUACAGUAUUUUGAUAAAUGGUUACUGCAAGAAUAAGGAAAUAGAGGGAGUGUUAACCCUUUAUAGCGAAAUGCUCUCUAAAGGAAUUAAGCCAGAUGUUGUUAUAUAUAACACCUUGUUUAUUGGCCUUUUUGAAAUACACCAGGUUGAGCGUGCUUUCAAGCUGUUUGAUGAGAUGCAAUGUGAUGGCGUGGCAGCUGAUACCUGGGCAUAUACAACCUUUAUUGAUGGGCUCUGCAAGAAUGGUUAUAUUGUAGAGGCAGUUGAACUAUUUCGUACUUUGAGAAUUCUCAAGUGUGAACUUGAUAUUCGAGCCUACAACUGCCUCAUUGAUGGAUUAUGUAAAUCCGGCAGACUCGAAAUUGCAUGGGAACUAUUUUGUGGUUUGCCUCGUGUAGGCCUAAUGGCAGAUGUUGUAACAUAUAACAUCAUGAUCCAUGGGCUUUGUAAUGAUGGGCAAAUGGACAAGGCACAUGGUUUAUUUCUUGAUAUGGAAGCAAAGGGUUUGGAACCCAAUUUUGUCAUAUUUAAUACGCUUAUGCUGGGUUUCAUCCCCUGUAAUGAGACAUCAAAAGUUAUUGAACUCCUUCACAGAAUGGAUAAGAGAAAUGUAAUGCCAGACGCAUCUAUACUCUCAAUUGUUGUGGACUUGCUUGUUAAGAAUGAAAUUAGUUUAAACUCGAUUCCACAAUUCUAGAGACACAAGUAAGUCAAUGAGCUGAAUGCUGAUUUACUUGCAUGUUUUUUCUGCCUAAAAUCUGGAUCUGGAGAAUCCCAUUCUUAUUACAACACGUGAAGUAUUGUUGCGUAGUGAUGGCAUGUCCCAGGUUCUGUUCAUAGAUUCUGUUUGCAGAUAUGGAUGACUCAUCAGUUAAGUUUCAAAGUCUGGCAACUUUUUGUUGUAAAAUUACUUUUUAUUAUUCAGGUCAUAUGUUUUCCUUCUAUAAUGCAUCUUUUUCAUUAGCUGGAAGUGCAAAGUUUUUAUGCUCUUUCUGUAUGACCACUUUUUCUUCUCUAAAUAGAUAAAAUGGCAUUUAGUUUUUCGUUUGUGAGGCUACUAGGUUUAUGUUCAAACUUUCUGUUAGUUAAAUUGAUUGUCUUUGAUAUCUAGCACUUCUAGUUGUACUAAUUUGUACUUCUGAGUAUAUGGGAUUGCCGACUGUAAUGGGAAUUGAUGCCAAAUUAAUUAUGCAUCAAGUUUUUCAGCGUGUUCAUCUUUUAUUUCUGUUAACAUUUUGGCUUUGGACAUGCUGGAUUGUUUUUGGUUUCAGUGAUACAAAACAUCUAACUAAUUGUCCAAAGUUCUUCAUUCCUUGUGACAUAGCAUUCAGUUGAAUGGUGACUCAUGAAUCAUGAUUGUGUGUUUUGGUAUUUGUAUACUAUGUAUUGGCAAGACAAAGUUUGUUGAAACUGAGAAACUUUUCUCCGCCUUCCAUUCUUGUUUCAUAUUCUUAUGCUAACAAACCUUGAUCAUGAUGAGUCUCCUCUUUUCUUUACAACCCACAUAUAAAGUCUUGGCCAUAAGCCUCAAGGCCUAUUGGCUAUUACAGCAGUGAGUUCACUCUCAGGAAUCAGAUCUUUCAAAUUCGAGGAAAUUUGAAAAAAUUGCAAAUGUCUACAAAGCAAAUGGUCUAAAGGUCCUUUUUGUUAUCACUCACACAACAUUACUCAAGAGUAUCUACGUUUUACUGUUGGUUCUGUUGUGAAACAGCAUUUCUGAUUAUUAUAGAAGACAAUUCUUCGAAGCAUGUAUUUGAGAUGCGUUUAGAGCCUUUGGAAUUAAAUGAUUAAUUCGCUUUAAUUUCCAGCCAUAGUUCUAUGCAGGCCAGUUAAUCCCCUUUUUUGUUACCCCCCUCUUUUUCCUUUUUGCUAUGGAUUGUGUUUCCUUGUUUUUCUACUUUUACUUGCGUUGACAACUUGAGCUUGCUGUCCUGUGGUUUUAGAACCUUCCUAAGUAUCUUCUCAAAAAAAAAAAAGAACCUUCCUAAGUAAGCGUGGAAAUGACAAUGAAGAAUUGAAGAUGGUGAAGGGUUUACUAGUCAUUUUCUUUUUUAAAGCAAUGCGUUUUAUGCGGCAAUCUUAUUGAUCUACGUUGGGAAAAAAUUUGACUGAUUUUGAAGGUCCUUAAAGAUCGUCCAUCUUGGUUCUGGCAUUGUUACAGCCUUGAAGUUUGCAAAACGUUUCCUGCUGGAUAAAUUGAACUUGUACACACACAUGUGAACCAAAAGAAAAAUGAUAUAUGUAUCGAAACACUUUUAAAUAGAGAAAAGUUUGUCUGGAUAGCCUGGUUUUGAAUUGAUUUUAACAGAAAACGAGCUUCAAGCAUGUGCUCCAACUACUCUGGCAUGACAUUGGCGAUUGCCCUACAUUUUUUUUAACUACUUUUGGUAAUCUUUUUUGGUUUAUGCUUUGCAGUAAUAAAAUGUUAAUCCUUUCUUCUCAUGAAUGUUUUCUUGAACUGAAAUGUUAAUCAUUUCUUCACGUUGAAGCAUAAAACUACUAUAGGCCCAGGGCCGCAAUAUAUGGAAGAAAAUGCUUGUUUAGUAGGACCCUUUAAUUAGGAUAUUAGCCACUCAAUUUGGAGAUCUUAUGGACCAACAAUCUAUCUGAAACGUCACAUUCACAUGUUUGAUUGAAAGGGGAAUUAAGGAAUUUCAAGUGGCUUAGAAAGGUAACCGACUCUACCCAACAAUGGUAGAAGUCAAUAAUUCAUUGGCUACAUGAGUACUUUAUGAUAAAGAAACAAUACCAGCCAACAUCGACGUGCAGCAAGAACAUGAAAGAAAGAAGAUCACAUGAAUCAAUCAAAACCAAAUGAUAAAAUUACCGAUGCCCCUUCAUGUCAUUCAAGAAAAUGGAUAAAAUAGGAAUACAAGUUCAUGUUAGGAUUAUAUAUUAAAAAUAAAAAUAAGCAUGCAUCAUUAUAUAUAUGUGUAAGUAGACAAAGCAUUGAUCUCUAGGGAUUAGCUAGCCUUUAACAAUCAGUGGUGUUCCCACUACCGGGGUGACAGAUUGUGUAUUUGUCUCUGAAUCUGGGGCAUAUCUAAAAAGCUAAAAGAUUUACUUUCUAUCUUCAAGCACAAGAGCAUACCAUUAUGAUCUGAUUAUCAAGUCCACUAACUUGGCUUUUUUUUUUUUAAUCUAUAUACCAUUUUGUGCUAUCCAUCCACAUUGACAAGACAUAUUGCACAGUUUAUCCUGAAAAUCAUCCAACACCAAGUUCCAAUAUCUUGGAGGAUAAUCACCUUCUUUUACCUAUAUACUUAGCUUUAAAGAAAAUUAUGUUAUUUCAUUAGAGUUAUUUUCAUGAUUAGCAUUACCAUUUCAAGUCAAAUGUAACUCAAUAAUCUAUAAUAGUAUAUCGGUUCCUUGUUUAUCAAUUCUCUCUCUCCAUUUCAGGUUUCAUUCGGACCAAGUAUUCCCUUUCUCAUGUGUACGAGAUGUCAAGCUUGGCAAGUUAAAAAGAAAAUGAAUAGUCAUUUUCAAUCAGUCUAGAACUUUCUCUAGGGGCAACUGGACCCCCAACUUCUCAAUCUAUUUUGUGUUUGGUGUGUGUAGAACUUUCUUGGCAUGUUUUAUCAGCCCUUCCUCUGGGUCAUUUUGUAGGACGGGUUACACCAGCUAAACACAUGGGAAGGUCAUGUAGACUGGAUGAAUAAAGCUGCCCUGAGAGACCGUCAUGGCGGCAUGCUUUGCUGCUUGUUUUGUCUUGGGUCGGUCUAUUUUUCCCAUUACUAAAGCACAUUUUUCACCGUUUUCUCACAUGCUUACCAUAAUGUAAAAACCUUAGCUGCUGCGACAUGACAUGAGAGUAUCACACUAGAUUUUCUUUCCGCAUUACAAAAAAUUAGAAAUAAGAUCUAAGUAGAGAUCAAUUUCAAGAAUAAAUAAGCAAUAAUAGGAACAAGUUUUACAAAAAGUUUCUGGGACAUGUCAUACAAAUUUGUUAACUAAGAAAGUCUAUACUAGAUCUUCUUUCCACAUUACAAUAAAUUAGAAAUGAGAUCCAAACUGACCAAUUAUUAAUUUUACUGCAAGUGGGUCCUAUAUGAAAACAAGAAUUUUUUUUUUUUUAUAGUGUAGGCAAUUAUCAGCCAUCCACCCUAAGUUUAUUUUAUAUUAAAAAAUAUUAGGAAGCUUUAAUUUGUUUAAUUUUUUUACUCUAAUUUUAUAAUUUGUUUUAGUUGUCUACUAAAAAGAUAGAAUUAUCCUUACUAAAUAACAAAAUAGAAACAAAUAAAAAAUGAAAAUUGUGGUCAUUUUUUAAGGAUAAUUCUAUCUUUUUGGCAUCGAAUUGCAUAAUAAACUAUUUUAUCAAAUAAAUAAAAUUUUAAACUAUGUGUUUACCAAAUAUUUUAAAAUCACAACUCCUCUACUACAUUUUCAAACAACUUGUUAAAAUCAUAAAUAACUAAAUUAAUGGGGUUUUAAAAGGACUCUCCAGACUUUGCAUGAUUUCUUUAUCUGUAGGUGCCGUGUGAUCAUGUUGGUUCCGAUAUGUGUGUGAUCAUGUUGGUUCCGAUAUGUGCCAUCAACCACACUUUUUGCUGUUGGUAAAAAAAAUGAAAAAAAAAUUCUGGGUACAAUUUUUGAAUUUGUAUUACGUGCGGUAUUAAACAUUUGAAACAUGUACUGACAGAAAUCUUAUCUAUAACUAAAAAAAUAAAAAAAUUGUAUAAAGUACUUAUGUUGUAGUGUAACUCAGAUCCUUUUCUUUAUAAUUCCAUAUCAUGUAAUUAUCAAAAAACCUCUUAAGAUUUUUAAAUUUUGUAAUUGCACUAUCCUUCGAUUAUCAAAAGACUCUUGAUAAUGUUCUUCUUCUUAAAGAUGCCCUUAAUCCAUAAAUGGUCCAAUAAUUAGUUCAUAAAAUGAAUUGAUUGCUUUAGAUAAGUCUCAAGCAUGCGUGCCUCUUAUAACUCCAUAUUGCAUAAAUCCUUACUUAAAUCAAUGGAUGCAUUUGUUUUCUUUUCUGAAUUUUAGAAUGGCAUUGUCUACUUAAUUUCCUCUUUAAAUUCGACUCCCAAUUGGGAAUUUCGCCAAAUUUUCCAUGUCAUCUUACACUCUAAAAUAUGCUCUUCACAUUACUAUAGCAAAUUUAACAUCUAGGAUCUUGAAGCAUUUUAUUUUAUUUUAUAAAUAUUUAGCAGUUCAAAAUAGGCUUUUAGCUUCUCUCCAAGAGAAAAUUUUCAUCUAAAUUUUUUUUUAAUAAGGCAAGCUUCCAAAUAAUAAUAAAAAAGCACCUUAUUUCCAGUUCUCCCUUAGAAGUCCUAUCACUUUAGGUUCUCUCUUUAUUAAGUAGAACCUCAUAUAUGUUAAUUUGUUAUUAAUAUAAACAAAAACUAAGUAAUUGUUUGUUUUUUUGACUUAAUGAAAAAUUUUCAGUCAUUAAAUUAUCAUCCCAACUUUUUUUAUCUUUUUACUUAAUCUAAAAAGUAUGAAUAAUAUCAUUAAAAAAUUUCUGCCAAAUAUCUCUACCUAAUUAAUUAAUUUUCAUCGUUAUCCAAAUAAAAUUUAAUAAGUAGCAUUAUUACUCAUCUUUAUAACUUAUGAUAAUAUAGUGGUAGACAAUAACUAUUUUUACCAUUUUAUUUUCUUGAAAUUAGCAUUAUUUAUCUUCAUAAUUUUUAUGAAUAUUUUUCAUAUAAAAACAUCAUAAAUUAUAAUAAAAUUGAUUGACAUACACUAAUUUAGAAUAUUAAAAGGUUGUAUUCAAUUGAAUCUAAUUUAUAUUAUGAUGAUAUAUUAUCUUAUAUGUUCUUUGAAAUAUUUAUUAUUUAUAUAAUAUUUAUAAUUUGUUAGAUACAAAUGUAAAAAUAUUAAUUUUUAGAUUUUAAGCAAAAAAUAAACAACUUAAUAUUUAUUUUUAGCGAUUCAGAUAAAAAGAUAAACAUAUAAUUUAAAUUCAGACAUUUAGUUUUAUUCAGAAUUCGGACUAAUUCACACAUAUUUAGAUUUUAGACAAGAAACAUACACCAACUAAAUGUUUAUGACUUAAAAUCAUCUAAUAAUCAUGGCCCAUUUAACCUAUCUAAACAUGAAAUUUUGUGUAGACUUAUGUUUAAGCAGGAGGAUAAUGUGAGAAAUUUGACACAUUAAUUUACAAUUUGCAAACCAACUUAAUAAUUUUUGUUAUUUUCUUAUAACAAAACGAGCCUGGCACGAGCUUAGGCUUUAGCCACCUGAAAAAAUUUCCCCAUUCAAAUUAGAAACAAUAAAAUCUGAUAAUUAACAAUUAUUAUGACCCAAUCAAAUUAGGCUUUAGCACGGUUUACGGACUGGUUAUCAAGAUAUUGUUGAUAACUUCUGUUUCCGUAAUUCUAUUCUUCUUCUUUUUCAACCCCAAAUAACUUCUGUCGAUCAUUGUUGUUGCAGUUGCUGCUUGCUGUCGCUGCUACUAUCUAUCGAUCAUCGUUAUUGCCUACUGCUAUUGAUUGCCGGUUAUAAUGAUGAUUAUUCUUGCCUCAGUUGUUGUUAUUAUUAUUAGCACUGAAUUAUAUAUUAUUAAAUUAUUUUAAAUAUUACAAAUUAUAUUGUUGUUGUAGUUAUUGUUGAUGUUAUUAUUACUAGCACCGAAUUACAUAUUAUUAAAUUAUUUUAAAUAUUACAAAUUAAAUUAUUUUUAAAUGAGUGAUAAAACCUGAUCAUUUAAUAACCAUGGCCAUUUAACAUAUUUAAACAUAAAAUUUCGUGUUAAAUUAUGUUUGAGUAUAAGGAUAAUGUAAGAUAAUUGGUACUUUAAUUUACAUUUAUGUGCCAACUGAAUAAAGUUCGCUAUUUAAAUUAAAUUAGAAACGGUGAAAUUCAAAAAUUAACUAUUAUUUAGCCAUUCAAACGCAGAGACAAUUUGUCACGGUUCCAAAAGCAUAGCAUCAUUGAAAGUACCGUAUCCCACUUGCAUUAAUAUUCGGAAGAAUGGAAGGAAAAGGGCAUAUGUUUCUCUUCUUCUAUUUUUGGUAAUUCUUUUCUUCUUCUUCAACCCCAAAUAAUCAAAAGCUCUCCAAUGGCUUUCGUAUCCUCAACUCGUUCCUUUCAUUUUACUUCAAUUUCAAUAUCGGCUCUUAGAUGUAAUUUCUCCUCUUCGUUCCCUCAUAUCAGAAAACCCAAAUCUCACCUGCACACAGGCAUUUGUCGCUUUCGAGCAAUCUUCAAACAAUGUGAAAAAAAUGCUUGAAACACGACACAGACUUAACUGUUUACAUGAAAAGCGGCAGAAACUUAUGAAAUUACCGAUUAAAAAGUACCUACUGUGAGGAAGAUGCUAUAAAACUCAAUCGGAAAAUGUAAAAUGGUUAACAGACAUCCACCAGAAGCACAAUUCAGAACAUGGGCUGCUUUUGGCUGCCCGGCUUUCAGAAGUCAAUAUUUAGAUGAACUUUGGGGAGAUUAGGAUCACCAGUCAGUCAGAUUUAGAUAGAAAGUGAGAGAUUGCUAUUGCCGAGUCAUUGCUUCUAUCCUAAAUGCUUUGAUCUACCUGAAAAGUAUAUAAAUAUCGGGGUUAAAACAGAGCAGUUGAAAUCGUAUUGAUGAACUCAACUGAGAUAAAUGAUAAAAGAAAACUAACCUACAUUCUGUACAAAACUCGCCCAUCUUCCUUUAAGAGCUGACUUCCCAAGAAGAGAUCACCACAAUAGUUCACAUCAACAGUCUCCACUUGAGAGUUUUUAUAACCACAAUAUUCAUUCCAUUCAAACCGCAUCCUUGAGAUCAGUUCCUUCUUCAGGAGACUCGGCAGCAACCAAUCUAUAUGCAUAAACUUUCUUUGUUUGGCCUGGCCGGAAAGCCCAGCCGAUUGCUUGGCGGGUUUCUGAUGGAGUACAGGGAACAUCCAGAAUAAUGAUCCAAAUUUUUGUGGACUUACAUGUAAAGAAUGAAAUUGGUUAAACUCGAUUCCACAAUUCAAGAGUAAAUGAGUUUAAUCUUGAUUUAGUAUCAUGUCUUUUCUGCUUUAAAACCAGAUCUGGGGAAUCCCAUUCUUCUUACGACAGGUGAAGGAGUGUUUGUGUAUUGCUGGCAUGUUCCCAGGUUCUAUUCACGGAUUCUGUUUGCAGACAUGGCUAACUCCUCGUUUCAGAUAAGUUUCAAAGUCUGGCAACUUUUUUUUUCAAUUCAUGGGUUUUCCUUCUAUGAUGCAUCUUUCUCAUUAGCUGUAGUUUCAAAUUGUUUAGGUUCUUCCUGUAUGACCUCUUUUCUUCUCCAAAUAGAUAAAAUUUGUUUUUCAUUUUUCUCCUGCGAGGGUACAGGUUUAUGUUGAAACUUUCUCUUAGUUAAAUUGAUUGUCAUUUGAUAUUGGAACUUCUAGUUGAACUAGUUUGCACUUCGAAUAUAUGAGAUUACCAACUCUAAGGAAUUGGUGCCAAAUUGAUUAUGUUAUCAGGUUUUUCAGUCUGUGUAAUUGUCCAGAUUUUUUUUCAUUCCUAGUGACAUGGCAUUCACUUGAAUGGUGACUCAUGAAUCAUGAUUGUGUGUGUUGGUCUUUGUUAUACUACGUGUUGGCAAGACAAAGUCUGUUGAAACUGACAAACUUUUCUCUAUGAAUAUUGAAGACAAUAUGAUAAGAUAAAAUUAAUCAAAAACAUCUAUACUUGACCGGGCUGGAACGUCUGUUAUUAGUCCUCGCCUUCCAUUCUUGUUUCAUAUUCUUCUGCUAACAAAUCUUGAUCAUGAUAGUCUUCUCUUUUCUUUGCAACCCACAUAUAAAGUCUCGGCCAUAAGCCUCGAGGCCUAUUCUCUUUUGCAAUGGUGAGUUCACUCUCAGGAAUCAGAUCGAAUUUGAAGAAACUGCAAGGGACUACAAAGCAAAUGGUGUGAAGCUCCUUGCACUUAUCACUGGCACAACAUUACUCUGACUUUCUGCAUUUUACUGUUGGCUAUGGUUUGAUGCAUUAUUUAUUGUUCUAAAAUACCAUUCUCGUUGGAAGUUCAAUCAUUACUUCACCCCCCCCCCCUCCUCCUCUUUUUACUUGCUCUUGCUAUUUUUGUUGUCUGAAAUUAUCUGAAGUUCCAUGCAUGCUCCAAUAGAACGAGUAAUGUAGGUGCUGACCAACUCCAAAUAAGUAGUUAGUUGCCUAGUAGUUGCUUUGCAUGAAAUUUGUUUUUGGUAUGAAUAAUGUUGUCUUAAUUUUACAAGCUUCCGAGCAACCCCUAAUUUAUUGGAAGUAUUAACCCAAUCCCUCAUUUAAUAUUAGAUUUAUCCGCUCAUUGAUGCAGACUCUUGAAAGUAAUAUAAUAUUAUAUAAAUAUAAUGAAAUCUCACUUUAUUAACAAAUAUAAUUUAAAUUAUAAAAAAUAAAAAAUAACUAAAGUUGAAAUCCAAGGAGCAACUUCUAUCCUCUUACCAAGUUAUUAAAUAUAGAGCAGACAAAGGCAUAUGUAUAAAGGCAUAUGUAUAAUAUAUAUAAUUUUCUUCAUGAUUCAAAAUCAUAUCUCAAAUGUCAAAUAAAAUUCUCAAUUAAGAGUGGUCGGGGAUAAGAUUUUACGGAUUUAUAUUAUUAUCGGAUAAAAUAUAAUAUGAUAUUAAUGUAAUUAUAUUUUAACUUAUUUAUUUAGUAGUAAAUACUAAUGCCAUAUUUAUAAGUUUUAUUUUUUAAUUAAAUAAAUAUUUUUUAUUAUUUUUGGAUUCGUGGAUUUUUGUGAAUUUACAAAAGUAGAUUCAUAUGCAAUCCACCGAUUACGGAUUAUUAAAUUUUCAAUCUAAUUUAAUCUAUUAAUUUAUAAAUUAUUUUAAAUAUUAUAAAUUAUUUUUAGACUGAAUGAUGAAGGGUCAUUUAAACAAUUAUGGCCAUUUAAUCUAUCUAAACAUGAUAUUUCGAGCAGACUUAUGUUUGCCUAGAAGGAUAAUGUAAAAAAAGUGGCACUUUUAUUCAACUGAAUAAAUUCACAAUUUAAAUUAGAAAAUGAUAAAAUUUCUAUUUUGGUAAAUUCUUUUCUUCUUCUUCAACCCUAAAUAUUCAAAAGCUCUCCAAUGGCUUUCGUAUCCUCAACUCGUUCAUUUUAUUUUACAUCAAUUUCAAUAUCAGCUCUUGGAUGUAAUUUCUCAUCUUCGUUCCCUCAUACCAGAAAACCCACAUCUUCGAUUUCAAAAAAUGAGCCCUCAUAUCCGACUACAACAGCUAAACUGAAGGAGUCCCUACGACUGACAGUCAAAGACCGAGCCUCACUCGAAACGUUCCUCAGAGAAAGGUUCAAAUCAUCCGGUGAAGGUGAUAUUACUACUAUUACUCCUAAUGAAGCCUUGUGUGUCUUUGAUUACAUGCUCAAUAUGCGCCCUUCUCGGCCUCCCGUCACUUCCUUUAAUAUUUUGUUUGGUUGUCUUGCUAAGACCAAACAUUAUGAUACUGUCCUUUCACUCUUCAAGAGACUCAAUUCAACUGGGUUGUUUCCAGAUCUUUAUGCUUACAAUAUCUUGAUUAACUGCUUUUUGCAAAAUGGGUCGAGUUUCUCAUGGUUUUGUUGUUCUUGGGAGAAUCCUCAGGUCUUGUUUUACUCCAGAUGCUGUGACCUUUAAUUCUUUGAUUAAAGGUUUGUGUGUGGAGAGUAGAAUCAUGGAGGCCGCUGCAUUGUUUACAAAACUUAGAGUGUUUGGUUGUGAGCCUGAUGUUUUUACAUACAAUACUUUGAUUAAUGGAUUGUGUCGAACUGGCCAUACAAUCGUUGCUUUAAAUUUAUUUGAAGAGAUGGCUAAUGGAAAUGGGGAAAUUGGUGUUGUUUGUAAGCCAGACACUGUUACAUACACUACUAUUAUCGAUGGUCUUUGUAAGAAAGGUUUUGUGGACAAGGCCAAGGAACUGUUUCUGAAGAUGAAGGAUGAGAAUAUUAACCCCAAUGCGGUUACUUAUACCUCUUUGAUUUGUGGUUUUUGUUACGCUAAUGAUUGGAAUGAGGCGAAGCAUUUGUUUAUUGAGAUGAUGGAUCAAGGGGUACAGCCGAAUGUUGUGACUUUCACUGUGAUCAUGGAUGAGCUCUGCAAGAAUGGGAAGAUGGACGGAGCAAGUAGGCUGUUAGAAUUGAUGAUUUUGAGAGGAGUGAAACCCGACACAUCUACUUAUAACACAUUAAUUGAUGGUUAUUGCUUAACGGGUAAAAUAGAUCGUGCAAGGGAAUUAUUUGUUUCUAUGGAGAGUAACGGGUGCAUGCAUGAUGUUGUUAGUUACAGCAUAUUAAUAAAUGGGUACUGCAAGACUAAGGAUGUAGAGGAAGGUUUAAAUCUUUAUAGGAAAAUGCUGUCUAAAGGAAUUAGGCCAACAGUUGUUACAUAUCACACCUUGUUUCUUGACCUUUUUGAAGUACACCAGGUUGAGCAUGCUUUAAAACUGUUUGAUGAGAUGCGGCGUAAUCAUGUGGCAGCUAACACAUAUAUAUACACUACCUUUAUUGAUGGGCUCUGCAAGAAUGGUUAUAUUGUAAAGGCAGUUGAACUAUUUCGUACUUUGAGAAUUCUCAAGUACGAACUUAAUAUCGUAUCCUACAACUGCCUCAUUGACGGAUUAUGUAAACACGGCAGACUUGAAAUUGCAUGGGAACUGUUUAGUAGUUUGCCUCGUGUAGGCCUAAUGGCAGAUGUUGUAACAUAUAAUAUCAUGAUCCAUGGGCUUUGUAAUGAUGGGCAAAUGGACAAGGCACAUGGUUUAUUUCUUGAUAUGGAAGCAAAGGGUUUGGAACCCAAUUUUGUCAUAUUUAAUACGCUUAUGCUGGGUUUCAUCCGCAAUAAUGAGACCUCAAAAGUUAUUGAACUCCUUCACAGAAUGGAUAUGAGAAAUGUAAUGCCAGAUGCAUCUACACUCUCAAUUGUUGUGGACUUGCUUGUUAAGAAUGAAAUUAGUUUAAACUCGAUUCCACAAUUCAAGAGACACAAGUAAGUCAAUGAGCUGAAUGCUGAUUUACUUGCAUGUUUUGUUCUGCCUAAAAUCUGGAUCUGGAGAACCCAUUCUUAUUACAACACGUGAAGUAGUGUUGUGUAGUGAUGGCAUGGAAAAUGCUAGAUUUUUUGUGGUCUGAAUGAUACUACACAUCUAAGUAAUUGCCCAAAUAUUUUGUUCCUUGUUACAUGGCAUUCAAUUGAAUGAGGGCUCAUGAUUUUGUGUAUUGGUAUUUGUUAUACUAUGUAUUGGCAAGACAAAGUCUCUUGAAACUGACAAACUUUUCUCUAUGAAGAUUGAAGACAAUAUGACAAGAUAAAAUUUAUCAAAAGCAUAUAUGCUUGCCAGGGAUGGUCCUUUUGAUUAUUAGUCCUCGCCUUUCGUUCUUAUUUCAUAUUCUUCUGCUAACAAAUCUUGAUCAUGAUGAGUCUUAUUCUUUUUAAAAAAAACCCACACGUAAAGUCUUGGCCAUAAGCCUGUAGACCUAUUGGCUGUUGCGGUGGUGAGUUCACUCUCAGGAAUCAUAUCUUUCAAAUUCAAGCGAAUUUGAAGAAGCCCGAAUUUGAAGAAAUUUCAAAUGCCUACAAAGCAAAUUGUGUAAAGGUCCUUUCAAUUAUUAAUCUACUAAUUAAAUAAAAAAAUUAAAUUAAUUAAUUGUUAAUAUAUUAAUUGAUUAAUUAUAAUAAUACAUUAAUUAAUUAUAAUUGAGGAUAAAACAAACAUUUUUUAUUCUCUAGCAAGGCAAAAUGGUCAUUCCAAAAAAUGUGAGUUAAAUUGUCUAAUUUAAGUUAUAUGUGUUAUAAUAUAUAGCUUAAUUAUAGUGUAAAAACAAUGACAAUGUAAUUUUUUUUAUUAAUGCUAAUACUAAAUCUUACCAUCAUGCAAUUUUUUAAAUUAUUUUGUUUAAAUUAUUUAUGGUAUGUUUGUUUAUUAAUUAAAUAAACUAUUAUUUUUUAACUAUGACUUAAAUGUUUAGUAAAAACUAUUUAUGAAAUAGUACAACUGAAUACAUAUUCUUUAUUUUCAUCUUCUUCAAUUGUGUCUACCGAACACAUAUUACUGUUUUCAAUUUCAAAAUAUAGGAUAUAGAAAAUGAUACCAGACGCAUAUUUAAAUUCAAAAUACACCAAAUGUAAAAUACCGUUUUCAUUCUUAUUUUUGUCUUCAGAAAAUGCUAAUUUAGAAACAAUACCGUACAUAAACUUAUUUUUGGUAUGAAUAGUGUUGUGCUAGUUUUAUAGGCUUACAUGCACCCUCAAAUUUAUUAGAAGUAUCAACCGAACCCCCUAUUUAAGGUUAGAUUUACCCAUUGACUAACAUCUAACAUGUUGACUAAUGAUAACUCUUGAAAGUAACUAUAAUAUUCUAUAUUGUAAUCUCGCUGUAUUAACUGAUAAAUUAUAAAAAUAUAAAAAGAUCAACAAUAACAAAAUUAUUAAAGUUGAAAUCCAAGAAAUUGCCUAAAAAAAUGGUACCUAAACCAAAAAUAAAAACCAAAAUGCAUAAAAUUUCAUUAAUUACGGUGGUGACAAUGAGUGGUCCUCAUAAAAUGAGUGUAGAAAUUGAGUGAUUUUAGUACACUAUAUGAUCAAGGAACAUAUUUUAUCCUUUUACCAAGUUAUUACAAUUAUAUUUACUUACUAGAGUGUGAGUGAGGAGUGUGGAUUCCUCGCAUUCCAGUGAUUACUUGCAUAUUUUAAGGGGGUGUGGGAAUCCCACUCCGUGGAUCCCACCCAUUUUUUUAGUACAGAGUGGGGUUCCCACUCCCAUGGGAGGACAUCUACUCCCACCUUUUCCUUUUUUACCUUGAAAUUCUAGUUAUGCAACCCAAGAGGAGGGGGUGAAUUGGAAUUCUAAAAAUUAUUUAAUUUAUAAAUAAAAACUCAAUGCAAAUGUGAAUUAAAUUCAAAGUAAUAACAAAUAAGUUAACCAUAAUAAAAAGGAUAAGGGAAGAGAGAUUCAAACACUGAGAUUUUUACGUGGUUCGGCCAACCUCGCCUACGUCCACGCCUCCAAGCUUUCCGAGCUUGAGGAUUCCACUAAGCAAGCCUCCAAGGCUUCAAAUGCUUACACUUGACUUCCAAGGUGUCAAUAACCUUUACAACAAGAGAUUAUCCCAAUCUCUUAACCCAAGUGUAUCCCAACACUUACAAUCACUCAAAAUUAAAAGAUUAUAAAUUUGUUUUGCCUCUCACAAUAUUUAAGAUUACACAAUGAUACCUAAUAUGUGAAUAGAUGAAGCAAGAAUGUAUUUAAAGCUCAAUGAAGAUUGUAUUCUCAAGUAUAAGCUUAGUAGUUGUGUUGUGAUCAACUUUGUUUGAAUUUGAAUGAGCUUAUUUAUAGGUGGAGCUGAAAACUAGCCGUUAUUGACUUUCUGCACACUGUCGGAUCGCCGUUAACUAGAUGUUGGAUCGCCGUUUGACUGGUCAAUAUGACCGUUGGGCUGAUUUUUCAAAUUGUCGGAUCGCCGUUAUCUAGAUGUUGGAUCACCGUUUAGGUCCAGAGGCUAACCUUCAGUCUGUUUGAUCUCGGCGAGCUGUUUAUGAAACUUGUCGGAUCGCCGUUUAGGUCCAGAAACUAAUCUUCAUUUCUCAUUGAUCUCGGCGAGCCGUUUAUUAAACUUGUCGGAUCGCCGUUUAGGUCCAGAGACUAAUCUUCAAUUCUGAUUGAUCUCGGUGAGCCGUUUAUUAAGAUUGUCGGAUCGUCGUUUAGGUCCAGAGACUAAUCUUCAGUUCUGCUUGAUAUCGGCGAACCGUUUAUUAAACUUGUCGGAUCGCCGUUUUCCACAAAAACUGCUGCAGUGAACUGUUUUGCAAGAUAACUGUUUUGUCUCCAAAUCUUUAUAAAAAUACUUUAUGAAACUUGUCAAAAUAGAUGAAAAUUAUGUUGAGCUUUUAAAAGAUUAAUCAAUCUUAAUCAUGUUUGUUAUCAUCAAAAUCAAUAAAGAAAUAUUUAUGUUAACAAUCUCCCGCUUUUUAAUGAUGACAAACUUUUCAAGAAAAGAACUUGUGCAAUUUUGCUCCCCCUAAGUGAAAUUUUGAAGGAAUUGUUAACUUCCUUUAAAUAAGUGUCCAUUUAAUUUUAAUCCCAAAAAAAUAGUUUUAAACAAAGCAUAAUUAUUUGGUAAAUAAUCUCCCCCUUCAUCAUAAAAAAGAAAUAAGCGCGAAAAGAUUAAUAAGAGAGGCUGAGGGAUUACUUAUGUUUGGAAAAAUUUCGGUAGAAUCUCCCCUGAAAUAUGAGCAUAUCCUCAAUAAUACACAAAGUUAAAAGAAACACUUCCAUAUAUAUAUGCCAACAUAUCAACCAACCUCCAUACCAACAAUUAAACACUUCCAUAAUCAGCAAGAUAAACAAGAUAUUACCAAAACCAACUCAGCUAUAAAUCAAGUGCACAUGUCCAACAGAAAAUAUCAUAAAAGCAUCAUAAGCAUAAGCAAAAGACAAAGAACAUCAUAAGCAUAAACAAAAGACAAAUAACAUCAUAAGCAUAAAUACUACAUGAAAUGAGUAAUGUCUGUACGAAAAUCAGAGGGGCAGAAAACUAAUAUGGGGGCUCUGAAGAAGAGCUGCCUGGGUCAUAACCAAAGUAGCCGAGAAUACGACGCUGGCCAGCAAGUAACUCCAUCUGCUCUGAAAUUUGUUGUCGAAAGGUCGCAAAAUCAGAUUGAAGAUGCUGCUGCUGCUGGGACAGAACAUCUAUUAUGUCUAGAAGCUGCUGAAAGCGAUCCUCAGGAACAGCCGAUGCUGCAGUCUCGGCUGGAGGGACGGCAGUCUCGGCUGGCUCGUCAUCCUGAGAUGAAGCUGCUGCUGAUGCGGCAUGGGCUGCUGCUCUGCGAGGGACACGCGGUCUAGCCCCAAGGCAGAAAUCAGGUAACUCAUCCUCGGAAUAGAUAUCAUUUAACAUGCGAUCAUCCUCUGGUGCAAGCAGUGUAUCUUCAUUCUUUGAGGAUGUGGUCAUUUCCUAUUUCCCACGCUUCUUAAAAAAUCCGAUCGCAUAAAUAAUUUCUCGACCGAGCUUACGGGUCUCGAGAUAAACAAGCUCAGCAAGAGGAACUCGAAAGUGUUUCAAGACCCUAGUAAUGAUGCUGCCAUAAGGAAGGGAUUGGUUGGAGACUUUAGGAGUGGACAACAUAUGACAAAGAAUAGUGUAGGAUAAGCUCACAUGCCGUCUACGGAUGAUGGAAUCUAAUAGACCAAUAUCAAGUCUAGUUACCUCAUCAGUGUGACCUUGUCUAGGAGUAACCAUGUGUUGGAGAAUGAUAUGAAGUAUUCGAACCUGGAAAGGGAGGAAUUGAGACCUAAAGGACAAAUAACAGAUGUCAUCGGAAAGAUCCCGACGUCGACAAAUAUUUCGUACACCAUCCACAUGACGGAAUUCACUAAAUGAGAGUUCUUUCCUAGCGGUGUACAGAUCUAAACCUCCAUAAGAGAUUCCCAGAAUACUACACAAUUCAGAUUCAUUAAAAGCAAUGCGAAUUCCUCCUACAGACGUAUAAAGCUCGACACGAUGAGUAGAGGAAAAUUCUAUGUUUGAAUAAAAGACACGGACUAGAUUUUCAUAAAUGGGUUCUUCGAUACUUAAGGCUUGCUUCCAAUGACUAAGCAUGUGAGUAAUAGAGUGACCACAAAUGGUAAUAUCCGAAAACUCCGAAAUGUUAAGAGAAAAGGAAGGAGUUACCGGUUUGCCCAUGAAUUUUUCACGAAAUCGCUGAGCAGAGGUGUCAUCGGAGAAAUGGAGACUCUCGAAGUCUUGAGAGGGAGGCCUGAAGGGAUUGGAACGUCGUGGAGCAGUGUGCUUGGUUCGAGCACGCCUUUGUGGUCGUUCCGCCAUUGAUGAGUUGGGUGGAAAUUAGAUCGGUGGAAAUGAAGUUUGAGAGAUGAGAGAGUGAUUGAAAGUUGAAAUGUGAUUGGAAAAGGAAGAAAUUUGGGGUCCAUUUGAACAAAGGAGGUGCGACUGGUUUUAGGGUUUCAAGUUGGGAUUUUUCAAAAUUUGAAGAAAAAGAAAGAUUUUAAUCGGUCAAAAUAUGCUAAAGACGAUGAGGAAGGUUUGUAAUACUUCAAUUUGGUGAAAAAUGACAAGAAAAUGGAUAGAUUUGAGAAGGGAGAACUGGUGUAGUCGCGGGUUGAAGAGAGAGAGAAAGAGAGAGAAAAACGAAAUGAAGGAGAAGAAGAUGAACUGUUCACUUAACGCGCGAUAACGGCGAGCCGUUAUAGAGAUAUCGGCGAGCCGACAGAGUCUAGAGAGCUCCCAAAAAUUUUCAUCAUAAAGACAUAUCGGCGAGCUAAUAGGGUCCAGAAAGUUCCCCCCCAAAAAUUUUGCAUCAGGACGGCGAGCCGAUAGCGUCCAGAAUACUUCCCAUUGUUCCUGCCCUAAAACGGUUAGCCGUUUAUUGAAAUAACGGCAAUCCGUUUUCUAUAACUUAUGAUUUCGCACAUUUAUUUUGAUAUUUGGCUAACUAUUAAUACAUUUCAAGAUCAUUUCAUUGAUCCAAAAUGAUUUAAGUGCCAGUUCAAUGCAUAAUACAUGAACAUAUAUGUAUUGCAACAAUUAAUUCAUACAUUUUCAAAUAUACAUACACACAUGUAUAUUACGAUUGAGCAUUCCAUAGAUAUUAAAGCAUCAAAUCAUAAAUCAAUCAAUGUUAAUAGACUCAAUAGCAUGAAUAAAGAUAUUAAUGUGAAAAUUUCAUCAUCCCAAGUUCAUGCCGAAUUUUUGAAAAUUGUUCUUUGUAAAGUGGUUUUGUAAAAAUAUUGGCAAGUUGUUUUUCUGUAGAAAUAAACUCUAAUGCAAUAUCUCUCUUUUGAACAUGAUCUCUCAAGAAAUGAUGUCUUAUUUCUAUAUGCUUGGUUCGAGAGUGUUGAAUGGGAUUCUUUGAAAGAUUUAUAGCACUAGUAUUAUCACACUUAAUAGAAAUUUGUUCUAGGUUAAUACCAUAGUCUCUAAGUGUUUGUUUCAUCCAAAGACCUUGUGCACAACAGGUUCCUGAGCUAUAUAUUCAGCCUCAGUAGUUGAGAGUGCAACAAAAUUUUGUUUCUUGCUAAACCAUGAAACAAGUGAGUGACCUAGGAUGUGGCAAGUUCCACUAGUGCUUUUCCUAUCAACUUUAUAACCAGCAAAGUCCGCAUCCGAAUAGCAUGUUAAAUCUAUAUGAGUUCCUCUAGGAUACCAAAGUCCAAUAUCUAUGGUUCCACUCAAAUAACGAAAAAUUCUUUUAACAGCAAGCAAAUGGGAUUCCUUGGGACAUGAUUGAAAUCUUACACAUAAACAUACACUAAACAUGAUAUCGGGUCUACUUGCAGUCAAAUAAAGUAAAGAUCCGAUCAUACCUCGAUACAUUUUGAUAUCCACUUCUUUGCCUUUUUCAUCUUUGUCGAGCUUGAUUGUUGUGCUCAUUGGUGUAUUUUUGGUCUUUGAGUCAUCAAUGCCGAAUCGUUUGAGUAGAUCUCUUACAUACUUGGCUUGAUUUAUGAAUAUUCCUUCCUCAUUUUGUUUUAUUUGCAGCCCAAGGAAGUACUUCAGCUCUCUCAUCAUACUCAUUUCAAAUUCAUUGCUCAUACAAGAUGAAAACUAUUUGCACAACAAUUCAUUAGUAGAACCAAAAAUAAUAUCAUCAACAUAAAUUUGAACAACAAGUAUGUCUUUGUUCUUAUGUUUAACAAAGAGAGUAGUAUCCGGUUUACCCAUAGAAAAAUCAUUUUCUAACAAGAAAUUCUUAAGCCUAUCAUACCAUGCUCUAGGUGCUUGUUUUAAUCCAUACAAAGCUUUAAACAACUUAUAAACAUGAUUUGGAAAUUUUUCAUUUUCAAAACCAGGGGGUUGUUUUACAUACACUUCUUCCAUAAUAUAGUCAUUUAAGAAAGUACUUUUCACAUCCAUUUGAAAUAAAAUGAAAUCUUUAUGACAAGCAAAUGCCAACAACAUUCUAAUUGAUUAUAGUCUAGCUACGGCUGCAAAAGUUUCAUCAAAAUCAAUUCAUUCUUCUUGGCUGUAACAUUGAGCCACUAAUCUAGAUUUGUUCCUUACAACCACACUGGAUUCAUCCAUCUUAUUUCUAAAACCCAUUUAGUACCUAUGAUAGAUUGAUGUUCCGGUUUAGGAACUAAUUCCCACACAUUGUUUCUUUCAAAUUGAUUUAACUCCUCUUGCAUUGCCAUAAUCCAAGAUUCAUCAUUUUCCGCAUUCGCAAAGGAUUUGGGUUCAACUUGAGAGAUAAAUGCAUUAUGCUCACAAGUAUUCUUAAGUGAUGAUCUAGUUGUAACACCUCGUGAGAGAUCUCCUAAAAUUACAUCCUUAGGGUGAGAAGAGACAUACCUCCACUCAUUGGGGAGUGUUUGAGAAAUACCUUCUUGUUGCUCCAGCUCCAUAUUUGUUUGUUCUUCUUGCCUAUCCUCUUGAUUUUCUUGUGGUGCAUUCUCUUGAUUUUCUUUUGAUGAUUCUUCUUGUAACUCUCCAUUUGCAUCAUCAUUAGCAACUCCUUUCUCCGCAGAGGAUGGGUUAGAUUCAUCAAACGUAACAUGCAUGGAUUCUUCCACAACCAAAGUUCUUUUAUUAUAAACUCUAUAAGCUUUGCUUGAGUUUGAAUAUCCGAGAAAGAUGCCAAUAUCAGAUUUUGGAUCAAAUUUAGCAAGAUUAUCUUUUGUGUUUAAAAUAAAACUUUUGCAUCCAAAAACUUUGAAAUAACCAAUGUUGAGUUUUCUAUCUUUUCAAAGCUCAUAGGGAGUUUUAUUGAGAUGAGGUCUAAUCAACACCCGAUUUAAAACAUAGCAAGCGGUGUUGACGGCUUCGGCCCAAAAAUAUUUUGGUAAUGCAUUUUCAUUUAACAUGAUCCUAGCCAUUUCUUGAAUAGACCUAUUCUUUCUCUUAACAACUCCAUUUUGUUGUGGAGUCCUAUGUGAUGAAAAUUGAUGCUCAAUGCCAAGAUUAUUGCAAAACAUCUCAAAUGCAUGAUUUUCAAAUUCUCUUCCAUGAUCACUCCUAAUUCAUACAAUACCAUGCCCUUUUUCAUUUUGUAAUUUCUUACAAAGCACUUUAAAAGCAUCAAGAGCAUCAUCCUUAUUGGCUAAGAAUAAUACCCAUGUAUAUCUAGAAUAAUCAUCCACUAUCACAAAUGCAUAAUAUUUGCCAUUUAGACUAGCAUAUCUAGAUGGCCCAAAUAGAUCUAUGUGAAGGAGUUCAAGUGGUUUUGAAGUAGAAAUAUGGUUUUUAUUCUUGAAAGAAGUUUUGAUUUGUUUUCCAAAUUGACAAGCUUAAAAAAUCUUAUCCUUUUGAAAACCAAUUUUCGGAAGACCUUUAACUAAAUCAUUUUUUGAAAUUUUUGAAAUUAAAUCCAUACUAGCAUGUCCUAACCUUCUAUGCCAUAGCCAAUUAUCAUCAUGUAAUGCGGAAAAACAUUUAUCAAGAGUAGAUGUACAUUCUAUAUCAAUGAUAUACACAUUACCACAUCUAUUACCAACAAACAAGAUCUUGCCAUCACAUGAGUUCUCAAUAACACAACUAAAUUUAUCAAAGAUAACUUUAUAACCUUUGUCACAUAAUUGACUAAUACUAAUUAAGUUGUGUUUCAAGUUCUCAACCAAACAUACAUUUUCAAUUAGAGUUGAAGAGACUUUACCAACAUUUUCAAUUCCAAGAAUUUUUCCUUUUGAGUUGUCUCCAAAAGAUACGUCUCCACCAUUUUCUAUUUUGGUGAAGCUUAAGAACCAUGCAUAGUUUCCGGUCAUGUGCCUUAAACAACCACUGUCCAAGUACCAUUUAUUUUUCUUUUUCUUUAAGCCCUACAAAGAAAAUCUCAAGUUUUAGGUACCCAAAGCUUUUUGGGUCCUCGAGAGUUAGCAAUGGUUCAUUUUGGAACCCAAAUACAUUUGACACCAUAAUAUGCAUUCAUUUUCACGGGGCAUCUAUAUUUCAUGUGACCAUUUUGAUUACAAUAAUGGCAAACAAUCUUAUGAUCACUUAUGGAGGUAGCUUUAACAAAAUAAUUCUUAUAAUACUUUUGCUUCAAGUUUGGCUUAUAUCCAAGUCCUCCUUUAUCAAAAACACAUUUUUGUGAGUUAAGCAUAUUAUCCAACAUCUUUUGCCCAUGUGUAAAUUUCAAAACAAUCUCAUUCAACUCAUUUCUCUUUUUCUUGAGCAUUUCGUUUUCAUUUUUCAAAUCAUCUAUGUGUGAUUCUAAAUGCUCAUGUGAGAUGUUAGAUUUCUCAUUUGAUAACGCAAGUUCAUCAUGCAAUGUUUUGUUCUCUACUUCUAGGCAUGUAAUUUUUGCAUUUAAAGAUUCAUUUUCAUUUUUAAGCUUUGUCAUUUCCUUUUUAAGACAUACAUUCUUUUGACCAAUCUUCAUCAACUCAUUAUGCAAUUCUUUAAAAGCAUCAUACAAUUCAUCAUAGGUAGGAUCACUUACCUCAUUGAGAUCAUCAUCCUCUUCUAUUGCCAUAAGCGCUAGGUUUGAUACUUCUUGCAAUCUUUCUUCAUCACUUGAAUCUUCUUCGUUAUCAUCCCAAGUUGCAAUCAUGGCUUUCUUCUUGAGUUUGUUGAUAAGUGGACACUUCGAUCUUAUAUGGCUAGGCUUCUUGCAUUCAUAGCAUGUGAUCACCUCUUUCUUCUCCCUUUAGUUCUUGAAGUUUCUGAAUUUUCUUCGUUCUCCAGUUUUCUUGAAAACCUUUCUGAACCUCCUUGCUAGCAUGGCUAACUUUUCAUCAUCUAGUUUACUACCUCCAUCACUCUCAUAUUUUGAAGCUUUGAGAGCAAUGCUUUUCUUCUUCUCCUCAUCUCUUUUUUCUGCUGCCAAGUCUUCUUCAUAUAAAAUGAGAGAACCAAUUAAAUCAUCAAGAGGUAAAGUAUUUAAAUUUUUGGUCUCUUCAAUGGCGGUUCUUUUAGGUCUCCAUUCUUUUGGAAGUGAACUAAUGAUUUUAUUAACUUUCUCACUAUUUGAGAAGGUCUUCCCUAAGGCACCUAGGGUGUUCACUAUGUCCGUGAAUCUAGUAUACAUAGAAUACACAUUUUCAUUUUGUUCCAUUUGGAACAACUCAUAUUGGCGAGUAUAUCUACUAAUUUUAGACUCUUUAACUUGAUUUGUCCUUUCAUAGACAACUUCAAGUUUAUUCCAUAUUUCUUGUGCACUUUCACAACUAGAUACUCUAUGGAAUUCUUUCUUAUCAAGGGCACAAAACAAAGCAUUCAUAGCCUUGGAGUUUAGGGACAUUUUUCUCUUUUCUAACUCACUCCAUUGACUUGAUGGUUUACGAAUAUCAUCUCCUACUUCAUCUUUAAACAUAGGCAUGAAUGGACCAUCACAAACGACUUCCCAAAUUUCAUAAUCUAAGGCUUGCAGAUAGAUUCUCAUUCUAGUUUUCCAAUAGGCAUAGUCAUUACCAUCAAAGAAUGGUGGUCUAGUUGUGGAUUGCCAUUCUCUAAAGGUUGAGUCAUUUAGGGUUGCCAUGGAUCUUUUACUCUAGACGAUUAAGUCCUAACAAGAGAACAAGGCUCUGAUACCAAAUGAAAUUCUAGUUAUACAACCCAAGAGGGAGGGUGAAUUGGAAUUCUAAAAAUUAUUCAAUUUAUAAAUAAAAACUCAAUGCAAAUGUGAAUUAAAUUCAAAGCAAUAACAAAUAAGUUAACCACAAUAAAAAGGAAAAGGGAAGCGAGAUUUAAACACUGAGAUUUUUACGUGGUUCGGCCAACCUCGCUUACGUCCACGCCUUCAAGCUUUCCGAGCUUGAGGAUUCCACUAAGCAAGCCUCUAAGGCUUCAAAUGCUUACACUUGACUUCCAAGGUGUCAAUAACCUUUACAACAAGAGAUUAUCCCAAUCUCUUAACCCCAAGUGUAUCCCAACACUUACAAUCACUCAAAAAUAAAAUAUUAUAAAUUUGUUUUGCCUCUCACAAUAUUUAAGAUUACACAAUGAUACCCAAUAUGUGAAUAGAUGAAGCAAGAAUGUAUUUAAAGCUCAAUGAAGAUUGUAUUCUCAAGUAUAAGCUCAGUAGUCGUGUUGUGAUUAACUUUUGUUUGAAUUUGAAUGAGCUUAUUUAUAGGUGGAGCUGAAAACUAGCCGUUAUUGACUUUCUGCACACUGUCGGAUCGCCGUUAACUAGAUGGCGGAUCACCGCUUGACUAGUCAAUAUGACCGUUGGGCUGAUUUUUCAAAUUGUCGGAUCGCCGUUAUCUAGAUGUCGGAUCACCGUUUAUGUCCAGAGGCUAACCUUCAGUCUGUUUGAUCUCGGCGAGCCGUUUAUGAAACUUGUCGGAUCGUCAUUUAGGUCCAGAGACUAAUCUUCAUUUCUCAUUGAUCUCGGCGAGCCGUUUAUUAAACUUGUCGGAUCGCCGUUUAGGUCUAGAGGCUAAUCUUCAAUUCUGAUUGAUCUCGGUGAGCCAUUUAUUAAGAUUGUCGGAUCGCUGUUUAGAUCCAGAGACUAAUCUUCAGUUCUGCUUGAUAUCGGCGAACCGUUUAUUAAACUUGUCGGAUCGCCGUUUUUCACAAAAACUGCUGCAGUGAACUGUUUUGCAAGAUAACUGUUUUGUCUCCAAAUCUUUAUAAAAAUAUUUUAUGAAACUUGUCAAAAUAGAUGAAAAUUAUGUUGAGCUUUUAAAAGAUUAAUCAAUCUUAAUCAUAUUUGUUAUCAUCAAAAUCAAUAAAGAAAUAUUUAUGUUAACAAUCUCCCCUUUUAUUUAUUAAAAGAAAUAUAACAAAAUAAAUAAUAUCAUAUAUAAAACAAAAUAAAUAAUAUCAUAUUUACUUAAAUAAUAUUAUUAUAUUAUUUUAUAAAAUUUCAUUUAUUAAAAAGAAAAAUAUCAAUCUCAUUUAAAUAAAACAUUAUUAUAUUAUUUGAGAUUAAUGAUUAAUAAUAAUAAAUAGUUUAUUCUAAGAAAAUAUUAAUUUUCUACUAUGUUUUUAAUAAUAAUGUUUCAUUUCUAUUGCUCUCAUCAAUAAUUUUUAAUUUAGAUAACUAAAAUUAAAACUAACAAAAAAUUAUGAUUUACAUAAUUAAUAAUAUUAAUAAUUAUUGUUAAUUUACAAAUAUAAUGAAAUAAAUAUUUCAUUUUUCAAAUAUAUUUUUUAUUAUUUUUUAAUUAAAAACUACAAUUCUUUAAAUAAGGAUAAAACUGUAAUUUGAAACUAUUUACUCUUGAUCCGAGACAAAGUAAACACAUAAAUUGAAUUUUAAUUCCAAUUCCAUACUCCUAUUCUAGUGUAAAUAAAUAAUCUACUCCUACUCUACACUCUCAAUCUCAGGAUUCCUACUCUAUUCGAAAAUGUAAACGCUAACAAAAUGUAGACCAGACAGAGGUGUAUUUGUUUAUUAAUUAAAUAAACUAUUAUUUUUAACUAUGACAUAAAUGUUUAGUAAAAAGUAUUUAUGAAAUAGUACUACCGAAAACAUAUUCCUUAUUUUUAUUUUUUUCAAUUGUGUCUACCGAACACAUAUUACUGAUUUUAAUUUUAAAAUAUAGAAUAUAGAAAAUGAUACCAGACGCAUGUUUAAAGUCAAAAUACACCAAUUGUAAAAUAUCAUUUUCAUUUUCAUUUUUUUUUUCAGAAAAUGCUAAUUCAGAAACAAUACCGACCAUAAACUUAUUUUUGGUAUGAAUAGUGUUGUGCUAGUUUUAUAGACUUUAUUAGAAGUAUCUACCGAAACCCCUUUUACCAAGUUAUUACAACUAUAUUUACUUACUGGAGUGAGAGUGAGAAGUGUGGAUUCCUCAUAUUCCAGUGAUUACUUGUAUAUUUUAAGGGGUGUGGGAAUCUCACUCCGUGGGUUCCACCCAUUUUUUGAGUUUAUUAUUUUAUAAAAUUUCAUUUAUUAAAAAGAACAAUAUCAAUCUCAUUUAAAUAAAAUAUUAUUAUAUUUAUUUGAGAUUAAUGAUUAAUAAUAAUAAAUAGUUUAUUCUAAGAAAAUAUUAAUUUUCUACUAUGUUAGUAAUAAUAAUGUUUCAUUUCUAUUGCUCUCAUCAAUAGUUUUUAAUUUCGAUAAUUAAAAUUAAAACUAACAAAAAAUUCUUAUUUACAUAAUUAAUAAAAUUAAUAAUUAUUGUUAAUUUAAUAUAAUGAAAUAAAUAUUUCAUUUUUCAAAUAUAUUUUUUAUUAAUUUUUAAUUAAAAACUACAAUUCUUUAAAUAAGGAUAAAACUGCAAUCUGAAACUACUUACUCUCGAUCCGAGACAAAGUAAACAUGUAAAUUAAAUUUUAAUUCCAAUUCCAUACUCCUAUUCUAGUGUUAGUAAACAAUCUACUCCCACUCUACACUCACAAUCUCAGGAUUCCCACUUCUCAGGAUUCUCACUCUAUUCGAAAAUGUAAACGCUAACAACAUGUAGACCAGACAGAGGUGUAUAUAUAUAUAUAUUCUGAAUCAAACGUCAAAUAAAAUUCUUAAUUAAGUAAACCAUAAGGUGAUUGCGCAUUAAAAAAUUAAUAAUAUUAAUUUUCAUAAGAAUUUAUGCUUGUAGUAUUGCAUUACUUUUUAUUAACUGUUGCUUCAACUUAUGGUGGAUAUUAAGAGAACAAUAAUAAUAGAGCUAUAAACGGUCGCAUACUAUCAAUUAAAUUAACACUAUAAUUUGGUUUACCAUACAAAUCCUUAAUCUCAUAAAUAAUUAAAUUAUUGGGGUUUUAAAAUGCAGACUUGCCAUGGCUCCUAUAAGUAAUAUCAGCCACACUUUUUGUUAUUGGUAAAAAAAUAUUUCUAGGUACAAUUUGUGAAUUUGUACAACGUGUGGUAUUAAACAUUUGAAGCAUGAACUGACAAUGUUGCGUCAAUAAUAAAGAAAAGAAAACGAAUUGUAUAAUACACAGGUGUUCUAGUGUAACUUGGAUUCUUUUUCUUUAUAAGUGCACCUAUCAUGUGAUUUUUUUUUUAAAAAAAAGAACUCUUGAGAUUUUAAAAUUUUGUAAUUGCACAUCUUUAGAUUGCCAGGAGAUUUCCUCUCCUUAAAGACACCUUUAAUCCAUAAACGGUCCAAAAAAUAAUUCAUAAAAUGAAUUGAUUAUUUUAGAUAAAUUUCAAGUAUGCAUACCUUUUAUAACUCCAUUUUGCAUAACUCCUCAUUUCACUCAAUUGAUGCAUUUGUUCACUUUUUCUUUCUUGUAAAUUUUUGAAUGGACGUAAUUUUAUAGAUUAUUAGUUAAGUGCUAUUAUUAUCAAUUUUUUUUGUUGAUGCAUAUGUGGGGUGGGGCCGUUUUUGGGGCAUGGAUCUCAAUACAGCAGAGGGCCAGAAUAUUUAUUCUUUAAGAGGAACCACAACCAACAAAAAUGCUCUAAGUUCCAUUCCAUCUUACUUCUGUGCACCGUAUUGCAUAAACAACAUUGAUAUCCAAGGUCAAAGCCUCUCAAACACUUUGGUUACAAGAUAAAGCAUGGGAUUGCGGCCAAAAUUUUCUUCUAGUGAAAGGCUCAGAAAAUGAUGACAACUGUCGGAUUGUUUUGGGCCUCAAUGGUUUUAAUAUUAUUCUCUUACAAAUAUAUAUGUUGAUUAGAGACGAGAGGAAGAAGGGGAUCUGAUUUAGCCAGCUGCACAAGAAAGAGCACACAGUGGAGUCUAGAUUUUGAUUUCUCUUGUUAAAUUGUUUUCAAUUUACUACAAGGUAGAAUAAAUUGCAUUCUUAAAAAAAAAUAUUUUGAACAUCAUAUUUUUGUUUUACAAAUAUACCAAAAAUUAAAUUAAUUUUUUUCUUUAUCAGUAUAAACUAAAUUUUGCAUGAAUCCUCAUCUUUGUAAGUGGAAUUCUAUUGUGAAACUAAUGGUCCUUCCUAGUGCUAACUGUCACUUUGAACAUAUGUGUCAUCUCUAACAACAACUUCCAGACCAGCCGCUAGCUCCUUUUUAGCAUUAGAAGUAGCAUCCACAUUGGCUUUCAACCAGCCAUAAGUCGGAGGAGGGGACCAUUGUUUCUGUUUGUUAGUUUUCUUCCUUGAAGCAUAAGCCAUAAUUAGGAGGACGGCAAGCUUCCAAAUAACAUUUCGAAUGGUAUUGUGAAAAUCUUCCACCUUUUGGUGAAAAAAAAAAACCUUAUUUCUAGUUCUUUCUUAAAAAUCUUAUCACUUUAAGUUUCCUCUUAAGUAGGAACAUCAUAUAUAUUAAUUUGUUGUUAAUAUAAAUAAAACUAAAUAUUUAUGACUUAAAAGAUAGGUGUUGAAUGGCGGCCGUCUCACUCAAAAAAAAAAAAAAAAAAAAAAAAUAUAUAUAUAUAUAUAUAUAUAUAUAUUUAAAAGCAAUGGUGAUAUCAUCAUUUUUUGUACUGAUAUGAGAAUAUUACACUAGAUUUUUUUUUUUGCAUUACAAAAAGUUUGAAUUCAAGAAUAAAUAAGCAAUAUCAAGAUCAAAUUUUACAAAAAGCCUCCAGGACAUGCCAUAUGAAUUUGUGAUACGAAAAAUAGUAUACUAGUCACUGGAUCUUCUUUUCCUCAUUAGGAAAAAUUAGAAAUGCAAUCUAAAUUGAUAUCAAUUACUAAUUUUAUAGUGAAUGGGUCUUGCACGAAAACAAGAAAUUUUUUUAUAAUAUAAGAAAUUAUCAGUCAUUUACCCUAAAUUUAUUCUGUCUCAAAAAAUACUACAGAAACUUUAACUUGCUUAGUUUUUUUACCUUAAUUUAUAAUUUGUAUCAGUCACUCUCUAAAAAGAUAGAAUCACUUCAUAAAAUGACAAAAUAAAAAUAAAUACAAAUGAAAAAAUCGGUUCAUUUUAUAAAGAUAAAUCAAUCCGUUUGGCACCAAAUUACAAAUUAAAUUAUUUUAAAUAUUAUAAAUUAUUUUUAUACUGGGUGAUGGACCUAAUCAUUUUAAUAGUCAUGACAAUUUAAUCUAUCUAAAUAUGAAAUUUCAAAUAGACUUAUGUUUGAGUAGGAGGAUAAUGUUAAAAAAUUUGGCACUUUUAUUCAACUGAAGAAAUUUUACAAUUUAAAUUAGAAACGAUAAAAUUUAAUAAUUAACUAUUAUUUGAACUAAUUGAAUCGUGCGCUAUCAUUUGUGUAAUGUAUCCUACUUGCAAAAUAAACGGCAGGAUGCGGUUUGCGGACAGAUUAUCAAGGUAUUUGCUAAUAUUCGGAAAUGGAAAGAAAAAGGCAUAUAUUUCUCUCCUAUUUUGGUAAUUCUCUUCUUCUUCAACCCCAAAUAAUCAAAAGCUCUCCAAUGGCUUUCGUAUCCUCAACUCGUUCAUUUAAUUUUACUGCAAUUUCAAUAUCAGCUCUUAGAUGUAAUUUCUCAUCUUCGUUCCCUCAUACCAGAAAACCCACAUCUUCAAUUUCGGAAAAUGAACCCUCAUAUCCGACUACAACAGCUACGCUGCGACUGACAGUCAAAGACCGAGCCUCACUCGAACAAUUCCUCAAAGAAAGGUGCAAAUCAUCCGGUGAAGGUGAUAUUACUUCUAUUACUCCUAAUGAAG
Molecule: long non-coding RNA, 139694 nt
Filed under: Citrus maxima (pomelo)
Lineage: Eukaryota; Viridiplantae; Streptophyta; Magnoliopsida; Sapindales; Rutaceae
Description: long non-coding RNA (CMAX_LNC003368)
Source: RNAcentral